Molecule: long non-coding RNA, 89142 nt
Filed under: Triticum aestivum (bread wheat)
Lineage: Eukaryota; Viridiplantae; Streptophyta; Magnoliopsida; Poales; Poaceae
Description: long non-coding RNA (TAES_LNC006941)
Source: RNAcentral
UUCAUACAAGUCACUCUUGAUUCAUUGCACAUCCCGGUACACCGCCGGAGGCAUUCAUAUAGAGUCAUAUUUUGUUCUAAGUAUCGAGUUGUAACUCUUGAGUUGUAAGUAAAUAAAAGUGUGAUGAUCUUCAUUAUUAGAGCAUUGUCCCAGUGAGAAAAUGAUGAUGGAGACUAUGAUUCCCCCACAAGUCAGGAUGAGACUCCAAACGAAAAAAGAAAAAGAAAAAAAGAGUCCUUAAAAAAGAAAAAAGGCCCAAAUAAAAAAAUAUGACAGAAAAAGAGAGAAGGGGCAAUGCUACUAUCCUUUUUCCACACUUGUGCUUCAAAGUAGCACCAUGAUCUUUAUGAUAGAGAGUCUCCUAUGUUGUCAUUUUCAUAUACUAGUGGGAAUUUUUCAUUAUUGAACUUGUCUUCUAUAUUCCAAUGAUGGGCUUCCUCAAAAGUGCCCUAGGUCUUCGCGAGCAAGCAAGUUGGAUGCACACCCUCUUAGUUUCUUUUGUUGAGCUUUCAUACAGUUAUAGCUCUAGUGCAUCCGUUGCAGGCAAUCCCUACUCACUCACAUUGAUAUCUAUUGAUGGGCAUCUCCAUAGCACGUUGAUACGCCUAGUUGAUGUGAGACUAUCUGCUCUUUUUUGUCUUCUCCACAACCACCAUUCUAUUCCACCUAUAGUGCUAUGUCCAUGACUCACGCUCAUGUAUUGCGUGAAGAUUGAAAAAGUUUGAGAACAUCAAAAGUAUGAAACAAUUGCUUGGCUUGUCAUAUGGGUUGCGCAUGAUUAAAUACUUUGUGAGAUGAAGAUAAAGCAUAACCAGACUAUAUCAUUUUGUAGGGAUAGCUUACUUUGGCCAUGUUAUUUUGAGAAGACAUGAUUGCUUUGUUAGUAUACUUGAAGUAUUAUUAUUUUUAUGUCAGUAUUAAAAUUUUAUCUUGAAUCUUUCGGAUCUCAACAUUCAUGCCACAAUAAAGAAAAUUACAUUGAUAAAUAUGUUAGGUAGCAUUCCACAUCAAAAAUUCUGUUUUUAUCAUUUACCUACUCGAGGACGAGCAGGAAUUAAGCUUGGGGAUGCUUGAUACAUCUCCAACGUAUCUAUAAUUUUUUAUUGUUCCACGCUAUUAUAUUAUUAUUUUUGGGACUAACCUAUUAACCAAAGGCCCAGUGCCAGUUUCUGUUUUUCUGCCUAUUAACAGAGUCCAAAUAGAAUGAAACCUUCGCGAUGAUCUUUUGUGGACCAAAAGAAACCAGAAGACUUGGAGUUGAAGUCGGAGACGCGACGAGGCAUCCACGAGGCAGGAGGGUGCGCCCAGUGGGAUAGGCGCGCCCCCACCCUCAUGGGCCCCUCGUAGCUCCAUCGACCUAGUUCUCUCGCCUAUAUAUACCCGUAUACCCUAAAAACAUCAGAGGGAGCCAUGAAACCACUUUUCCAUGGCCGCAACCUUCUGUACCCGUGAGAUCCCAUCUUGGGGCCUCUUCCGGCGAUCUGCCGGAGGGGGAAUCAAUCACGGAUGGCUUCUACAUCAACACCAUUGCCUCUCCGAUAAAGCGUGAAUAGUUUACCACAGACCUUCGGGUCCAUAGUUAUUAGCUAGAUGGCUUCUUCUCUCUUCGAUUCUCAAUACAAAGUUCUCCUAGAUGUUCUUGGAGAUCUAUUCGAUGUAAUAUUAUUUUGUGGUGUGUUUUCCAAGAUCCAAUGAAUUGUGGAUUUAUGAUCAAGAUUAUCUAUGGAUAUUAUUCGGUUCUUCUCUGAAUUCUUAUAUGCAUGAUUUGAUAUCUUUGCAAGCCUCUUCGAUUUAUCGUUUUAGUUUGGCCUACUAGAUUGAUCUUUCUUGCCAUGGGAGAAGUGCAUAGCUUUGGGUUUCAAGUGACAGUAGGGGCAGCAAGGCACAUAUUCUGUUGUUGCCAUCGAGGAUAAAAAUAUGGGGUUUAUAUCCUAUUGCUUGAGUUUAUCCCUCUAUAUCAUGCCAUCUUGCUUAAUGCGUUACUCCGUUCUUAUGAACUUAAUACUCUAGAUGCAUGCUGGAUAGCGGUCGAUGUGUGGAGUAAGAGUAGUAGAUGGAGGUAGGAGUCGGUAUACUUGACACGGACGUGAUGCCUAUGUUCAUGAUCAUUGCCUUAGAUGUCAUCAUAAUUAUGCACUUUUUUAUCAAUUGCUCGGCAGUAAUUUGUUCACCCACCGUAAUACAUGCUAUCUCGAGAGAAGCCACUAGUGAAACCUAUGGCCCCCGUGUAUCUUUUCCAUUAUAUUAAAUUCUCUUUUCCAUAUUAUCAAAUCUCGUUUACUAUUUUGCAAUCUUUACUUUCCAAUCUAUACAACAAAAAUACCAAAAUAUUUACUUUACUAUCUUUAUUAGAUCUCACUUGUGCAAGUGACUGUGAAGGGAUUGACAACCUCUUUUGUCGCGUUGGUUGCAUGUUGUUGAUUGUUUGUGUAGGUAUUCGGUGACUUCUGCGUCGUCUCCUACUGGAUUGAUACCUUGGUUCUCAAAACUGUGGGAAAUACUUAUGCUACUUUGCUGCAUCACCCUUUCCUCUUCAAGGGAAAACCAACGCAAGCUCAAGAGGUAACAUGUCAGGACCCCGACUCAAUGGCACACCGAUCUAGCAUGUAACACCUCAUAUUACUUUGCAGCCUCACGCACGGUAUUCCCACGGGUGUCGCCUUACCAGGACCGGGACCGUUUGUGCCUUUUGGCACACGUAUAUGAUAGUGUCGCUAGCAUACAUAUGACAAGGAGCCCGAGCUGACAUGGAUAGUCGUGAACCCAAAGUGGCACUAACUUACAGGGACAUGCAUACAUGACCCAGCAACGAGCGUGUCGGUCAUCAGUGAAUGAAUUCGGGCUGUAGCAACUGGGCUAACAGGACUCUGGUAAACCGGGCUGUAGCGGGCUAACAGAACUCCGGUAAACACCGCGUGACAUUUCGCUGAAGGGACAGACAAAGGAACGAAGAAGGACACAUGCCGGCCAACCUAAGUGUUCCGGAGAAGUAGCAAGCUACCAAGGCUCAGUAGUGGUGUCCGGAGGCUUCCGGCGCCGUGCGGCUUGGUGAGAAGGAAGAGGGAGACGGGGCGGAGCUUCUUGCCGCGUCGACGAGGCGGGGCAGUGGCUUUGGCCACGGCGGCAAAGAACGGCGGCGACGGGCUCCGCUCGAGCAUUUUGCGGAAGAGAGAAAUAGGGGAGGGGGAGGAGCGAGGGAGAGCGCGAGGGGGUUCUAGGGGUGUCGUGGCGCUCGGGGCCAUUUCCAGCAACGAGCUAGCAGGCAGGAGGUGGCCAGGCGCGUGCCGGCGCUCACCACCAAACUGCUUUGUAACACCCACGAUGCGGCUAUAUCUCCCACGUGUCGAAGCACGACUUAGAGGCAUAACCGCAUUGUGGUUUUGUCGCAAGAAGGGUCAUCUUCACACAAUCCCAUGUAAUGAACAAGACUGGGAUAAAGAGUUGGCUUACAAUCGCCACUUCACACAAGUACUUAAAUAAAUCAUAUAUCAAUCAGAGUACACACAUAGUCCGACUACGGACGAAGCGAAAAGAAAAGAAGAUAACCCAACUGCUAGAUCCCCGAUCGUCCCAACUGGGCUCCACUACUGAACAACAUGAAACAAAACAAAGCAAUGACCAAUAUCUUCGUUGAGCUCCCUUCUGAGCUCGGUUGCAUCAUCUGCACUGGUAUCAUCGGCACCUACAACUGUUGUGAUAGUAUCUGAUGAGUCACGAGGACUCAACAAUCUCAAAACCCGCGAGAUCAAGACUAUUUAAGCUUAUGGGAAAGGAAGGGGUAAGGUGGUGAGGUUGCAGCAGCAACUAAGCAUAUGUGGUGGCUAACAUAGGCAAAUAAGAGCGAGAGGAGAAGCAAAGGAACGGUCGUGAAACUAGCAAUGAUCAAGAAGUGAUCCUGAACUCCUACUUACGUCAAACAUAACCGAAAAUCGUGUUCACUUCCCGGACUCCGCCGAAAAGAGACCGUCACGGCUACACACGCGGUUGAUGCGUUUUAAUUAAGUCAAGUGUCAAGUUCUCUACAACCGGAUAUUAACAAAUUCCCAUCUGCCACAUAACCGCGGGCACGCCUUUCGAAAGUUUAAUCCCUGCAAGGGUGUCCCAACUUAGCCCAUCAUAAGCUCUCACGGUCAACGAAGGAUAUUCCUUCUCCCAGGAAGAACCAAUCAGACUCGGAAUCCCGGUUUACAAGACAUUUUGACAAUGGUAAAACAAGACCAGCAAGACCACCCGACUGUGCCAACAAAUCCCGAUAGGAGCUGCACAUUCUCGUUCUCAGGGCACACCGGAUAAGCGAAGCGUACAGGUACCGACGUAAUCCAAGUUGCCAAGGAAUGGCCCCGCAUGGUGCUCUAGUUUGGACCAACACUCAGAGGAGCACUGGCCCGGGGGGUAAAAUAAAGAUGAGCCUUGAGUCUGCAGAACCCAAGGGAAAAAGGCUUAGGUGGCAAAUGUUAAAACCAAUGUUGGGCCUUGCUGGAGGAGUUUUAUUCAAAGCGAACUAUCAAGGGGGUCCCAUAAAUCACCCAACCGCAUAAGGAAGGCAAAAUCAAGGAACAUAACACCGGUAUGAUGGAAUCUAGGGCGGCAAGAGUGGAACAAAACACCAGGCAUAAGGCCGAACCUUCCACCCUUUACCAAGUAUAUAGAUGCAUUAUAAAUAAACAAGAAAUAUUGUGAUAUCCCAACAUAAUCAUGUCCAUCAUGGAGCAAUCUUCAACUUCACCUGCAACUAACAAUGCUAUAAGAGGGGCUGAGCAAAGCGGUAACAUAGCCAAGCAAUGGUUUGCUAGGAAGGGUGAAAAGGUUAGAGGCUGACCUAGCAAUAUGGGAGGCAUGGUAAACAAGUGAUAGGUAGCGCGACAUAGCGCUAGAACGAACAAACUAGCAAGCAAAGAUAGAAAUGAUAUCAUGGGUAAUGGUCAUCUUGCCUGAAAUCCCGCAAGGAAGAAGAACGAGACCAUGAAGAAGACAAACAUACGUAGUCGAACGAAUCCUCACAACUCCAGAACGAAACCGAAGCUAACGAGAGAAGCAAACCGGAAAGAAGCAAACAACAUGGUAAACACACAAGCAUAAACAUGUCAAGAUGCACAAACAAGUAUGAUGCAUGUCCGGUUUAAUGAGGCAUGGCAUGGCAAUAUGCACAAACAACACUACAAGUUAAGUGGAGCUCAAUAUGCAACGAGUUGCAUAUUGACGGAACACCACAUGAAUUAUAUAGUUCUCUCUCGGUUAUGCUACCAAACAAUAUUAAGUGUUGUAAAAUAUGGCAAGAGGUGAAGCAUAAAUAAACUAACUAUUUAGGCAAGUUUAAAUGAGGCCGGAAACAACAAACAACAAUUCCGGAAAAUCCUCAUGUCAUUUAGCAAUUUAAAGCAAGCAACAAUUUUAAGCGUUUAAAUGUUGUUAUCAUGAUGCGGAUGACAUAAACAAGUUUUAGGCAAUUUUUAUGAAGAUGUUGACAUCAGCAAGAUAUGGAACAUUUGGUCACCAUGGCGGAACGAAAAGGGUGCCACGACGGUGAAACAAAAAUGGUGCCAUGGCAACAUAUCGUUUUCGGUAGCUCACAGAGAUACCGGUGCAAAAGAAGUGGGCAUGCGGAUGCGAGUCAUGCAAGAUGGUGGGGUGAUCCCGGAUUCCGGCUUCCCACGGGACGGUGUCAUGGCAAAAGAGGGGCAUCGCAAGGACGAUUCGAUCAUGGUGCAAAACUCGAGCAUCUCAUACAACCAAGCACGCAUUCGUUCACCGGCGGUCGUCAUCUCGGGAUUAUACCUUUGAAGCGUGCAUUUUUGGAGCGGGUCAACUUCAAAGCGGUGUAGAGGAAGUAGUUGUUCACGGGCCGUAGUGGAGGUAGUCGUUCUCGCGACGGUAGUGGAAGUAGACGUUCAUGGGUCGUCAUGGGAAGUAGUCGUACAAGGCAACGGUAGAGGUACUCACGAUUUUGGCGACGGUAGUGGAAGUAGUGGUACACGGCGACGGUAGUCGUUCACGGGUCGUAGACGUUCCCGGGUCGUGGGUAGAGGUACUUGUUGAUGGUCGUCAUGGUAGUUGGCGAAUCCACGUAGUCGUACACAACUUGACGCAUCCAAACGAAGCAACACAAAAGGCCUCGGGUCUUCCUGGAUACCGGGUCUUGGCAGCGACAAGAGGGGAAAUAAAGCCAAUCGGGCAGUAAGGGGGUGGAGAUCUCGUGGAAGUUUGCCGUGAAGGGGCAGCAACCGAAGACAUCGAGUGGUGGAGGCGUCGGCCCCUGGUUCAAAACAGAAGCAAGGCGCUGGCCUCAAACAACGAAGGCGGCAGCAGGAACUCUGGCCGGCGAGGGCGCUGCUUGGGGAGGCGGAGAGGAAGGAGGCGCAACGCGGGAGGAGAAGCAGGGCGCGGCAAACCAUGGAGGGCGGCGGUGCCAUGGUCGUGCGGCCCAGGCGAGCUCGGCUGCCUGGACUCGCUGGCCGAAGUGGCGGCGGGGUCACCAGGUGGCGCGGGGACGAAGCAGCACAAGAGACGACGCGGGAGGAAGGUUGCAGGGGACGGGCCGAGGCAUGGGGUCGUCGGAGCAGCGCAUGGGCGACAGGGCCGCCGAAGGAGGCUCGCGUGGAGGGCGACGCUCAGCAGCGGGGCCAGCAGUAGGGCACCCGCGGGAGGCCGAGGCCGGCAGAGGUGCGGAGGCGGCGUGGCCAUGGACGACGGCGAGGAGGGAGACGUGGGCACGCGGCGCUCCUCUCUCUCUCUGCGACGAAGCAACGAGGGAGGAGGGGAUCGAGCGCUGGGCUGUCCCUGGCGAUGUGCGUGUGUGGGUGGCGGCGUGAAGGAAUGAGAGGGAGAGCGGAUCGAGAGAUGGGGAUCGAUCGGCCUAGGGUUAGAGCUGGUGGGGGCGGUUGGGCCUUGGGCCGGCUUAGUUGGUCGGGCCUAAGAGGCCUGGCUGGGCUCUCUUCUCCCUCUCUCUUUUAUUUACCAAAAGCAGUAAAUAGCAAAGAAAGGGUUGGAGAAAUAAUUUGAGCAUGGGGUAAUUUUCCCGGGCUCGCAAAAAUAUGCUCGUUCCAAGAAAAUAGGAAUGGCCAAGAUUGCAAGAUUUAAAUUCAAACUCAUUUGAAGUUAAUUCAAAUGGGUUUCAACUAGGACUUGAUAAAAGGAAGGUCCAAAAAUGUUCGAAUUUUUGGUGGAGCUCCGAAAAAUGACGAAAUAAUUUAUUGGACAAAGUUGGAGGCCAAGAAUUAAGAUAACAAAGGCAUUGGGAUUUAUUUGCAAGUGUGUUAUAAUCAAUUCCAAAUAAAUGGAAUAAUUUUAUAUAGCUCCAUAAUAUUGGGAGGAUAUGUUAUAAAGAGAAGUCACCCUUCCCUCGAUUUAAAUGGAUCGAAGAUCCAUACAAUUUAUUUAGAUGAGUUUUAAAAUUAAAUGGCAUGAUGGCAUGAUGACAUGAUGCAAUGCAAAAAUAAAAGAGCAAGCACAAAAGAAACACAUGGUGAAACUCGGAAACCCUGGAUGUCUUCUGGAGCGUCGGUCUCGGGGCGUUACAACACUCCACCACUACAAGAGGAUCUCGUCCCGAGAUCUAGAAUGGCACCGGAGGAAAACAGAAGAGGAAGAGAAGAGGUAAAACUAAGUUGCUUCUUUGACCAAUGAGUGAAACCAAAGAACCUUGAGAGGUUGAAAAGUUGAAAGAAAGAACACAACAGAGUUGAACACAAUUGAGAGCACUGCGGUAGAAAAUGAAACAAGGAACACCAUGUGAACCUUGGAGGUUGCAAAGCUAUGAAUGAUGAGUACAAUGGACAAGAAGGAAUUCGAAAGCGCUCUAGUUGAAACGAGAUAAACAAGGAACAAGGAAGAACAAAUUCGGACAGCACUCCGGUUGAAAAGAGAUGCAAGACUUGAUAAGAUGAAAAGAACUUAGCAGAGAACAUAACACUCCGGUUAAAUGGAUAAGCAAGAAAAGAACACGAACUUGACAAAACGACGUGAUGGUGAAGAGCACAACAUCACAAUGCCUCCGGAAGAAAUGAAAGAAUGGAAUGGAAUGAACGGAGGAAAACUUGAUCUUGAAAGAGCCCGCUUACAGGAAAAACUAGAAUGGAGUUGUUGGAUUAACAACAACGAAAGGAUAAGCUUGUUGUGGGCUUAUGGAAAACAUCUCAAAACAAUGAGGUGACAACCGGCCACUAACUGAAACAAUUGCUUGCUUGAGAUCAACGAAGAGAUGAAAACUGCUUCGCCGAGAGGAUAGGAGAAAACUUGGAUCAUUGAUAAGCACCACAAUAUCAACAUUCCUUGGGGAAGGCUUUUAGGUGAAAUAUGACACAAGAUAACUCCAACAAAGAGAUUGAUGGAUUUAAAAUACCUCAUUCUUGACAACAUAUGAAUCAUGAAACAUGAAGGAAAUUGUCAAGAGUGACAUAACACCAUCUCAAAAGAUAAGGUAGAGGAAUUGCACUUUGGAAUGCAAGAUGAAGAAUGCUUGAACUCCUCUGAAAAGAAUCUCGAUGAACACUUCGAGAAGGAAUUAAAUCCUUGAUGAACCAUCAUGUAGAGCCUCCAUGAAGAACUCCAGCAAUAAAAGAAUGAUAGAAAGAAAGAGAAGUUGAAAACACAAGGUGAAACCUUGCGAUGAUUUAGAUGGAGCUUCGCGAUGAGAUUAUCGAGAAAACAUGGAACUCCAGAAAAGGAAAAUAUGAAACACUAGAGCCGAGAAUUACUUCAUCAUGAACAAUCUCCGGAAGAAAAGAAUUAAUCACUUGGAUGAAACAAUAAUAAUAAUUAUGUCAUGCCUAUCCUUCACCAAUUUAAAUUGAUGACAAGCAACGGAUUCGGCAUACUACUUAUUCUCGUAGAAAGGAUUAAAGAGAGAUAUAGCGCCAACUGGAAAAAAGUCUUCAACAACCACCGGUAGGAUUGAAACAACGAAAGAAUGAAUGAAUUGAUACGAUAACAAAGGAAGCGAAAUCUUGAACGAACCGUCGUAAGAAUUGAAAAUGAACGUAGCAAUGGCACAAUUCACCGGGAAGGAUUGAAAAACAAAUGAAGAUACUUGAGGGGAUUUAGAUACAUGAGAACGAAGAGAUCAUGAAGUGAUUAGAGGAUAUUUGAACGAUUCACCGGUAAGAUUUGGAGAAUGAUAGCUACACUCUAAGAAUGAAGAAUUAAGACAUCACGGGAUUCGGAGGAAAGAAAUGGAAACAACUAAUGAAAUUCUCCGGAUAGUUGAAAAGAAUUCUCACAAUCGAAAACAAUUAUGAGAGGAUGGCAGCAAGCUAGAACCAUGAAUCUCUGGAAGAACGGGUAAGGAUUUAAGAGGAACUCUUCUUCGGUCUUCACAUGCUGAGAAUGAUGAUGAGAACCACGAUGAAUUGUUGAGACACUCCAGAAUGAAAAUUAGAAAGGUUGAACCAAUGAUGAAAAGAAUUUGAAAGAUCUUGGAGAAGGAAUAUGACCGAUGAUAAUUCAUUCUUACGUCAAACUUGGAAAUGAAUUUGACAAUCGCUCCUGAUAAUUCGAAGAGUCAGGUAAGAUCCUGGGAAAAGACCUGUGGGUUAGGGCCCACUCAAAAGAAACACCGUUGAAAGAUUACUUGAAAGGGAUAUUGCAAUGGUUGAAUUAAAUAGCUUGAAUUAGAGAAAAACCUCGAAGUACUCGAAUGGAUUAAGAAUGGAAACAUGAUUCUUCUGAGAUAUCUUCAGUACUCCAAAACAAAUGAAUGGCGAGAAGUUGAUGAUUAAGAGGUGCACCGGCAUGAGAAAACAUUUGAAAGGAGGAAAGAGAUAUGAUCGACAAAGCUUGAAUUGGAUCCACCGGAGAAGAAACAACAAUGAAGGAUGAUGAACUUGAAACUGUUGAGCAUCUUCAUGGAAAAUCACCGGAUAAGAACAUUGACGGAAAAGAAUGUAGAGACUUCUCACAAAUAAAAGGAUACAUGAUUAAGAAAUCCGAGUCCUUGAAGAAAAAGGGUGGGAGGGCGGGAAACAAAGGUAACUUGGGACGGAUGGAAUGGAUACCAUCGAGAAAACUUAGAAUUGAUCUUGCGAAUGUUGGAAUGAUCGGAUCCACUUGAAGAGAAGCACGCCGGUAGGAAAAGAAUUAACAUGACAACCUCAAUGAUCAAAAGGAUUAGUAUUCACAUAGCAAUAUGAGAACACCAUUUAGGGAAGGUAUGGAUUCAACAUUUGACUUCGAAGCAACUCGAAUACCAGAAAUAAAACAAAACAAAGGAUUUGGCUUGCAGAAUAAGCCGGAACAAACAUAUGACAGAGAUUUCGUUCGAAGUUUCCGUGGUGGGGCCCACACGGGCUCGAGUGUACAGCACCAUCAUGUACAAGGCAGUGCACAUGACAUAAGAAGUUUCCCCGAACCAGCAUAGCCAAGGGUUCUUUAAGACACAAUGAGAAGACUUUAAAAAACGACCGUGGAAAGGCGGACCACUAGACGUCGAACCCCAAUCUCAUAUCAUGCAUCUGUCGGAAAGAAAAAAAACUAGAGCUAAUUGAAUUCCCACCUAUAAAACUCCUGAAACUUUCUGGUUAUGCAAUCUGGUGUUGGGGCUACAGGGGAAGCAAUAUAUACCUCACCCAAAACUAACAAUCCCUACAUCCAAGCUGUAUCCAUCCGUCAACACAUAACCAAGAAAACUCAGGAAAUCGUGUACCUCAACCUUCGAAAAGCAUCCUUUAUACAAGCUAUGGCAAUACUCCCGAACUCCCCAGUACUGGGUGAUGUCGAGGUUAUCUCACCAACAACUGCAUAAAAGAGAUUUUCGAUGUCGGCAAAACUCAGGUAUUCCAGAACUGCAACGAUAAAAUUAUGACGACAACACCUCAGAGCUCAACUCCCCGGGACACUGCCACAACACCCUAAAUGUCAGGAGGCACCAAGAACAAUGUUCUCGUCAUAAGAAUAUCGGAACGAUCCCAAGAUACCCGCGUGAUCCUAAAAAAAAAUAGUGAAAUUUGAGGAGAGGAAAGUCAAAACAUCUACGUCAGGAGACCUCACCAGAGCGACGAAGGGACUGAGGAGUAAAAAGAAUCCUACUCUCCGAUAUAUAUAAUCCUAAGACUCAAAACAUUUUUGUUAUAGACUCAACAACGCCAGCAAACAAUCAAGCAGGGGGCUCCUAAGUCGGGGAUGGCUCUGAUUACGAACUUGUAACACCCACGAUGCGGCUAUAUCUCCCACGUGUCGAAGCACGACUUAGAGGCAUAACCGCAUUGUGGUUUUGUCGCAAGAAGGGUCAUCUUCACACAAUCCCAUGUAAUGAACAAGACUGGGAUAAAGAGUUGCCUUACAAUCGCCACUUCACACAAGAACUUAAAUAAAUCAUACAUCAAUCAGAGUACACAAAUAGUCCGACUACGGACGAAGCCAAAAGAAAAGAAGAUAACCCAACUGCUAGAUCCCCGAUCGUCCCAACUGGGCUCCACUACUGAACAACAUGAAACAAAACAUAGCAACGACCAAUAUCUUUGUUGAGCUCCCAUCUGAGCUCGGUUGCAUCAUCUGCACUGGUAUCAUCGGCACCUGCAACUGUUGUGAUAGUAUCUGGUGAGUCACGAGGACUCAACAAUCUCAAAACCCGCGAGAUCAAGACUAUUUAAGCUUAUGGGAAAGGAAGGGGUAAGGUGGUGAGGUUGCAGCAGCAACUAAGCAUAUAUGGUGGCUAACAUACGCAAAUAAGAGCAAGAAGAGAAGCAAAGGAACGGUUGUGAAGCUAGCAAUGAUCAAGAAGUGAUCCUGAACUCCUACUUACGUCAAACAUAACCCAAAACCGUGUUCACUUCCCGGACUCCGUCGAAAAGAGACCAUCACGGCUACACAUGCGGUUGAUGCAUUUUAAUUAAGUCAAGUGUCAAGUUCUCUACAACCGGAUAUUAACAAAUUCCCAUCUGCCACAUAACCGUGGGCACGGCUUUCAAAAGUUUAAUCCCUGCAGGGGUGUCCCAACUUAGCCCAUCAUAAGCUCUCACGGUCAACGAAGGAUAUUCCUUCUCCCAGGAAGACCCGAUCAGACUCGGAAUCCCGGUUUACAAGACAUUUCGACAAUGGUAAAACAAGACCAGCAAGACCACCCGACUGUGCCGACAAGUCCCGAUAGGAGCUGCACAUAUCUCGUUCUCAGGGCACACCGGAUAAGCGAAGCAUACAGGUACCGACGUAAUCCAAGUUGACAAGGAAUGGUCACGCACGGUGCUCUAGUUUGGACCAACACUCAGAGGAGCACUGGCCCGGGGGGUAAAAUAAAGAUGACCCUUGAGUCUGCAGAACCCAAGGGAAAAAGGCUUAGGUGGCAAAUGUUAAAACCAAUGUUGGGCCUUGCUGGAGGAGUUUUAUUCAAAGAGAACUGUCAAGGGGGUCCCAUAAAUCACCCAACUGUGUAAGGAACGCAAAAUCAAGGAACAUAACACCGGUAUGACGGAAACUAGGGCGGCAAGAGUGGAACAAAACACCAGGCAUAAGGCCGAGCCUUCCACCCUUUACCAAGUAUAUAGAUGCAUUAUAAAUAAACAAGAAAUAUUGUGAUAUCCCAACAUAAUCCUGCCCAUCAUGGAGCAAUCUUCAACUUCACCUGCAACUAACAAUGCUAUAAGAGGGGCUGAGCAAAGCGGUAACAUAGCCAAGCAAUGGUUUGCUAGGAAGGGUGAAAAGGUUAGAGGCUGACAUGGAAAUAUGGGAGGCAUGGUAAACAAGUGAUAGGUAGCGCGACAUAGCGAUAGAACGAAGCAACUAGCAAGCAAAGAUAGAAAUGAUAUCAAGGGUAAUGGUCAUCUUGCCUGAAAUCCCACAAGGAAGAAGAACGAGACCAUGAAGAAGACAAACAGACAUAGUCGAACGAAUCCUCACAAAUCCGCAACGAAACCGAAGCUAACGAGAGAAGCAAACCGGAAAGAAGCAAACAACAUGGUAAACACACAAGCAUAAACAUGUCAAGAUGCACAAACAAGUAUGAUGCAUGUCCGGUUUAAUGAGGCAUGGCAUGGCAAUAUGCACAAACAACACUACAAGUUAAGUGGAGCUCAAUAUGCAACGAGUUGCAUAUUGACGGAACACCCCAUCAAUUAUUUAGUUCUCUCUCGGUUAUGCUACCAAACAAUAUUAAGUGUUGUAAAACAUGGCAAGAGGUGAAGCAUAAAUAAACUAACUAUUUAGGCAUGUUUAAAUGAGGCCGGAAACAACAAACAACAAUUCCGGGAAAUCCUCAUGUCAUUCAGCAAUUUAAAGCAAGCAACAAUUUUAAGCGUUUAAAUGUUGUUAUCAUGAUGCGGAUGACAUAAACAAGUUUUAGGCAUUUUUUAUGAAGAUGUUGACAUGAGCAAGAUAUGGAACAUUUGGCCACCAUGGCGGAAUGAAAAGGGUGCCACGACGGCGAAACAAAAAUGGUGCCACGACAACAUAUCGUUUCCGGUAGCUCACGGAGAUACCGGUGCAAAAGAAGUGGGCGUGCAGAUGCGAGUCAUGCAAGAUGGUGGGGCGAUCCCGGAUUCCGGGUUCCCUCGGGACGGUGGCAUGGCAAAAGAGGGGCAUCGCAAGGACGAUUCGAUCAUGGUGCAAAACUCGAGCAUCUCAUACAACCAAGCAUGCAUUCGUUCACCAGCGGUCGUCAUCUCGGGAUUAUACCUUUGAAGCGUGCAUUUUCGGAGCGGGUCGACUUCAAAGCGGUGUAGAGGAACUAGUUGUUCACGGGCCGUAGUGGAGGUAGUCGUUCUCACGACGGUAGUGGAAGUAGACGUUCAUGGGUCGUCGUGGGAAGUAGUCGUACACGGCAACAGUAGAGGUACUCGCGAUUUUGGCGACGGUAGUGGAAGUAGUGGUACACGGCGACGGUAGUCGUUCACGGGUCGUAGACGUUCCCGGGUCGUGGGUAGAGGUACUUGUUGAUGGUCGUCGUGGUAGUUGGCGAAUCCACGUAGUCAUACACAACUUGACGCAUCCAAACGAAGCAACACAAAAGGCCUCGGGUCUUCCUGGAUACCGGGUCUUGGGAGCGACAAGAGGGGAAACAAAGCCAAUCCGGCAAUAAGGGGGUGGAGAUCUCAUGGAAGUUUGCCGUGAAGGGGCAGCAACCGAAGACACCGAGCGAUGGAGGCGUCCGCCCCUGAUUCAAAACAGAAGCAAGGCGCUGGCCUCGAACGAUGAAGGCGGCAGGAGGAACUCUGGCCGGCGAGGGCGCUGCUUGGGGAGGCGGAGAGGAAGGAGGCGCGCCGCGGGAGGAGAAGCAGGGCGCGGCAAACCAUGGAGGGCGGCGGUGCCAUGGUCGUGCGGUCCAGGCGAGCUCGGCGGCCUGGACUCGCUGGCCGAAGCAGCGGCGGGGUCACCAGGUGGCGCGGGGACAAAGCAGCAGGAGAGACGGCGCGGGAGGAAGGUUGCAGGGGACGGGCCGAGGCAUGGGGUCGUUGGCGCAGCGCAUGGGCGACAGGGCCGCCGGAGGAGGCUCGCGUGGAAGGCGAUGCUCGGCAGCGGGGCCAGCAGCAGGGCAAUCGUGGGAGGAUGAGGCCGGCGGAGGUGCGGAGGCGGUGUGGCCAUGGACGACGGCGAGGAGGGAGACGUGGGCACGCGGCGCUCCUCUCUCUCUCUGCGACGAAGCAACAAGGGAGGAGGGGAUCGAGCGCUGGGCUCUCCGUGGCGAUGUGCAUGUGUGAGUGGCGGCGUGAGGGAAUGAGAGGGAGAGCGGAUCGAGAGACGGGGAUCGAUCGGCCUAGGGUUAGAGCUGGUGGGGGCGGCUGGGCCUUGGGCCGGCUUAGUUGGUUGGGCCUAAGAGGCCUGGCUGGGCUCUCUUCUCCCUCUCUCUUUUAUUUACCAAAAGCAGUAAAUAGCAAAGAAAGAAAAAGGAGAUAAAGAAAGGUUGGAGAAAUAAUUUGAGCAUCGGGUAAUUUUCCCGGACUCGCAAUAAUAUGCUCGUUCCAAGAAAAUAGGAAUGGCCAAGAUUGCAAGAUUUAAAUUCAAACUCAUUUGAAUUUAAUUCAAAUGGGUUUGAACUAGGACUUGAUAAAAGGAAGGUCCAAAAAUGUUCGGAUUUUUGGUGGAGCUCCGAAAAAUGACGAAAUAAUUUAUUGGAAAAAGUUGGAGGCCAAGAAUUAAGAUAACAAAGGCAUUGGGAUUUAUUUGCAAGUGUGUUAUGAUCAAUUCCAAAUAAAUGGAAUAAUUUUAUAUAGCUCCAUAAUAUUGGGAGGAUAUGUUAUAAAGAGAAGUCACCCUUCCCUCGAUUUAAAUGGAUCAAAGAUCCAUACAAUUUAUUUAGAUGAGUUUUAAAAUUAAAUGGCAUGAUGGCAUGAUGACAUGAUGCAAUGCAAAAAUAAAAGAGCAAGCACAAAAGAAACACACGGCGAAACUCGGAAACCCUGGAAGUCUUCUGGAGCGUUGGUCUCGGGGUGUUACAUGCUUGGUGCGCUGGCACGGGGAAGAAGACGGGAGUACCCCUGGUGGGGUGGGCCAUGAAGCUGGGCCGCCAGGUAAGGCCAGGUUGGUUCUUUCUCUCUCUUUUCAAUUUUCUGUUUUCUAAUUUUUGCAAAUUUGUUUUAAUUUGGUUUGCUAACCAAAUUAUUUUUGCAACCCUCUGGAAAUUAUUGUGGAUGUAAUAAGGUUUAUCCUAGAGCUCCACAAAGUAUUCGAGGAUCAUUGGAGCAAUAAAAAUAUUUAUAGAAUUUAUUUGCUCCAACUCAAAUACAAUUAUGAUUUAAUUCAAUGACCAAAAUGUCCUGGAAAAAUAUGCAUCAUCUCUGGUAGAGGCUUUCACCUUUUUCCAUAAAUCAUGAACAUUUUAUAAGGAUAUUUUGAGUUCAUUGAAAAUAUUUCGGUUGAACCUAUUUGAAUUCUUUUGGUGCUAGGGUUUUAACAUCCCCAUUUCAAGAUUAAGUGCACAUUAAACAUGAUGCAAAACAUGACUAGCUAGCCCAAAGCAGACCAGAACUAGGGAUGUGACAACUCACCCCCACUAAACAAGAAUCUCGUCCCGAGAUUCAAGACGUGAGUUAAGAAGACAAAGGGACACAAGCUAACACGAUCUUCAUGAUCCAAUUGAUCUUCUUGAAGAUGUUGAUUCAUUGAUUCAAAUUGAUAUUGACGUCUUUGCUUUUGAGGUCUUCAUCCAACACAAUGACAAGAAGGAAGUAAAACUUCUACAAUAAUCGAUCUUCACGAAGAUCGAGCAACUCUGGAUCGACUCAUGGUUUGAGACGUAAAAACAUCUCUCGAGUUGAGACACAAAACACACAUAAGGGGUGAUGGUAAGGAGCCGAUGACGAAGGUUCAAUUUUGGUAGGCAGCAAUUCCACACUCAAGUAGAUGGUGAGUAAGUGUCAAAGUAGCCAGGAGAUAAUUUUUCGUGAUUCCAUAACGGGGCACCUUAGAAGAGGUGACUCGUUGGAUUAUCCCCUGAAGUGGCAAAAAGAAUUACUUUUGAUAUAGAGAUCAUUGAAACUCCCUAUACCAGGCUAGGGCAAUUCGCAACCGACCGUUUGAAAAAGUCGGAAAGGAUGGUAUACUCAGACUAGAAUGGAUGAUGUGGAUUACCUUGUUGAAGACAACGCAAUGGAUGAUUUUUGAUUAUCAUCAGGAAUGGAUGGAACCCAUGGUGGAAUGGCAUAAUGGUGGUGCAAGCUGGGAGCAAAAUGCAAAUGUCGGAAAUGAUUCUAGUAACUGGGGAGGAACUCAACAGUAGGGAAUAAUUCCACUGUUGGAGUGGUUAUAACAUAACCGAAGAAAACUUGAAGCAAUCCUAGUUAGUGCCGGUGAUAAUACCUGGUGCUUGUGCAUGCUCUAAAGAACUUGAGAAUUUCCAUAUUCAUCAAGGUUUUACCAAUAUCCGUGUCAAGGAUCCUGGCAACACAACAUACUACCAUGAUGAAUAAUGGUGGAGGAUGCACAUGCAAAGGAAUAUAACACCUUCUCAGAUUUCACCUUAGCAAGGCCAAGGGACAAAAAAAUCUAGAUGAUCGACCGAGAGACAUUUAGCACUCUGCUUCUAAUGUUCUCCUUGAUGUGCUAGUGCAACCCAUUAGUUAAAAUGGUUUGGUACUAGAACAUCAAGUAACAGGUGAGACUUCGGGAACACAAAAAAUCCAUAAAAGACAACUAGGGAGUAAAUCCUACAAAAUCCUUAUGGGGAGGUGGCAAACUUCCUCAAUCAAGACGCUACAAUAAUAAGUCUUCCGGCUAGGUGUGUUGGCCGCGGCAUCCACUUUACCGAGUCACAAAGAGACCAAUAUUAUAGAUCUUGAGAAACGUUCCAACCAUCAUAUCUGCCUGCGAUUUGGAUCUGGUUGGUGUCAGGAUAUUCCAGACUCAUCGAGUCUAGAAAGAAAAAUUGUAAGUUUGCAACACAAAUCGACGAGAUGACAUUGCAGGAUUCUCGAGAAAUGGACUAUGAUAGGAAGCUCCAAAACAUGAGCUGGUUCUGCUACAAACAAGUGAACACGUUGUCCCAGACAAGCAGGCCACGUGGUAGUCUUAUAAUAAAACACUAUCGAGUUCAAGUUGGGAAACCAUCAUUUCGGAUAACGAGGUCCCUACAUAAGUCAUAUGAUUAGCUCUUAUGAAGAAACUUCUUCUCCUUGAACAGUUCAAUCAGUGGCUUGGUGUGCUAGGGACACAUAUAGAAUGGAGGUAGCGAGCCUAUCAAACCAUAGCAUACUUCGCACAUGCAUGACUGACUUGGGAUGGUUCCAGAGCAAACAAAAACAAUCUGUCUUGAACUCAUGGCGGCAACUUGCACCAAAUGCACAUGAAUCUGAGUAAGUCACUUCUUUCAUCCAACACAUGCUUCAUGAAUGGGACAUGAAGAUAAUGCUUAUAAAGUUUCCAACACUAGCUUAAUGUUCAACAAAAUCAUGGAGAAGUUAGGAAUGUUUUCAAUGAGCUCAACAACCAUUCAUCCAGGUUUCGAUAUAAAUGGAAUUCCAUAAUUAUGUGAACAUGGUGAUAACACUGGUCAGACCAAAGUAUGUAAUGGUGUAUGCUCGAGGGAUCAACCACGAGUAAGACAACAUUAUGAAUAUUGUUGGUUUUGACUUGAUUUGACGAUAGCCCAUAAGCAAAUCAAAGAUUUCGGUAAGACAAUAGAUCCAACAAUUGACACGAGGAUCAGUCAAUGAAGAUAUCAUCUUUCUUCAACACACACGCACAAGGGUAUCCCUUGGAAUGAACUGAGUCGGACAAGCUUUUAUCUUCCAACUCUCCAAGUUGUUGUUCAGCUUAACCAACUAGCUCAGGGUAUCCAACACAGAUUCUUGGAGUAAGGGUGGUUUACAAGAAAACCAACUUGAUCACAAACUCAACAUAGCGGUCAGGUGACGACCCGGUGAUACUUUUGAGAAGAUAUCCGGAAAAUCAUGAACCACUGAUAUGUUAUAAGCUCGAGAACAAUCUUGCUUUUCAGGGAAAGAUGAUAUGAUCAAAAGAGCGAGGAUUUGAAAUAAUCCUAACUCAUCGAUCGAAGGUGCACCGGAAAUAAGGACUAGGUAGCAUGAUCAACCUUGGGGUGAUGAUUCAACAUUCAACACAUAAGGAUAAGAUUAUUGUCCAUUAACUACCAAGCAACACAGUUGCUAGGAGUAUUGAUUUCACACAUCACGAUUCACUUGUCGGCAUCCCGGUUGCGAUAACACAGGACCGAGGAAUGAAUGAUGAUGGUGUGGGGACCCCGACUCAUAAGUCGUGAUCACCGAAUGCACGUGUACAGUGAUCCCAGAGAUCAAUGCUCACUGAACACACAGAAGCUGAAUAAUAGGAGUCUUACAUCCAAACAUACCGUAUUACACAAGUAGGACCAUUAUGGUCAAGUCUUGAGUAUAACAUUGCAGAGGAAAUCUUCGUCGAUAACUUGGACCCAUGCCAUCUGCCUUAACCCUACAGGCAUUCUGACUGGGAAGCGUCCUAGCUCUCAUGUUCGUCACCAAAGCAUUCUUCUUCAUAUCCUGUUCUUUUAUGCCUGGCCAAUAAAAUAACCAGUGGCAAGCCAAUGAGUACUUUGAAUGUACUCGCAAGCAACCCAUGUUUUGGUUCAAGAUACAACAAUGCAUGAUGUAGGUAAAUUUUUGCAGAAACCUAGUUUUGAGUGCAAUGACAUGUUCAACAAUUUGUAAGACAUGCAUCAAGAGAAUUCAACUAACCAUGAGGACAGGUUACAUGUAUCAACAUAAAUAGAGUGGGCACCAACCCAUCUCAAUCACGUCAAGUCCUUUGUCUUGACCCAAGUAGUUAUCCAAACACACACACUGGUUUGUAAACUCUGGACAUAGUUUAAGCAGCACCGCCCAACUGUCCUUGACCGUGGACACGGCUAUUCGAAUAGUUUUACACUCUGCAGAGGUUGCACACUGUACCCACAAGAUCCGGGGAACUUCCGUGUCAUCCACGACCCGCGAUACCUCAAGUACCCGGGGUAAGCACCCGAUCACUACCUUUCCUAGACGACACUAACAUGGAGUCCACUCGAUUGGUAGUAACCCCCGUGCCCAACAUUAUCACAUAACAUUUUCGUGGAGCCACGCUCCAUAAUCAUCUGUCAUCACAAGCACGGGGUACCAACGGUGUGUCCGGUGCCCCAUAAAAAUGUUCUUGGCCGCCCUACCUGGCACGACCCCGUCCCGAGAGAGCGCACCAAUAACUCUCCCGUCACUAGUAAUGUGGGCUCCAAGCUAGUAUCGGUCUAGGUAAUCAAUAAUGCCCUUUCCCAUAUAAGGGUAGAGUGGUUGCGCAUGUAAGGUUGGGACAGUCAUCAAAUCUUAAAUCUAAUCCGUUUUCGAAAACAACACACACUUUCCUCGGUACACCACUUCAUCAUCAAGUGGUUACCCAUCUCAUCAUCUCCCUCGGGCAUAAGUGGCACCCAACGGGGAUUUCGAAAAGUCUUUUGAAAAUGCAUUGCCUCCUUCACCAUGCAUAAUCCCGUCCUUUUUUGCGUAGCAACUACUUUAGCAUCCUAUCUACUCUCACCGGCAUAACCCUCAUAAGAAGGUAGGGUCAUGCACAAUGCAAGUAUCAACGAGGAAGUAACAGAGGCAACCAACCCACGUGGUUCACCAUCUCAUCAUGAUCCCGAUGCAACAAUAAUAAAGAGCUAUAUGACAUGCAUAAAAAGGGUUUCAUAGACAUGGUCAAAGGGCUGCUUACCUGUUUCAUCAGACUCUUGAGAUCUUCUGGUCCUUCUCCAGGUACUCCGUCUACUUUGUCAACUAACGUCGGAAACAAUCAUAAUAAGCAACACAACAAGGCAAAAAUAAAAGUGCUCUAAAAAUAUGAGUUGUACUUUUCUAGGAAACCUCUGGUCAUAUGAGGAAUGACCAAGGUGAUCUCAUUGGAAGUGGGUCAAUGGAUAUUUCUAAACAUUUCAAUAUGAUGGAAUCAAUGGAUUUGAUGGAUCCACAAGUUGUACACAGAAUGCCAUUUUAGAAAAAUGAGUAAAAGUACCCAUUAAUUUAGGCAUGAUUUUAGAAACAUUUAGAAAUUGGUUUCACUGGAUUUGGAGUUGAAAUGAAUACAAUAUGGAUUUUUGAAGUGGACUUAUGUGGAUAAAUGACCUUUUAAAAAGGUUCAGUGAAAACCAGGGACAACAAAAAUGUCCACUAUGGCCUAUUAAAUAGAGCUUGAUUUAUGGAGCCACUGGAAAUUUGAAUCAUCAAAUUUGGAUUAUAUUUGACUUAUUUGUGGAUUUUACAAAUUUACAGAAAAGAAAAAGGAAAAGGAAAGGGUUUUACCCUUAUCCAGCGCAUUGGGCGCAGUUUAGCAGUGGGCCGGCCCAGCGGCUCGGCCACGCAGACGACAGGGCGACGCUGAUGGCGCCCAGCUGGAGUACGCCUUUGCUGCGGGGACAGGGAGAAAGCGAGUACGCCUCCACUUGCCAGCGUGGCCCCGUGGCUGGGCCACUGACAAGCGGGGCCCGCCUGUCAGGUUCGUCCUCCACCUCCCGCGCGGGUGCGAUAGGAGACAGAGGAGGUGUUCGACACCGGCCGCCGGCGCUACAGGGCGUCUCCGGUGAUGCUUUGCCCAUCGGCAUGCUCAAGGGACCCAGCCGCGUCCAAUCGUGGGUGGAACGGUCGCCCAGGGGCACCGGGUCGAGCAAGGCGUCGACCGCGGCGGACGAGGCUGACGGUGGUGAUGCAGCUCGACGGAACAGCCACGGGGAGGAGGGGGAGAAUCACGGGAGGGUCUCGCUGUGACGGUGGUUGCGCUCUAGUGCGGUCCAGAGGGAAGGAGGAGGAGAGAUGGGUGCGGAUUUAGGCGGAGACCGACGGCAAGGCUCCGGCCAUGGUGACGGAUGGAGAGCGCGAGGAGGGGAGAGGAUUGGUCCAGGGGUCUCUGGGAGGGAGAGAGAGCGAAAGGAGGCCAGAGAGGGCCCCGAGGGUGGCCUUUUAUGGCGGGGCGAUGGUGCACCAUGGGCUCGUGCGCCGGCGAGCUCGCGCUCGUCGCUACGGCCCUCGGGAAGGUGGUGCACCGAGUGUAGGGAGUUCAUGGAGGUGGACUACGCCCAGGGGGAGAAGAGAGGGAGCAGGGAAUGCGGCAUGGCGGGUCCCCGCCGCGGCCAGUGACUGGCGCGCUCGGGCGGCGUUCUGUCCGCACGCGAGGAGAGCCGGAGAGGGAGAGAGAGGAUGGGGACGAUAGUGUAGCGUGAUGCGGACGUCGAGGUGACCUCGGGGGACACGACGGGGAGGCCCUAGGUGGCCGGGGGGUGGUUGGAAGGGGGCGGCUACAGUGCGGGUGUGCACUGUAGCGCGCUCUGGAGCACGCCAGUUGCAUGCCAGGGCAUGUCUUUGGCUUGUAGGGCGUGGCCACUUGUGUCUAGGUUGUUUAGGGAGGAGUAAACAAAGGGGAGAGGGCCUUGGAUGCCCUGGACAGCCAGUAGGAGAGGAGAGAGGUUGAGAGAGAGAGAGAGGGAAAUGGGCUGUCCAGAGAGAGAAAGUGAGGGUUUCACCCCCAAAUAAUUGAUCUGAGAUGCAGCCAUUGCUACUGGAGGUAGAAGAGGUCUAGGAGGGGCUGUGGUAAAAUGUUGAGCUCAAGGAGAUUAGUGGAAGAUGUCAAAAUGGUGAUUUUGGAAAAAUUGCAGAAGGUGUUUGUUGUUGGUUUGGGAAAGAAAAUUAAUUCCACUUGCCAUGAGAAUUAACAGGAUGGAAUGGCACAUAGAAGUAGGGUGUUCCACCAAGUUUGAGCUCAUUUGGGCAAAGUUGCCAAUGCAACUUUUGUAAACCCUAGAAAUUAGCAGAAAUGAACUUGUGUAGAUCUAGUUGAUAAAAUCACUUCUCCUUGAUGCACCACUUGGUGUAGUGGCCUCUUUUGGUCAUGUGAACAUGUAUACAGAAGUUGAGGUCAAAAGGAGAAAGUUUCCAAUGUAGAGUUGUUCAAUUUUGGUUCUGGACAGGAAGGGUUUUGGGGCACUUUGAUCAAGUUAACUUGUUCUCCAACUUGUGCCAUUUGGUCUAGAUGAAUAAAUAGACCAUUGGAGCAUGUACACAAGGUUUGAGAACAUUUGGAAAUGUUUGGCAAUGUAAAGUUGCUCAAACUUCAAAAUGGACAGAAAUGGUUCUGAGGGGAUUUGAUGAUGUUAUAUUGUUCUCCAAGUCAUGAGACUUGGCAAGAUUAUCAAAUAUGUCAUAUGUGACAUGAUAGAAUUUUCUUGGAAUAUUUGCAGAAUAUUUCCUUUGUAAAUAUUUCAAAAGCUUGAAAUAUCCCGAAAGGGUUUUUCAGGGAUUUGACCAAUAUUUUGAACAUGACCAUGUUUUGAAACUCUUAUAUAUGGACAAUAUAUGUCCACUGAGUUUCCCUGAUUUUUGUCAAAUAUUUUUAAAACAAUAAAAUAAUUUUUCCCUAUUAAAGACCAUUUGUGGCCUUAAGAAAAAGCUUUUAAAUAAAAUAGAAAAAUAACUUUUAAAAUUAUAUUUUUGUUGUUUCUGGGUAUCCUAUAUCUAAUAGGAGUCAAAAAUAUUUUUGGAAAGAAUUUUACUGCCCUUAAUUAAGUAUUUGCAGUGCAAACCUCAAUUCAGGGGUUUUUGAGAAACUAAUUUUAGAAAAUACUUUUUGGCCAAAUUAUUUUUGUAAGAAAAUACUAUAUUGCUCUAUACACAUGGCAUGAUCAUUGGGCAGAAGUUUGGGGCAAGGAAAUGAAGUAUUGAAGUUGGAGGAUUUAUUUGAUUUUUAGAGCACUUGCAAACAGCAGACAAACAUUCAAUCAAGGCAAAGACAAAACACUCAAAAGUUUUUGUCAAACCACAUUUUAGCAUGAUUUAUUGACUUAAGUGUUGUGGCAUGAAAAUCAGGGUGUGAUAGAUGGCGAGAAGUAUCAGUGUAUCAAGAAUUCAUAAGAGGGUGUGCAAUUCUCACGAUACUCUUGUGAAGAAAGAGGGUGAUACUCCGAGGUAGAACAGAACAAAAGCGGGAUUGGCAUUUUGAUCUGCUGAAUACAACUGCUUUGACCAAAAGCUAGAAAUGGAUAAGGUACUGGAGUUUGUUUCUCCUAGUCAUUCCGAAAUGGAAUGGCUUGUUGGACCACAGUAAUAAUAGGCAUCGAUAACACGAAUGCAUAACCAUCCUGACUAUCAAUUGAUAGACGAGAGCAAGGAAACAACUAAAGAGGGACAACUCAAAAGAACAUAUGAUUUUCUGAGUUGUGGAUGCAUGGAUUAGCAUGUCGAACGAGUUCAACAUGUUUCUUCCGGAUAACACAUGCAGAGAGGUUGGUUUGGCAGAAUCAUAAUAUAGAAGGGGAAGUCAUCGAGAGCACUCUUGUUGUGAUCUUUUGGUUGUCGAACUUCUGCCAUAUUGGUUCAUGGUAUUGGAAGAAGGAUUACCACGAACUUGAGGACUAUCGCAAAGGUUACUAACAACCUAAAGGAACUAGCAAAUACUACCAACAGGAAGUAGGUAGGGUGAAUCUCGGUUCGAAAACCUAGGAAUAGAAUACCUACUAACUAAAUUGCAUCAUGGGAUGCUUUCGAGAAUGACGGCCAGAAUCAUCACACUGUAAACACAAAACAUGGCUAGAUUACUAGGUAAUACUCUAGACACCUAGGGUCAUAAUAAUAGCUCCAACAUAUACGUCAAGGCAAUAGAGUACCUCAACUUACUGGUUAGUGUGGUUAAUCUGGCCCAAUGGAACAUCAGAAUUAGGAGGGAGGGAUUUGCAAAUGCAUCAGAAUAUUUAGAAAUGUGGGAUGACUCGGACAACAUAACCGCUGUAAAUGCUGGAAAAGAUUUGAAACAUACUGCAAAUAUGGUGGCAUAACCACUCAGAAUCACAAUAUCACGGUACUGAGACCAACUACGAACAACCGGAGGUAGUAGAAACUGAACUGAGGCUUAAGUCCAACAAUCUUAUAAGUCUAUGGAUUAGUAACAUGUGAUCCUGAUAGAAAGAUGAGAAAGCUUAGUUUCUUAAUCCUGUAGGAAAGAUAAGAUGACUAAGAUUAGAAGGGCAUGAGGUAUAAGGAGUAAAAAGAGCCUUACGUUACAUCCCACACUCAAUUCCCUUAUAUAACUAAAGGCCUUCUAGACUCAACUUCGACCAGUUUGGCUUGGUAAUCCUACAGGCAGUCAAGCUCUAAUACCAAAGCUGUCAGGACCCCAACUCAAUGGCACAUCGAUCUAGCAUGUAACACCUCAUAUCACUUUGCGGCCUCACACACGGUAUUCCCACGGGUGUCGCCUUACCAGGCCCGGGACCAUUUGCACCUUUUGGCACACGUAUAUGAUAGUGUCGCUAGCAUCCAAUUACAGGGACAGGCAUACAUGAGCCAGCAACGAGUGUGUCGGUCAUCAGCGAAUGAAUCUGGGCUGUAGCAACUGGGCUAGAAGGACUCCGGUAAACCCGGCUGUAGCGGGCUAACAUGACUCCGCUAAACACCGCAUGACAUUUCCCCGAAGGGACAGACACAGGAACGAAGAAGGACACAUGCCGGCAAGCCUAAGUGUUCCGGAGCAGUAGCAAGCUACCAAGGCUCAGUGAAAGCACUAGGAGACAUUUCCCGGUAAGAGAGGUUACCAAGGAUAAACAACUGGAUAGUAAGAUCCCACACAUACCAAGCAUUUCAAUAACAUACACACAAUAUGCUCGAUAUGUGCAAAUACAACAUGGCAUCACAACAUGACUCUACAACUCAAGUAUUUUAUUCAAUAGGCUCCGAGGAGUGAGAUAUUAGAAACAUGGGUCUCAUGACCCAACAUUCAGAGCAAACAAGUCAAAGCACAAGCAGAAGCUUAACAUGUUUGAGUACAGACAUCUACAAAUGUAAAAGGCUGAGAAGCCUGACUAUCUACCAGAUCCUGCCGAGGGCACAAGAUCGUAGCUGAGGUAACAAGCUAAACAUCGAAGUGCAAGCGGAACUACUAGCGAGACUGAAGUCUAUCUGCAAAAACAUAAAAUAGGCAAACGUGAGUACAAAUGUACCCAGCAAGACUUACAUUAGAACUAUCUACAUAUGCAUCAUUAUCAACAAGGGGUUGGUGGGGUUUAACUGCAGCAAGCCAGCGUUGACUCGGUGGCUAUCCUGAACUACGACUGCAUGUAACUCUUUGAGGUGGCGCACACGAGUCCACAUAUUCACCAUAUCAGUACACGACUAUGGAUCCGCUCCCAUCUCCCUACAAGAACGCCGUCCAUAGAACUCAUGCUUAUCUUGCGUAUUUUAGAGUAUCCACUUUCACUUUUCUAUGAACUGUAUAGGCAACCCAGAAGUCCUUUACCACGGACGCGGCUAUUCAAAUAGAUCAUAUUAACCCUGCAGGGGUGUACUUCUUCACACAUGCUCUCGCCACUUACCGCCAUGUACAUGUCAUAUAUCUCGGAAACCUUCAAGCGGAAGCCUGGCGAGGGAAUCGGCCACGACCUGACUAACCACACAAGUCUCUCGUCUAGGUUUAUCGCCUAUUCGGGUUCCAUCCGCAAGGAGAUCUGGCCGGGUUGUCGCUCGAGGCCCCAAACGAUGUGUGCAGGGUUCCCAAGCCCACCUUCCGGGUGCCACUUGGUACACGGGGCCACUGUGCCUAGUUUGUCCCAAGCCCACCUGUACCAGGUGCCACUUGGUAGACUACUGUGACGCCCUCGAUUCAAUCGUACACUAAUCAUACAUGCAAAUGUGUACGAUCAAGAUCAAGGACUCACGGGAAGAUAUCACAACACAACUCUAGACACAAAUUAAAAAAAAUACAAGCUUUAUAUUACAAGCCAGGGGCCUCGAGGGCUCGAAUACAUAAGCUCGAAUACAGAAGAGUCAGCGGAAGCAACAAUAUCUGAGUACAGACAUAAGUUUGACAAGUUUGCCUUAAGAAGGCUAGCACAAAAGCAUCUACGAUCGAAAAGGCAAGGCCUCCUGCCCGGGAGCCUCCUAACUACUCCUGGUCGUCGGCAUCUGUCACGUGGUAGUAGGCACCCUCGGGGUAGCAGCAGUCGUCAAAGGUGGCAUCUGGCUCCUGGACUCCACCAUCUGGUUGCAACAACCAGAAAGAAGAAGGAAGGGGGAAAGGGGGAGCAAAGCAACCGUGAGUACUCAUCCAAAGUACUCGCAAGCAAGGAUCUACACUACAUAUGCAACAUUAUCAAAGAGGGGCUGUAUAUGUGGACUGGGCUGCGGAAAUGCCAGAAUAGAGAGAAGGCCUAGUCCUAUCGAAGACUAGCAUCUUCUAGAAACCACCAUCUUGCCGCAACCGGAGGGAGUAGAAUAGCAUAAAGUAAAGUAGUAGAAGUGUUAUCAACCUCGGCCAGAGAUCCUUUCUCGACUCCCUGCGAGAAAGCAAUCCCAGAGCCAUACUAUCCAAUUAUCACCCCAUCACAAUCCAAUUCUCAUCACCAGUAUCCAGUUCUAGUUGUAUCAAUCGGGAUACAACUCCAAGUGUCCGUUACCGUAGGACAGGCUAUGCAUAGAUUAGUUCUUCCCUGCAGGGGUGCACCAACUUACCCACAACGCUCACUUAACUCCGGCCGGACACACUUUCUUGGGUCAUGCCCGGCCUCGGCCAAACAAUACGCCGCAACCCGACCUAUGCUUAAUAGAGAGGUCAAGCAAGCCGGACUAAACCUAUGCCCCCAGGGGUCAUGGGCCAUCGCCCCGGGAACUCCUGCACAUUGCGUGGGUGGCCGGUGAGCAGACCUAGCUACCUCCCUAAAAAGGAGGAGCUUACCAGUCCAACCCGGCGCGCGCCGCUCUGUCGCUGAUGUCUAUUAAGCUUCGGCUGAUGUACACGACGCAGAACGCCCAUACUAUGCCCACGUGAUGGUUAGUGCUAUCAGGCCAGGGGCCCCUCGGAUCAAAUAUCCAAAUCGUAGUGGAUUAGGAACGCGCGGUAACAAGCAGAGACUCACGAAAGAUGUGACCCCGUUGCCCGUCUCGAGGACUUGCGGCAAGGGCUAGGAAUGCUCGGCCACGCCUCGUAAUUAUCUCGCGGGCACCCUCCAGGUCAACCCGUCUCCACAUCACUCGCGGGUACCCCUCAGGGUCGACCCGCCCUUCCAAGUAACAGUUGUAAAGUCCAAGUAUCCGUGUGUCCAAACAUCAAGAGGAAAACCCAAGGAAUCACUCCCGGUGAAUUCCACUCGAUGUAAUCAUCAAGGUGAACGUAAGAGGAGUCACCCCGAGGUUCACACUUGAGGGGUUGCACGACCGAGUCGUAUCGGAAGUGGUUAAAGAGGAAAUCACCCUCGAUGACCACGACCGAAUAGCUACACUACAGGGUUAACAUCAGAAGUGCUGUAGAGGUCUCACCCUCGGCACUCGAUAGUAUCCCAGUAGUGUCGAGCAACUAAGGGGAAAGUGAUGUGCGGUGCCGGGGCCUGGUCUUCGAUCCCGUUGAUUGGGUCUUCAAUGAUGAAGCAGGGGCAACAAGGACAAGGUGGGGGUCACUGAUGGAUCACUAACCAACCUAUACUAAGCAGUUUAGGAUAAGCCGGUAAGGUAACAAUAAGCAGGUUACAAAAGCAGGCUAUGCAUCAGAAUAGGAGCAAACAAUAAUAAUAGCAAAAUCUAAUGCAAGCAUGAGAGAAUGGAAUGGGCGAUAUCGGGAUGAUCAAAAGGGGGGGCUUGCCUGGUUGCUCUGGCAAGGAGGGGUCGUUGUCGACGUAGUCGAUCACAGGGGCAUCAGCAGCGAUCUCAAGGUCUAUCGGAGAGAAGAGGGGGAAGAAAUAGUAAAUAUAAAGCAAACAUAGCAUCACAAAGCAUAACGUGGCAAUAUGUUGUGUCGGGUGUGACUUAACGUAUGGCUACACGAUAUAGGUGAAGGGGGGAAAUCAACCGGGAAUGUUUUCCCGGUUCCGGACCUGUGUCAGACAGAUGACCGGAGGGGUAAUGUUCCAUGUUCAGAUAGUUAGAGGCAUCUGACAUGUAUGUGGGUAGCGUAUUCGGGUUCAUCUCGUCGUUCUGAGCAACUUUCAUGUAUAAAGUUUUUUGAUCCGAGCUACGGUUUAUUUAACAUGAUUUUCUAAAGUUUUUAUUAAUUUCUUGAAUUUAAUUAUUUAUCUCAACAUUAUCCAGAAUAGUAAAUGAUGACAUCAACAUGACAUCAUGCUGACAUCAGAAGUCAACUGUGCAGUUGGCUGGGUCAACUACAUGUGGGCCCCGCAUGUCAUACACUGUUUAGUUUAAUUAGGGUUUAGCUAAUUAAAUACGGUUUAAUUCAAUUAACUAAUUAACUAGAAUAAUUUAAACAGGAUUAAAUAACCUAAUUAAUUUACUAAUUAAUAAUUUUAUUAAUUACAUUUUCUAUUUUAAAUUUCCGUUCUAGGGGUGGGGACCCUACGUUAGUGGCCCAGGGCGGCUUAUUGGGCACGGGUUAACGGGGCGGGCGUGGGCGCCCGUGCCCGUGACCACCAGGGGCGAUGGCCACGGCUGUGGGCCGAAGCCACACGGCGAGGUGUCUGGCCAGGGCGGCGCAGCCAGAGCAGCACGGNNNNNNNNNNNNNNNNNNNNNNNNNNNNNNNNNNNNNNNNNNNNNNNNNNNNNNNNNNNNNNNNNNNNNNNNNNNNNNNNNNNNNNNNNNNNNNNNNNNNNNNNNNNNNNNNNNNNNNNNNNNNNNNNNNNNNNNNNNNNNNNNNNNNNNNNNNNNNNNNNNNNNNNNNNNNNNNNNNNNNNNNNNNNNNNNNNNNNNNNNNNNNNNNNNNNNNNNNNNNNNNNNNNNNNNNNNNNNNNNNNNNNNNNNNNNNNNNNNNNNNNNNNNNNNNNNNNNNNNNNNNNNNNNNNNNNNNNNNNNNNNNNNNNNNNNNNNNNNNNNNNNNNNNNNNNNNNNNNNNNNNNNNNNNNNNNNNNNNNNNNNNNNNNNNNNNNNNNNNNNNNNNNNNNNNNNNNNNNNNNNNNNNNNNNNNNNNNNNNNNNNNNNNNNNNNNNNNNNNNNNNNNNNNNNNNNNNNNNNNNNNNNNNNNNNNNNNNNNNNNNNNNNNNNNNNNNNNNNNNNNNNNNNNNNNNNNNNNNNNNNNNNNNNNNNNNNNNNNNNNNNNNNNNNNNNNNNNNNNNNNNNNNNNNNNNNNNNNNNNNNNNNNNNNNNNNNNNNNNNNNNNNNNNNNNNNNNNNNNNNNNNNNNNNNNNNNNNNNNNNNNCUGGCGGGGUUGAGGCCCGGUGGGGAAAGGGGUUAUUGGCCUUUCUCUUUUUGUUAUAUUUUAAUUCUAUUUGCAGAAUUUGCUUGCAAUAUUUUGAGCUGCCAAUUGGUCUUUGUAAAAAUGUGGAACUUGGCCACAUAAAUACAUUGCAAUAGUUAGCACUGCCACAAAAAGGCUGUGAGGCUUUUGAAAUAGUUUGAAAUUUUUAUAAAGUAAAAAGGCAUUUAAACUAUUGUUUUAGCCACUGCUUUAUGUAGUUUAGGCCACUUAAACCCUUUGCAAAAAUGUUGGUUCACCACCAAUAUUAGUUGUGGAAUAUUUGGCACAUGAUGAACAUUUUUGUAUUCAUGUUUGAGAAAUUUUGAAUUUUGGACUUGAUGUUUUGAACAAGUGGCAACUAGGCAAGGUAAACAUGAUGACAUGGCAUGAUUAGUGGGAGAUUACUGUGGCAUGAAUCUCGGGGUGUUACAAAUCUCCUCCACUACAAGAAAUCUCGUCCCGAGAUUUAAGUGGUGAAGUAAAGAAUAACUUCGGGAGAACUGACCCUUAUAGGGUUAAUUAUCUGGUAAACAAUUCAGGGAAUGUGGCAGAAGUAUCUCUUGAGUUGAAACUUAAGAAAACAUCGAGAGCAAAAUAUGAAGGUACAAUAGGAAGUUUCGAGCGAAUGGACAAACGAUCAAUACCUGAACAGAGUGUGAGAAGGGGGUUUAGAGUAUCGGGAAUAGAUCAUAUCUCGGAAGGUGGCUCGUGACAAAACACAAAGCCAAGAGAAAAUGAUACUUCGGAAGAAAAGGAUAUACAGGAGAGUCAGGUUCCGAUCCUGUGGAACUGUGGGUUAUGAGCCCACCAUGUGGGUUAAAGGUAGAAAGGGGGCCGAUAGCAAGGCAUGUCAGAUGAUAGACUGUCAGUUAUGUUGUCAACACGUUGGUACCAAGGGCGAGGGACAGAGAGAACUAUUUUCCUGCUCACUGAACGAGGCGGACCAGUAGGCGAAGUUCUCGGCCAUCGGGGGUUACCAGGAUGACGUCAGCAAUAGUAACAGGGUCACACUGAUAGAGUUGUAAACCGAGGUGCUUCCAUAAGCAGGGAAUUAUUUCUGCUUAUAACAUAUAUAGAUCACAAGAAAGGUUGAGCAAACCAAUGGAAAGGAAAAUGUGUUUAUUAUGAUAACCAGACCAAUGGAAAGGAAAGAUGUUUAUACCCAAGUGUUAGAGUAUAACUUUCCCAAGGAAAGGCAGAGCAUGAUAGGGCUCCAAGUAUUAAGCCGUUUAGACAAGGGGCAAGGAAUUUAUGAGGUUUACCCAUACAACGGUGUUUGGAUAAUUGAUCAAGAACAGUUAGCAUUGCGCUCCCAAUGUUCUUGAUGAUGAUCGGAGUACCACACACAUGCUUCGGGAUAGUGUUGACAUGGUCAUCAGGGAAAUCUCAGACUUCGGAUACACAAAGGAUCCAUCGGAACAACUUAUAAAAUAAGUCAUACAAUUUCAGCUAGGAAAAGAUGAGGAUGGGGCCCACGGGCUCAGCAACAAUUCAUCGAGGGGGCAAGGAUGGUAUUUCUCAUCAUGAAUUAGGUUGAUAUCCUAGAAAAGUUUGGAAUGAUGAUGAUGAUCACGAGACAUUUAUCGAGAGGUUUCAUGAAGAUGUAAUCGAUUAACGACGACAUUAAGCAAAAGAAAUGAUGAAGUGUAAGGUUAAUUGAACCACGAGUACGACACAAACUCGAAAGCAACCUUGUGUUCAUGGCAAAAUGGUAUGACGAGGAAGAUCGACAUAAGCUUAGCUCGUCGUCGAAAAUUGUGCUCCAGAAAGGACCUGGUAGCAUAGUUAAAAUUUAGCAUGAUAAUGAUAUAUUCUAUCAGGCUAGAAAUGACUUGAAGGAUUAUUAAACUCGUAAGCAAUGAAAAUUACCUAGAGUUAUUGAUUUGGAGUGCAUAAUUGAUUCACUUAUCGGUGUCCUAGAGUGAAUAAUAGCUCAGAACCCAAGGGAAAUUGGAAUCGACGAGAAGCAAUACUCGAUGAAGAUUCAUAGGAAGCAACACAGUUUCUUUGAUAUCCUCGAGAUACUGGAGGGUAAUACUCGAAGGAAGAUCAAAACAGAGUUUGCGGAGAUGUGUUUAUCGGUAGAAGACAAGUGCUUUAACUUGUCUGAGAAAUGGAAUCAAGGAGAAAAUAUUGUCGGAACCAUGAUUGCCAAGGAUCAAUUCACAUAUAACAGAUGAUAUUAUAUCAAGGAAAAAGUUAUUAUUACAAGAAGCUUCCAUAAUAGGAUCUUCAUCAUGUCCAUGGGCAUGAACACAAAGUUCAAGGUCGACUCCCACUUUUCCAACGCAUAACCUUUCAUUCACUUCUUGUUUUGAAGAAGGCAUUAGUGUUAAAAGUUUUACCUGGUGUAAUACCAGAUGAGUAAGACCCGUGAAAUCUUUCGGGUUCACACGGAUUUAUGGAAGGCAUAGGUUCAACCCAUAGGGGCAUCUUAGGAACAUAUACCACAAUCUUCAAGAGUAAAUAACACCAACUCGAAAGCAGAGCAUGGUUGACAAAUGCAGAGAAUACAAUUUACCAAAGGCAUUAUGUAUCGAGGAAAUAACUCACAAGAGUUUUGGAUGUGAAGGACAAUGUCGGAUAAUUAUCCAACAAGGAUUUGGCGAACCGCAAGGAAUCCGAUAUGAGUGUCGAUGUUCAACCAGAAGAAGAAAUAACGCAAAAGCAUCAGAUUAUAGGGACAUCUGAAUAAUUUCAAAGCUUAAAUACGAAGGAAUUAUGAUUACCAAAUCGGGGGGGGGGGACCAGAAGCAGAGGCUCUGAUCAAAAGAUAAGUAAGUUACAAAAAACAUAUCUUGACAAUCAAUCAAGGUUUGAUUUGCCGAGAACAAGCUCAUGUCUGGAGUGACAUCUGAGUCAAAAGGACGGAUGCUAGUUUUGACUGGGGAUUGCGAGCAUCUGCAACAUAUUGAAUCAACGAGCUCAAAAUGAUAGUGACAAAGGAUGCCAAUAAGAUUACUAAGCUUAUGGGAUUUAACAAUAAUGCAAGCGCGCAAGAAUUUCAAGAGCAAUAAGUUGCUGAGGAUUUUCAGAAGAUCGAAUAGUAUUUCAAAGACUUUUGUGAAACACUCAAACAACUGGGGAUGAAGAAUCCAUGGUAAUUGUGAGGAAUUAUUCGUAGGAGUAUUCAUGCAGCAAAGAACUUCAAGGCAGUUGCAGGAGGGGUUCUCAAAACAGUGGAGUAUUUCAAGGCAUCUUGUAAAAACAAGAGCAACUUGGGACGAAGGUAUGAAUAGCAACUAUAUGUAGUUAUCCAUAAGGAUAUAUCGGUGGGAAGGCGGUGGGCACAAAGUCUUGAGAGAACCUCGGAGAGUAUCUUCGUAAUCUUCUGGUGCACCAAGUGAUUGUCUGGACUGACGGGCUCUCCGGGAGGAAGUGUUUACGAGAACCUAAUGUUAGAGUUUGCAAAAUCAUUUAACCCGAAUAGAGGAGAGAUCAGAGUCCCAGAGUAAAGACGAGGAAUAGAAGAUCCUAAUACCACCCAAUGGCGACGUGGGCCCGUAAGACACAUAGCCAGUGUUAGUAAAAGUUUUUCAGUGACUAGACUCAACUUCGGCCAAGUAGUUGGAAAGGGGGCUACCUACAGGCAGUCAGCUCUGAUACCAACUUGUGACACCCUCGAUUCAAUCGUACACUAAUCAUACACGCAAAUGUGUACGGUCAAGAUCAAGGACUCACGGGAAGAUAUCACAACACAACUAUAGACACAAAUAAAAAAAUACAAGCUUUAUAUUACAAGCCAGGGGCCUCGAGGGCUCGAAUACAUAAGCUCGAAUACAGAAGAGUCAGCGGAAGCAACAAUAUCUGAGUACAGACAUAAGUUAGACAAGUUUGCCUUAAGAAGGCUAGCACAAAAGCAUCUACGAUCGAAAAGGCAAGGCCGCCUGCCUGGGAGCCUCCUAACUACUCCUGGUCGUCGGCAUCCGUCAUGUGGUAGUAGGCACCCUCGGGGUAGCAGCAGUCGUCAAAGGUGGCAUCUGGCUCCUGGACUCCACCAUCUGGUUGCAACAACCAGAAAGAAGAAAGAAGGGGGAAAGGGGGAGCAAAGCAACCGUGAGUACUCAUCCAAAGUACUCGCAAGCAAGGAUCUACACUACAUAUGCAACAUUAUCAAAGAGGGGUUGUAUAUGUGGACUGGGCUGCGGAAAUGCCAGAAUAGAGAGAAGGCCUAGUCCUAUCGAAGACUAGCAUCUUCUGGAAACCACCAUCUUGCCGCAACCGGAGGGAGUAGAGUAGCAUAAAGUAAAGUAGUAGAAGUGUUAUCAACCUCGGCCAGAGAUCCUUUCUCGACUCCCUGCGAGAAAGCAAUCCCAGAGCCAUACUAUCCAAUUAUCACCCCAUCACAAUCUAAUUCUCAUCACCAGUAUCCAGUUCUAGUUGUAUCGAUCGGGAUACAACUCCAAGUGUCCGUUACCCAAGGACAGGCUGUGCAUAGAUUAGUUUUUCCCUGCAGGGGUGCACCAACUUACCCACCACGCUCGCUUAACUCCGGCCAGACACAAUUUCUUGGGUCAUGCCCGGCCUCGGCCAAACAAUACGCCACAACCCGACCUAGGCUUAAUAGAGAGGUCAAGCACGCCGGACUAAACGUAUGCCCCCAGGGGUCAUGGGCCAUCGCCCCGCGAACUCCCGCACAUUGCGUGGGCGGCCGGUGAGCAGACCUAGCUACCUCCCUAAAAAGGCAGGAGCUUACCAGUCCAACCCGGCGCGCGCCGCUCCGUCGCUGACGUCUAUUAAGCUUCGGCUGAUGUACACGACGCAGAACGCCCAUACUAUGCCCACGUGAUGGUUAGUGCUAUCAGGCCAGAGGCCCCUCGGAUCAAAUAUCCAAAUCGUAGUGGAUUAGAAACGCGCGAUAACAAGCAGAGACUCACGAAAGAUGUGACUCCGUUGCCCCGACUCGAGGACUUGCGGCAAGGGCUAGAAAUGCCCGGCCACGCGUCGUAAUUAUCUCGCGGGCACCCUCCAGGUCAACCCGUCUCCACAUCACUCGCGGGUACCCCUCAGGGUCGACCCGCCCUUCCAAGUAACAGUUGUAAAGUCCAAGUAUUUGUGUGUCCAAACAUCAAGAGGAAAACCCAAGGAAUCACCCCCGGUGAAUUCCACUCGAUGUAAUCAUCAAGAUGAACAUAAGAGGAAUCACCCUGAGGUUCACACUUGAGGGGUUGCACGACAGAGUCGUAUCGGAAGUGGUUAAAGAGGAAAUCACCCUCGAUGACCACGACCGAAUUGCUACACUGCAGGGUUAACAUCAGAAGUGCUGUAGAGGUCUCACCCUCGGCACUCGAUAGUAUCCCAGUAGUGUCGAGCAACUAAGGGGAAAGUGAUGUGCGGUGCCGGGGCCUGGUCUUCGAUCCCGUUGAUCGGGUCUUCAAUGAUGAAGCAGGGGCAACAAGGACAAGGUGGGGGUCACUGAUGGAUCACUAACCAACCUAUACUAAGCAGUUUAGGAUAAGCCAGUAAGGUAACAAUAAGCAGGUUACAAAAGCAGGCUAUGCAUCAGAAUAGGAGAAAACAAUAACAAUAGCAAAAUCUAAUGCAAGCAUGAGAGAAUGGAAUGGGCGAUAUCAGGAUGAUCAAAAGGGGGGCUUGCCUGGUUGCUCUGGCAAGGAGGGGUCGUCGUCGACGUAGUCGAUCACAGGGGCAUCAGCAGCGAUCUCAAGGUCUAUCGGAGAGAAGAGGGGGAAGAAACAGUAAAUAUAAAGCAAACAUAGCAUCACAAAGCAUAACGUGGCAAUAUGUUGUGUCGGGCGAAAAAUCAACCAGCAAUGUUUUCCCGGUUCCGGACCUGUGUCAGACAGAUGACCGGAGGGGUAAUGUUCCAUGUUCAGAUAGUUAGAGGCAUCUGACAUGUAUGUGGGUAGCGUAUUCGGGUUCAUCUCAUCGUUCUGAGCAACUUUCAUGUAUAAAGUUUUUCGAUCCGAGCUACGGUUUAUUUAACAUGAUUUUCUAAAGUUUUUAUUAAUUUCUUGAAUUUAAUUAUUUAUCUCAACAUUAUCCAGAAUAGUAAAUGAUGACAUCAACAUGACAUCAUGCUGACAUCAGCAGUCAACUGUGCAGUUGGCUGGGUUAACUACAUGUGGGCCCCGCAUGUCAUACACUGUUUAGUUUAAAUACGGUUUAAUUCAAUUAACUAAUUAACUAGAAUAAUUUAAACAAGAUUAAAUAACUUAAUUAAUUUACUAAUUAAUAAUUUUAUUAAUUACAUUUUCUAUUUUAAAUUUUCGUUCUAGGGGUGGGGACCCUACGUUAGUGGCCCAGGGCGGCUUAUUGGGCACGGGUUAACGAGGCGGGCGUGGGCGGUCCGAAGCCACNNNNNNNNNNNNNNNNNNNNNNNNNNNNNNNNNNNNNNNNNNNNNNNNNNNNNNNNNNNNNNNNNNNNNNNNNNNNNNNNNNNNNNNNNNNNNNNNNNNNNNNNNNNNNNNNNNNNNNNNNNNNNNNNNNNNNNNNNNNNNNNNNNNNNNNNNNNNNNNNNNNNNNNNNNNNNNNNNNNNNNNNNNNNNNNNNNNNNNNNNNNNNNNNNNNNNNNNNNNNNNNNNNNNNNNNNNNNNNNNNNNNNNNNNNNNNNNNNNNNNNNNNNNNNNNNNNNNNNNNNNNNNNNNNNNNNNNNNNNNNNNNNNNNNNNNNNNNNNNNNNNNNNNNNNNNNNNNNNNNNNNNNNNNNNNNNNNNNNNNNNNNNNNNNNNNNNNNNNNNGUGGCGCAGGGGCAGCCGCGGUUCGCGGGGCGCCGUGAGGGCGUCGAGAAGGGCCGCAGUUCGCGGGCACUCGCGUCGGGUGUGGCCGGCGCUACACGGGCGCGACCGGCGCGUGGCCACGACGGGGUGAGGCGCGAGUGUGGUGGACGCAUUGGGGUAGAGGGGAAGAGGAGGACGGACGGUGGCUCACCCCAGUUGCAGGGGAAUGCCGGCGAGGCUCGGAGGAGCCGCGGUUGAGGAGGAGGUCGAGGACGACGCAGUGAUGAGGACGAGGCGGCGGGGCGACAUCGGGACGAGGUGGCGCCAUCGGGGACGAAGAGGUCGAGGGCGAUGUCGAUGGGGCAAGGCAGUCCAGCGAGGGAGGGUCCGAGCGGCGGCGGAGUCGGGCGUGCGCCUGUGCGGCAGGCGAGAUGGAGCAGGCUACGGGGCGGCGUCGGGGAUGGGCGACGGCGUCAGGGGCGUGAGGCGGCGCGGGAUGGGGUCCUCUCGAUCCAGAUCUGGGCGAGUGGGGGGAGACGAGGGAGAGAGUGGGGUUCGUGGGGGGAGUGGGNNNNNNNNNNNNNNNNNNNNNNNNNNNNNNNNNNNNNNNNNNNNNNNNNNNNNNNNNNNNNNNNNNNNNNNNNNNNNNNNNNNNNNNNNNNNNNNNNNNNNNNNNNNNNNNNNNNNNNNNNNNNNNNNNNNNNNNNNNNNNNNNNNNNNNNNNNNNNNNNNNNNNNNNNNNNNNNNNNNNNNNNNNNNNNNNNNNNNNNNNNNNNNNNNNNNNNNNNNNNNNNNNNNNNNNNNNNNNNNNNNNNNNNNNNNNNNNNNNNNNNNNNNNNNNNNNNGGGUGGCCGACUGGGCUGGCGGGGUUGAGGCCCGGUGGGGAAAGGGGGGUAUUGGCCUUUCUCUUUUUGUUUUAUUUUAAUUCUGUUUGCAGAAUUUGCUUGCAAUAUUUUGAGCUGCCAAUUGGUCUUUGUAAAAAUGUGGAACUUGGCCACAUAAAUACAUUGCAAUAGUUAGCACUGCCACAAAAAGGCUGUGAGGCUUUUGAAAUAGUUUGAAAUUUUAUAAAGUAAAAAGGCAUUUAAACUAUUGUUUUAGCCACUGCUUUAAGUAGUUUAGGCCACUUAAACCCUUUGCAAAAAUGUUGGUUCACCACCAAUAUUAGUUGUGGAAUAUUUGGCACAUGAUGAACAUUUUUGUAUUCAUGUUUGAGAAAUUUUGAAUUUUGGACUUGAUGUUUUGAACAAGUGGCAACUAGGCAAGGUAAACAUGAUGACAUGGCAUGAUUAGUGGGAGAUUACUGUGGCAUGAAUCUCGGGGUGUUACAACUACUAACACUACCUACAAACACCAGAAACUAGUUGCAACUCCUAGAUAGAGAUCAAGUUGAUUAAUAAGUCGAGAGAGCUUGGAGUGCCUGGAGCCCAAUGUGUAGUAGUAACUGUUCAUGGAUCACAAACACAGAACUCAGUUCCUGAGGACGGUUUCAAUGAGACAACCCACCAUGUACUCCUACAUGGCCUCUCACCGCUACCUUUACCAAAUCAUGUUCACACACUUAGAUCACACACAGUAGGACAUGUUUCACAACAUUCCAAUUCAUCCUCGAUGAAUCAGACCUGACACAACUCUAAGCAAUAGCGGGCAUGACAAACACGCAUGAAUGAGUAGGCACAUCAGGGCUCAAACAACUCCUACUCAUGCUAGUGGAUUUCAUCUAUUUACUAUGGCAAUGACGGGUCAUGCAGAGGAAAGGGGUUCAACUACCACAACAUGUAACAGUUGAACCAUUGUUGUCCUAAUGCAGUAAAAGAGAGCAGGAGCGAGAGAGUGGGAUUGUAUCCAAAUGAACAAGGGGGUUUUGCUUGCCGGGCACUUCUGAAGAUAGUAUAGUUCUUCAUCGGUGUCAUCGAACUCAUCAUCGGAACCACGUCUACCGAGAGGGGACAAUUACCGGCAACAGAAAAGGAACACAAUCAAUGCAAUGCAACAAUAUGAUGCUUGAAUGCAUGUGACAUGGCAAUAUGCUGUGAUUUGAGCUAAUGCAACUAGCAAUGAUUUAAAUGGAGUUGGUUUGAAAUUCAAACUCCACAUAAGGCAUUUCAAAUGCCAUUAAUUCAAAUUUUCAUAUACAGUAGCUUUAGGUUGCUCAAACAUGCAUGAAAAUGCCAUAAACAAAUACUUUGAAUUUUUCUGAUAAUUUUUCAUAUAUAAUUUGUUUCAUUUGGAGUCACGGUUGAAUUUAUAUGAUUUUUAGAAGUUUAAGCCUUUUUCUGGAUUUUCUGAUAAAAUAGAACUAAACUAAUUCUAGAAAAGGAUCGAUUGCAUCAGCCUGAUGUCAGUGUGACAUCAGCAGGUCAACUGAGUCGGUCCAGGUCAAAUCUGACCAAUGGGGUCCACUGGUCAGUGACAUAGUGUUGCCCAGGGUCAAUGACAGCUGGGUCCGGUCAACAACCACGUCAGCAAAGUCAACCUGAUGUGAGGGCCUAGUGGAUUAGUCUAAGUACAACAUUACUUGGCGCUAGGGCCCAUCUGUCAGCGUCUGUGGGUGAUCUAGCUGGCGGUGGUUAGCGCUAAUUAUGGGGCCACAUCGGCUUUGCCGGAGUUCGGCCGGCGGCGACCAAAACGAUGAUGGCGCGGCUCGGGAUUGCGCUACGGGAGGUGGUUUGGCGCGCUGGGGACACUAGGGAGGAGCUCUUGCUCGUCUGCAUCCAAAGGACCGAACGGGAGGCCGUGAGGUGGCCGGAGUUGAGCACAGCGUCGACCUCGGCGGCGGCCGGAGUUCGGGCGAGACGCGAGCGAGAGCUAGGGGGCACGGGAAGGCGAGCUGAGGCGUGCUACGGGCUCGUGGGGAGGCACUGAUUGCAGUUGUGUGAUGUACUGCGAGCUUCAGCAGCCAUAGCCACGACGGCGACAUGGCCGGUUGUGAAGAGCUAUCGGGCUCAUUGCGAACGGCGGCUAGAGAGGGAGGUAGAGCACGAGGAGAGGGGGAAACGAUGGCGGAGCUCACAGCGGGGGCGAGGACGGUCUUCAGCGAGCUCGUGGAUGCGGCGGAGGCGGUGAGUCAACGGCGGCGGUCUUCGGUGGUCGAGGAGGGGAAUAGCGGAGCUAGCGGCGUUCGGAGGCUUCCGGAGCCGUGCGGCUUGGUGAGAAGGAAGAGGGGGACGGGGCGGAGCUUCCUGCCUCGUCGACGAGGCGGGGCAGUGGCUGUGGCCACGGCGGUGACGGGCUCCGCUCGGGCGUUUCACGGAAGAGAGAAACAUAGGAGGGGGAGGAGCGAGGGAGAGAACGAGGGGGUUCCAGGGGUGUCGUGGUGCUCGGGGCCAUUUCCAGCAGCGAUCUAGUAGGCAGGAGGUGGCCAGGCGCAUGCCGGCGCUCGCCACCGAGCUGCUUGGUGCGCUGGCACGUGGAAGAAGACGGGAGUACCCCUGGCGGGCUGGGCCGUCAAGCUGGGCCGCCAGGUAAGGCUAGGUUGGUUCUUUCUCUCUCUUUUCUAUUUUCUGUUUUUCUAAUUUUUGCAGAUUUGUUUUAAUUUGGUUUGCUAACCAAAUUAUUUUGGGAUAAUUAGAUUUAUGCCCCUAGUUGUGUCCCACUCGUCUGUUUUACCCCUAAUUCCCAAAAGUCACCGGUUCUGCCCAAGUCACUUUGCUCCUCUUAUGCUUUUGACCUUUGACCAUUUGACCGUCAGUUUGAAAACUUCAUAACUAAUUCAUACUAAAUCAGAAAAAUGCAAAAAAUAUACCAAAAUGUUCAGAAAAACAUCACCUAUAUAUCAGUGUCAUUUGCAUUCAUGAAAAAAGUGUUGGAAAGUGCACAUCCGAGUUUUAGCUCUUUUGAUACCACCAUGAAUAGUAAACUCUAAACAACUUCAAAAAAAUAAUGGUGGCAAAGAAUGACAAAUGUUCUAAGUGUUUGCCAAGUUUCAUUAGAGGAUGACAUUGGUGGAAGUUGUGGCAAAAAAAUAAUCUAUUUUGGAGUGCUGAUUGUUUCUUUGCCACGACACCCAUGAAUGUUAUUCCCUGAUGAAACUUGGCAGGCACUUAAAACCUUUGACAUUCUUUGCCACCAUUUUUGUUUUGAAUUUUUUGAACUUUUUUAGAUUUUACUAUUCAUGGUGGUAGCAUAAGAGCUAAAACUCAGACGUGCACUUUCCAACACUUUUUUCAUGAAUGCAAAUGACACUCACAUAUAGGUGAUGUUUUUCCAAACAUUUUGGUAUCUUAUUUGCAUUUUUCUGAUUUAGUAUGAAUUAGUUAUGAAGUUUUCAAACUGACGGUCAAACGGUCAAAGGGCAAAAGCAUAAGAGGAGCAAAGUGACUUGGACAGAACCGGUGACUUUUGGGAAUUAGGGGUAAAAUACACGAGUGGGACACAACUAGGGGCAUAGAUCUAAUUAUCCCAAUUAUUUUUGCAGCCCUCUGGAAAUUAUUGUGGAUGCAAUAAGGUUUAUCCUAGAGCUCCACAAAAUAUUCCAGGAUCAUUGGAGCAAUAAAAAUAUUUAUAGAAUUUAUUUUCUCCAACUCAAAUACAAUUAUGAUUUAAUUCAAUGACCAAAAUGUCCUGGAAAAAUAUGCAUCAUCUCUGGUAGAGGCUUUCACCUUUUUCCAUAAAUCAUGAACAUUUUAUAAGCAUAUUUUGAGUUCAUUGAAAAUAUUUCGGUUGAACCUAUUUGAGUUCUUUUGGUGGUAGGGUUUUAACAUCCCCAUUUCAAGAUUAAGUGCAAAUUAAACAUGAUGCAAAACAUGACUAGCUAGCCCAAAGCAGAACAGAACUAGGGAUGUGACAUAGCAAGUGUUUGCUCAAGCGUAUGGUGUAGUCCUUCGUGUAGUGCAUCUGCAUCUAAUGUAGUGUCAUUGCUUGUUUAUGCUUGUGUAUGCCUGUUUGGAUUAGUUUGUAGCUUGUUUGAUGUGUGCUUUGUUGCAAUCGAUUGUUUUCUCGUGCUUCUUUGUUCUGAAUCUUCAGCGUUACCCCCUUAUGGAAAUUUCUCAUCAACCGACACCAGGUCAGAAGAAGACGUGAGAAGUACAGACAUACACCAAGGAACUUAGUUAAAGGCAAUGAGAUUUUCAGCUGACAGCAGUGUAUUGCAGACAUCCGGUCUGGAUACAAUUAUAUUCUGAUUAGACUUUUAGUAACAAGUACCCAUCAGAGAUCCACCUCUAUUGCAGCAAUGAUUAAAUCAGCAAGAUAACAAAAUUGGAUCCAAGUCCAACCGUGCAUUUCAAGUCAGAAGUAUGGUCAAUACCUGAUGAUUGAUUCUGACAUGAGUUAGAGUUGAAGUAUACGACACCCAGAAGUCCGUCCAAAUAUGCAAUGAAUUUAGCAAGAAGUACAGUCAGGCAAUUCUUGUCAUACAAGUAAUCAACAGCUGGAAUGACAAGAAUAUAUAUGCUAUUCCAUUCACAAAGAAGAUCAGUCCAGUCCUUCACAAUUUAUCAGCAAAGCGUACAAGACCCAAUUCACCACUCUUCAUAAGAAAGGUAUGAAUGGAUUCCAUUGCAAGAUAUUCAGUCAUUUCAAUCAGAUACUGCAAAAGCUUUUGGCAUAAGGUACCGAAUCUUCCCUAGUAAGUCUUUAAGGGGGGAAGCUUCUGAGGUAUGGUACCCAACCUUCCUCAGCAAGAUGUCCGUGGAAAGCUUCGAGCACAAGCUAUCCAGUCUUCCGUAGCAUGAUACCUUGAUGGAUUUCGAAGCAAGCUGCCUAGCCUUCUUCAGUAUGGCACUGGUACAAGAAAAUAAAUAAUGGAUUGUCAGCAAAUGGUACUGUUUUCCAAAUGGCAAAUAUGUAACAGUUAAGUCAGAAACAAUAAUCAGGCAGAACAAAGGUAUACCUCUAGAAUUAGAUAUUUCUUCAUACACUGAGUAUGCUAUCAAGUUCAUGCAAGUCUCUCUCGAGGAAGAAUUCAUGGUACGCAUCCGACAACCUCACUAGAUAUGCAAGUGAUGGAAAACCAGUGGGUGAUGCAAGGAUUGACAAGUCUCGAAGAAAGACAAUAUUGAGGCAACAAUCUUGGUAGUAAUUAUUGAGAUCAACCCCGCACCUCUGAGAAGGUGAUGCUAUUAAUCCGGUCACUGUCUAGUACAAUCAACAACAGGAUUGAGAUCUGUUCAAUCACACGUGAACCAGAUUAAUAUCCCGAGACUCAAGACAUGAACCAGACCAAGGUACGAUUGCAAGAUAUUGCACAUGACAGUAUUCAGGGCUGCAAAAAUAAUCAGGGAUAUAUAAGGCCCCGCUCUUUCAGUUAAGGAACCAGAUGAAGAAAAUAAUAGUAAAAGGGCAAGACCGAUAAUUCAGGUAUGCCAGUCAUUGUGGGCAAAAUGUGUUAUCUAUGCCCAAGAUAGUCUAAUAUUUCAUAUCAAAUACCAAGUGAAGAUACGCCUGAGAGGUCUAUCUCAUUGUGGUAAGGACCUCAUAAAAAGGAAACCAGCUCAAUCAGCAACAUAUGAUCAAAACUGUCAGCAUUCAAUACCCAAGUCUAUCAAGUCUGACCCGGGAAAGCUCAACAUAUUGACCUCAGCAACUGUGCUGAAGCAUCACACGACCCAUUCUUUUUUUUGACCGGGAAGACUGCAGGGCUUACACCCCACAACAUUUUAUUAAUAAAAAAGAAAGAAAAAUAACAAAGUUCCUCGAGAGGGGGAACAGAAGAAAGAGAAAAACUAUACAGAACUCUAGGAAAGUAAAAAAGCUACCAGCUAAGAAAGAUAAAAAAUACAAAGGUUGUGGAUCUUCAAGGAGGCAGAAAAUCAAUCCAUUUGAGUAGAUCAUCCUUGUAUCUGGCCUUGAUCCUGUGUGGGAGUAGAGUAAUAUCAUGAAUAAACCCAUUUCUCCACUUCCUAAAAGUUGGAUGGACAUGUCUAAAAGCCUUGUCAUUUCUCACUUUCCAGAUAUUCCACCAAGCAAGAAAAAACACCUCUGCAAAAAAUGGUUUAUGAAAUUCCUUCCUUGCAUGUAAGGCAAUUUGCACCAUAUCAUUGGUAUUCAACCAGGACACUUGCCGGUAGUUCCAGAUUCUCAUACUGAAGUUGCACUGGAAGAAUAGGUGAUUUCUAUCUUCAAUUACUCCAGUUGGGCAGAGUACACAACUAGGUCCAUCAUUAAUUUUCCAAUGCCUUCGCUGAAUCAUAUCCUUGGUGUUAACUCUAUCCAUAAUGACCAACCAUGCAAACAUUUUAAUUAUCAUUGUACAACAACUCUUCCAAACCCAGCUGAGUAUGGGAUUGGCAAUGACAGGCUGGUGGACAAACUCAUAGUACUUCUUUGCUAAAUAAUAACCCUUUUUCCAUGUCUCCAAGUCCACAUAUCAUUACAAUCAUUGUCCAAAUGUCUACCAGACAGCAAGGUUGAAAGCUGAUUGAACUCCCUAAAAGCCAGUUCAGACAAAGGCAAAGAAAACAAUUGCUGCAAAUUUCCUGCCUGAAUCACUUCCAUAACAAAAAGGUUCUUCUGAAGGCAAAAGGAAAAAAGUCUUGGAAACCUUUCUUGCAGAGGGAUGCAAGAUUGGCCAAUCUCCCAAUGAUCAGACCAGAAAAGAACAGAAUCUCCUUUGCCAACAGAUACAGAUGUUACAGCUCGAUAUUUGUCCACUAACUUACAAAUCUCCCUCCACCAAAAAGAGCCACAUAGAAUAGUGUCAUGUGGAACUCUUUGAUAGUAGUAUGAAUCCCACACCAGACUGACCCAUGGCACAUCAGCUUUAUUAUAGAAUUUAUUCAGGGACUUAAGUAACAGGGCAUCAUUUUGCAAUCCCAAAUUCAAUAUUCCAAGCCCACCCUUCAUCUUGGGCCUGCAGACAAGGGGCCAAGCAGCCAAAGAGUGACCCUUUUCCUGACCAUAUUUGCUCCAGAGGUACUGCCUUUUGAAUCCUCUCUAGCUACUUUAGAAUACCCUUUGGUAAAGAUAGACUGCAAAGGAAGAAUAUGGGCAAUGAAGAUAUCACAGGAUUUACCAACUGCAGUCUACUACCCUGACGUAAAAACCAGGAACUAGCAGUUAACCUCCUUUCCAUACAAUCCACCAAAGGGAGCAAAUCAACAAUUUUAGGUCUAGUGGUUCCAACAGGAAGCCCCAAAUAAGUGAAAGGCAUAAAACCCAACUGACAGCCAAAAAGAGCGGAAAGUGCAGAAGCAACAGAGGAUUCCUCAUUGAUGGGGUACAUUGAGGACUUAUGAAAGUUAAUUUGCACCCCAGUUGCAAAUGAAAAGGAAUUUAGCACUGAUUUAAGAGCCUCCAACUGAGCUGGGUCAGCAUUUACAAACAGCAAGGUGUCAUCUGCAUACUAAACCACUGGAUAAAAAGGAUCAUGUGUUGGCAAUGGCAAGGCUAGCUGUCCCCUAAGCAGAAGAUCAUUGAUCAUGGUUUGUAAAAGGUCAGCAGCAAUCACAAAAAGCAAAGAGAAAUAGGAUCUCCUUUCUUAACACCACAUUUACACUUGAAAUGAUUUCCAGGCACACCAUUUAACAGGAUAGAGGAUGUUGCAGAAGUUAACAGUUGCUGAAUCCAUAUGAUCCAUUUGCUAUCAAAACCUUUUGCCACAAGAAUUCUCAAGAUUGCCUGAUGCUGGAUUGAGUCAAGAGCUUUUUCAAAGUCAAGCUUGAGCAAAAGAAUUGACUUCCUGGACUAACUGCAUUGGUGAAUAUACUCAAAAGUCCAUGCAAUACAAUCUUCAAUUGUUCUUGAUUUAAUGAAGCCAUAUUGAUUCUCAUGCACACAUUUGGUGAUUUCCUCCUGAAACCUGUUGGCAGCCAGUUUUGUCAGAAACUUUAGUCCCACACCUGUCAAAGAGAUUGGUCUAAAAUCCCCCACACCCUCAGGUGAUUGCUUUUUUGGGAUUAAAGUGAUAAAAGCUUCAUUGAGGUUUUCCAAAAUCACAGUUCCAGCAUGAAACUCAUUGACCAACUGAAUAAAACCAUCUGGCCCAGGUGCUUUAUCAAUAGGUAUUUCUUUUAUGACCUUUUCAAUCUCUUUUAGAUGGAAAGGUUUUGUGAGCACCUCAAGACCUUGAACUUUUGGAAUUAAAGAUAGGAUGCCAUUACCCGAAACAAUUGGUUUAAGGGUUCCCAUUCUUCCCUUGAAAGUUACCAAAAAUUCCUUAGCUAUCUACCCAUGAUCUGAAGAAACUGUCCCAUCAGACAGUUGUAGACUAGCAAUAGAAUUUUUCCUAUAUCUCUUUGUUGCCAUGGCCUGGAAGAAUUGUGAAUUCUCUUCUCCCACCUUGAUAUAUCUGAUAGUACACCUUUUUCUCCAGUACAAAAAUUGCAAAUGUAAAAGGUGCUCAUGAUGCAUCUUACAUAACUUCCUGAAAUUUUGCUCUGGAAUGGACAGAGGCCUCCAAUCCUCUAAAUCAUCCAGCCAUAAAAUUACCCAAUUGCAUUUUUCAAUCAAGGAUUUAAUGUGAGAAAGCCCCUUCUGCCAUUUCUUGAUUGCAAACCUCAAGGAUUUCAAUUUGUCCAUAAUAACUGCAGAAAUAUGAGGCUUAUGCAAUGGUUUGCUCCAGACCUCCCUCACACAGUCCAUGAAACCAGGCUGAUGCACGCAAUAAUUUUCAAACUUGAAAAUAUUGGAUUUAGGAAUUGUGGUGCUGAUAGAAAUAACACAAGGAACAUGAUCAGAUGCUGUUCUAGCAAGAGGGGCCACUUGUGUCAUGGGAUAUUGAUUUAUCCAACUAGCAGAAGUAAAAAACCAGUCUAAUUGUUCCAGAAGUGGGAUAUCCUGCAUGUUAGACCAGGUGAACCUUCCACCUUUUAGUGGAAGCUCAAGCAGUCCUAAAUGACCAAUGAUCUCAUUAAAGAUAAAAAUAUCAUUAACAUCCCCUCCUGGUAGAUUUCUAUUUUCCAUGGACCUGAUGAAAUUGAAAUCUCCCACUAACAACCAUUUUUGUUCCGGUUCCACUUGCAGAUUAUGCAGCCAGCUUACAAAUUCAUGCCUCAUCUCACCCUGACAUGAGGGCUUUACUUCAAUUAGAACGCCCUUAAAGACAUCAGAACUCCAAACUGUCAGAAUCCCACCUGAGGCUCCUCUCGAGGGAGACUCAAUAAACUGAUCAAAGCCCAUAGGACAUAUUGUCUUAACUAAAGAACAGGGACAAUCAGCUAACUUAGUUUCUUGCAAGCAGGCAAUCGCACACUGACUUUCAGAAUUUUUUUCUCUAACAGAACGCUGUCGUGGUUCAGAGUUUAGACCACGAACAUUCCAACAAAGUACCUUCCAAUUACGCUUAGAUCCUUGAUUCAUAAUAAAACCAUACGCAAGGUAUCAGCCAUUGCAUGACAUAUAAUGCCAUGCAAACUACGCCAUAAGAAACAAAGGUCAUCCAAACCGGACUGUAGGACAUAAAGUUCAGAAACAACAUAAAUGACAGCAAAUUUAACAGGCCCGCUACACCUAGCUAAAGAGUUCAUCAGCAACAUUUAAACACCAUUGGAGGAGGAAUCACCCUUGGGAUUAGCCAUAAGCUUUUCCUCGGAUAGAAGAUUAGGAUCGAUCUCUAGUUCCACUCCGAUUGCUUGCAGAGCAUUGAUAGGUGUGGGUGGAGGAGCAUCUUCAGAGAAGUGUCCAUUAUCGCCAGCAUCGUCAGGCUUGGACUAGUCCGUCUAUUGGAUGGGCUUGGACCUUGGACGCCUCUUGGUGGGCUGAAGAGAAAGCUGCUUAAAACUGACGGGUUUAAACCCAUCAAGUUUUGCCGCGCUUCUUGUACAUCUUCUAACAGAAGUAUCCACCAAAGGGGCCAUUGCCUUCUUUCUUCUUGUCUGCUUCUUGUCCUUGACCUGCGCAGAAGCAAAAACCCCAGAAGAAGAAGAGAUCUCCUCCAGGCCUCCAGGCACUACAUCAUCAGAUUGCAAUUCGCCAGACACAUCCAUAUCCACUCUUACAUUGUCCUUAGCUGUGAAAACUUCUUCAGAUGAACUUCCAAAAAGAGCUCUGGCAACUGGGCGUUUAGCCAUAAAUGGCCUACGCAGAACAAGGCUGCUAGGCAAGCUCGAAACCAAAGAAGACCUCCUCUGUGAAUCAUCAAAGGCAAUAGUCCAUGUGCGCUUGGAAUAUGUCACUGUCCCAAGUGGCUUGAAAAAGAUUGGUCUUGGCACCUCAUUGACAAUAAAUUCAGGCAGAAGGUUCUCAAAAGAUCUCUUCCAAAUCAUCUCUGGAGGUAGUGGUGGUCCAGCCAUAAUCCUUGCCAUGCCAAUUAUUAGAUGAUGUUGCUGAAUAACAGGAGGAUGAUAUGGAACAAUUGCCAAAGGAUUAUCCUCAAUAGGCUGCUGCACAUUUCCCUGUAACUGUUGAUCUGAUUGUAACUCAUUUUGCUCCUCCAACAGAAUUUCCACAUGAUGCUCCAUAGACCCAGAGCCGACCGGCUGAUCAAUUACAAUUGAUAUCUGGUCCUGUUCUGACAGUGCAGGUUGAGGCUGCUGUUGAAGCUCCUCAUCAUUGUCCCCCCAAUUUACAUGCCCCCAUCCAUUAUCACAAAUGUUAUUGUCCUGAGCCACUAUAGGUGCAACAGGCGCGUCAUUCCAUCCCAGCAUCUGAUAUGGCGGAAGAACAAACAUCAAGUUAUCUUGUAAAAGACUUCCAGGCAACAAAUGUGGAUUUCCAUCUAGUGGCAUUGGAUCCUCAUGAUUGGGCAUCUGAUCAGCAAAAUCAGCGCCCAACACAUAACAAGCAGCAGUCCAUGAAGCUUGAGCUCCUCCCCAUUCAGCGUAGUCUCCAAAUACCACAUCACGUGGCACUAAUGGUGUGUCAGGAAAACUUACCUCCACUAGAGUCCCAACCAAAUAUGGAUCUUCACUAUCCCAAGAGUGAAAUUUCCCAAAGGUGCCAACCGCCUGAGAUAUGAACUCCGUAUUGCGAUAAUCAAGAGGAAUUCCAAUAAAUAUAAGCCAACCCUUGCGGAACCCAUGACUCCCCUUAAAAUUAUCUCCUUCAUCAUGCUUCAGACAUCUCACAAAAUGAUCGUUGCCCAAAGGGAAAGGUGGGUGCUGAAUCAAAGUGUAUCUCACAGAUGGAUCCCUGACUUGAAAUAAUCCUACUCCAUGAAACCAAGGCUGAGCAGAGCGAACCAUAGUACCUCUAUCUUGUAGGAACUGCACAAUCUCUUCACUGACGGGUCCGAUUGGACCCUCCGGAGCAGGCAUGACCUCAGCCUCCAUGUAGUCCUCAUGGCGGCGAGGGGGGUGAGCCGCAGGCGUGAUGAAGGUGCGGGAAAGCCACCUGUCUCCACCAUCGAUGAUGUGAUGGCCAGCCGGGACGAAGCGCUGUGGAUCAAGCUCGAAGUUCGCCAUUGUUGGCAGCUUGGAGGACGGGACGGGGUUUUCGUUGGAAGUUAGAGGGAGAGAUUGGUACAAUGUUGGCGGCGACGAUGUGACUGGGCAAGCUAUCCCAAUAACUCCGGCACCAUUCCCCUGACCGUCAGGAUUUUCUGAGAUAUUCGUGUUUUGUUGCAGAGAAAUUGGCCUCCAAGCCAAUCCAUUGGAGCGCGCGAAAUCAUUACAUUCCCUGGUAAAAUGACCCGUGCGCGAGCAAGCCGAGCAGACCACUCGCAUUCCACAAGAGGCUGCUAGGUGGCCCCUGAGAGAACAGACGGUACAGGUUAAAACCCGGUCCACCAUGUCAUUGACCAUGGCAUCAAACUGUUGUGCUGCUUCUUGCGAGGACUGUAUUUCUAGUGGAGGCUCUGAAGGGCUUGGGUUAGCAGAUGCAUCCAGCAUGGCAGAAACUGGGGCAUUCUGCGCCGAGGCAGGCCCAUUAACCAAAGACCCAGUGUUGGUGUCAAAACCGGCGGAUCUCGGGUAGGGGGUCCCGAACUGUGCGUCUAGGCGGAUGGUAACAGGAGACAAGGGACACGAUGUUUUUACCCAGGUUCGGGACCUCUCGAUGGAGGUAAAACCCUACUCCUGCUUGAUUCAUAUUGAUGAUAUGGGUAGUACAAGAGUGGAUCUACCACGAGAUCAAGGAGGCUAAACCCUAGAAGCUAGCCUAUGGUAUGAUUGUUGUAAUGGUUGUGUGUCCUACGGACUAAAACCCUCCGGUUUAUAUAGACACCGGAGAGGGCUAGGGUUACAUAGAGUCGGUUACAAUGGUAGGAGAUCUACAUAUCCGUAUCGCCAAGCUUGCCUUCCACGCCAAGGAAAGUCCCCUCCGGACACGGGACGAAGUCUUUAAUCUUGUAUCUUCAUAGUCUUGGAGUCCCGCCGAUGAUGAUAGUCCGGCUAUCAGGACACCCCCUAGUCCAGGACUCCCUCAGUAGCCCCCGAACCAGGCUUCAAUGACGACGAGUCCAGCGCGUAUAUAGUCUUCGGUGUUGCAAGGCGGGUUCUCCUCCAAAUUCCAUGUAUUUGCCAAACAGUGUUCGGCUCCCUCACAAAUGUUGCGAUCCUUGGCUUCCACGCCCAAUAAUGACCCUCUUCCACGCGUCGCAUGAAUGCGAAAAGCCAGGGUAUCUUUUAUGUUUUACCCCCUAGCUGCGCAAAUAACCUGCCUAUAAGAGAGAUAAGAAUCCAGAUCCAAAUCACACCAUCUUCCCUCUACGAGUACUCAUCGAAGCGCUCCUGACCUAAAGCCCGUUCCAUCAUGGACCGUCGUCGCGGGUCCUCCUCUCGCGCUCCCAGCCCUCCGCCAGGAGAUUGGAGGAGAUGCUCGGUUCCGCACAACGAGCUGGUGAAGCUUCAAGCGGAGGGAUAUCUUCCUCCGGCCUUUAUGGUCCCGGUUCGAGCCGGGCUGGCCACCUACAAAGGUGGGAAGCAAGCGUAGGCCACCCCUAGCCCCUCUAAAGGAGAGCGGGUGUGCUUCGUCCCCUAUCUGAUAAGGGGGCUCGGAUUUCCUGUACAUCCGUUCCUCCGCGGGCUCCUGGAGUUCUACGGACUCCAGCUCCAUCACCUCACGCCCGCCUCUAUUCUACAUAUGGCGGGUUUUGUAGCUCUUUGCCAGCUAUUCCUGGGCAUCGAGCCCCAUUUUGCGCUGUGGAAGAGGCUAUUCUGCCUCGUACCCCGUUCUCACGAGGGGUCAAUAUAUCAAGUGGGCGGUGCCAAAAUAUGGCGCAUUGCCGGGACCAGAUACACAUCCGGAACCCCGAAGAAGGCGUCCGAAGACUGGCCUUCGGAAUGGUUGAAUGUAGAGGACGCUCCACUGCAGGACCCAGUUCGGAUCGGCCUCCCGAAGUUUAGUGGGGCUCCUCUGAAGAAACGCCUAAGCUGGCGCACGCGGAGCCCCCAACUGGAGGAAGACAAGGGCGUCCAUUAUCUGAUGGGCCGGAUAAGAUUGCUGGCCCAUUCCGGAUUGACCAUGAUUGGAGUCAUGGCCACGUGCAUAAUGCGGGGGGUGCAGCCGCUGCAAUACAGGGGCCACCCCAUGUGGGAUUUCAACGGGGAAAAUGAUGCCACCCGUCAUGGCCGCAAAGGGCCGGAGUUGGCCGAAGAUCUGGUGAAGAUUCUGUCCGGCCUGUACAAGGGGGAGAAGGAAGACUUCCUCCAGACGAGCCCAUUGAAUGGGUUCUCAAUGAAUAACCCUCGGAGCUGGGUAAGCGGACAUUUAUUUAUCCGACCCAUGCUUUCAAAGUUAAGUACCUUACUUUAUGGAUUUGACGCAGGAACUGCGCCGGACUGUGGAGAGCAUACAUAGUCCGGCCACACAACCCGAGGAUCCGGGACGAUCCCUUGAUCCGGCCUCCGAAGAGGAUCCAGACAUAAAGGUGGAGCUAAUUGACGGGGUGUUCCACCAACUCAGCAUGGACAAUGCUUUAGUCGCCAUCACGGCUGACUACCCUGGCCUAACCCCGGCUUCCCAGGUGAAUAUGACCGAAGUCCUAACACCAUCAUUUCGUCCUUGCGCAUGUCUGACCACCGUAUAUAAUGGUGUCUCGCAGGAGGUGCCUUCAAGGCAGGAAGCCGAGCCCACGGCGGCUGACCAACAAGGGUCAGUCCGGCCCCGCAGGCGGAAGAGGAGUGCGGCGCGGGUCGAAACGUCACCGCAACGGUAUAUCCCGCGUCUUGUUAUUUAGGAAAAGGAUUUCCAGGAGGCGUAUUAACGCUCAUGACCUUUCCAGGAGAAAGAGCACUCGCCGGACGGUGUCCGGAGAGGUUGCCAACCAAGCCUCCGCCCGCCAGGCUCCAACACCUGGUCCGGAGGGGGAGGCGAGCGCAAGGCGCGAGCCGGAUUCUCCUCCAGUGGAGGAUGCCGACCGGCUGUCCACCACCAGGUCUGAGGUGGAGAGCGCCAUGAAUCAUAGGCAUCGCCGGACAGUUCUGCGUGACGCGUGUUUCUCCCCAGAGGCGUUGAAUGUCUUUAACGCGGGAGACGCGCACCUCCGUGCUACUCGAAAUGGUUUAACCAGAGCCACGGAGCAAUAUGUAAAAGACAUACGGGUAAGAGAUUUUAAUGGUUAUAUAUGCCAGUAGCCCUGAGACUUAAAGUAGUUAAAGUAACUGAUUUAAGGAUCAUAUAAUUUGCAGGAUCUUACAGAGAAGAAUGCCCAAUUGUCCAAGGAGUUGCAAGAGUGCAAGGCCCAACUUGAGGCCGCACUCGCUGCCACAGGAGGAGACACAGAGACCCCUCCUGGUAACACAUUAUUUCAAAAAGAUAAGCGGUGCGCGGCGUGCGUGUAAGUCUGACUUUGAUAUUGCAGAUGUUGUCAGACUGGAUCCAGACAAGCAACACCUACUGCGCCAGCUGAAGGCCGGCGAGAGGGUGCUUAUGAAGGUACAGCAGGAGAGGAACAAACUCCAGGAUGCCCAUACCCAGCUUGGGGAAGAGCUGAAAGGUGUUCGGGCUGAGCUGUCUGGCUCCGUGAAGGAGAAUCAGCGGCUUCAUCGCGGCAUCUAUGGUAAGUGCUUGAGCGAAUUCUUUUGAAAAGAAGAGUUCGACGAGGAAGCCUAUUGACAGAAAUAUGCCUUGUAGGUGUGCUCACAGGUCGCCCUGCGGAGGAAAUGCCCGUUUCGACGGGUGACCAACUUCCCGAGAUGGUGCAACUGCUCGAACGUGUUCGACAGGCGAUGAGUGGCGUCGUCCAGGCCCUAUGGCCAUCCGUCUCCCUACCCGAGGGCCUUGGAGAGCUUGCGGAGAAGCUUCAGGGAGCACGGCAGCGCUUCCGCUUACGGAACAUAUCGGCCUGCCGUUAAGGUGCCAGGAAGGCCUGGGCCAUGGUGAAGACGCGGUACAGGAAGGCGGAUCCAAACCACAUGGCCGAGGUCGGACCUGUGGGGCCCGAUGGGAAGGAGAUCCCUAUGAGCUUAGUGUAUGGCCAAGUAGAGUUGGCCGCUAAGUAUUCCCAACAGGACUGUAAAUUAGACAACCUGUUAGACAGGAUUGAGGAGGAGUACAAUCAGUUAUUUUGACGAUGUAUUUAAAAUGACAUGUAAAAUGCCUUCUAGCCGGAUUGUAGAUCGUUUGUCCUUGCCGACCUUUCCGCUUCGACCUCAGGACCCUAGAGUCCGGAGUGUGUCCGAAUACCUUCUCGGUUAUGACAAAACCGGGGCAUGCAUGGAGACCAGGCGUAGGGGUCAUUAGUGCUUUAUCAGACAAGUGCCCAACUAGUUAUGUUAUAUUACAUGGUUAGUAAGAAACAUCUUCCAGGGAGAAUAGUUCCGUUAAGGGUUCCUUUCCCUGGGAGGCAUGCCCUAAAGUGCAUGUCCGGACUGCGAAAAAAAGCAGGAAAACAUCUGGGGGCAGAUGGAUAAAUGUUUAAGAAAUCGUCUUUUAAGUCACCGACCGAAUAUUCCCUUAAGAACGCUAGCUUUUGGCUUCACCCAGUCUGAGGUACACAUCCGGCUGACCCGGCAGUAACAAUCGCAGAGGUGCUCCCUUUACCUCCUAGCCGAACAAUCGGGAAUGUAGGGGUAAGCACAGGAGCCAGGCAACCCAGCUUGGCCAAAACUUAAGUCAUAUCGAUGCAUAUAAUGGUGAAUAAAAGGUACAUGUGGAAGUUUGACACAUGUGCUGUGCAUGAAGCCCGGAUAAGUAAGCUUCUGGUAAAGAAGCCCCCAGGUAUAAUGAGUGCGGAUAGCACAUCAAGUGUGUGCGAACAAUGCGCAAAUAGGUCUCUAAGGGCUUUUAUGAAAAAGGUGAGAGAAAAGAGAGAAAUGAAAAGACGGCUGAAGUGUAAAAAUAUGGACGGAGGAAGGAAACGAACUCCUAGUCCGGCGCUAGGCAUAAAAUCUUCGAAGGCGGGCCGCGUUCCAUGGGUUCGGCUCGAGUCGGUUGUCCGAUGCAUUUCGCAGAUGGUAUGCUCCGCCGGUCAGGACUUGGUCGAUGAUGUAGGGACCCUCCCAUUUGGGCUUGAGUUUGUCCUUCUUCUUGUCCGGCAGGCGUAGAACUAGUUCGCCAACGUUGUAAGUUUUGGCCCGUACUUCUUUGCUUUGAUAUCUUCGAGCCUGCUGCUGAUAGAAUGCGGAACCCCUUUGCCACAUCGCGUUCUUCCUCCAAUGCGUCCAAGCUAUCUUGCCGAUCCAGCUCGGCUUCUCUUUCUUCGUACAUGCGCACUCGAGGUGAGUCAUGAAUUAUGUCGCAGGGCAAAAUUGCCUCUGCGCCGUAUACCAUGAAAAAUGGUGUGAAACCGGUAGUACGGUUUGGCGUGGUCCGCAGCCCCCAGAGCACGGAGUCAAGCUCCUCUACCCAGUGCAUGUUAGAUUCCGUAAGGGACCGCAAUAGUCUGAGCUUGAUGCCGCUCAUUAUCAGACCAUUUGCUCGUUCAACUUGACCGUUGGUUUGAGGGUGAUAGACUGAAGCAUAAUCGAGCUUAAUGCCCAUAUUUUUGCACCAGAGUUUGACCUCGUCGGCCAUGAAGUUCAUGCCGUUAUCGGUGAUGAUGCUAUGGGGGACGCUAUAACGGUGUACUACCCCGGAUAUGAAGUCUAUCACUGGUCCGGUCUCUGCCGUUUUAACUGGCUUGGCCUCUAUCCAUUUGGUGAAUUUGUCCACCAUGACCAAUAGGUACCUUUGCUUGUGGGUUCCCCCUUUAAGGGGUCCAACCAUGUCAAGCCCCUAGACCGCGAACGGCCAGGUAAUGGGUAUAGUUUUGAGGGCGGUAGGUGGCAUAUGGCUCUGAUUAGCAAAGAGCUAACAACCAACGCAUCUUUGGACUAAGUCCUGAGCAUCUUCCCGGGCCGUCGGCCAAUAAAAUCCUGUACGGAAGGCCUUACCUACAAGGGCCCGAGCUGCGGCGUGGUGUCCGCCUAGUCCGGCAUGAAUUUCAGCCAGAAGGUUUCGCCCUUCCUCUUCGGAGAUACACCUUUGAAGGACCCCGGUUGUGCUUUUCUUAUAAAGUACUCCCUCGUGGACCUUGUAGGCUUUAGAUCGCCGAACUAUGCAGCGGGCCUCAUUUUGGUCUUCUGGAAGUUCCUGCCUAAUUAAGUAGGCUAGGAAUGGCUCUGUCCACGGGGCAAUUACUGCCAUUAUUUCGUGGGCUGAAGGUGUUAUUUCAUCGGCCGAGCCGCCGAUUAUGUCAGAUUGUUCUGUGUUGGGUAGUGCGGCUGCUUCCGGGUUGUUAUUUCCGGACUCCUCUUCCCAUAGUACGGAUGGCUUAAAGAGCCAUUCCAGGAAGAUGUUUGGAGGGACAGCGUCGCGUUUCGCGCCAAUGCGUGCCAAUACGUCGGCUGCUUGGUUAUUAUCCCGGGCUACGUGGUGGAAUUCGAGUCCUUCGAACCGAGCUGACAUUUUUAGGACAGCGUUACGAUAGGCUGCCAUUUUCGGAUCCUUGGCGUCAAAGUCUCCAUUUACUUGGGAUAUUGCAAGGUUUGAAUCCCCACGCACCUCUAGGCGUUGAAUGCCCAUGGAGAUUACCAUCCGGAGGCCAUGUAGGAGGGCCUCGUAUUCGGCUGCGUUGUUGGAGUCCGUGUACAUUAUCUGGAGUAUGUAUUGGACUGUGUCCCCGGUUGGGGACGUCAAUACGACGCUAGCCCCCAAACCGGCCAACAUUUUUGAGCCGUCGAAAUGUAUAAUCCAAUUGGAGUAUGCGCCGUACUCUUUAGGGAGUUCGGCUUCAGUCCAUUCAGCGACAAAGUCGGACAAGACUUGCAACUUUAUAGCUCGUCGAGGUUUGUAAGUUAUAUCGAGUGGUAAGAGCUCAAUAGCCCAUUUUGCAAUCCUUCCCGUCGCGUCGUGGUUGUUUAUAAUGUCGUUGAGGGGCACUUCGGAGGCCACUGUUAUCGAACACUCUUGAAAGUAGUGUCGGAGCUUCCGAGAUGCCAUGAACACCGCGUACGCUAUCUUUUGAUAGUGUGGGUAACGGGACUUGCAGGGGGGUAAGACAGUGGAUACGUAGUACACUAGUUUUUGAAGAGGGAAUUUAUGCCCUUCUGUUUCUCGUUCGACGACGAGCACCGCGCUUACAACUUGAUGUGUUGCCGCGAUAUAUAACAACAUUGGUUCGCCCAGGUUAGGCGCAGCUAGGACUGGAUUUGUUGCCAAUAUGGCUUUUAUUUCUUCGAGUCCGGCAGUGGCAGCAUCCGUCCACUCAAAGUGUUCGGUGCGCCUGAGGAGGCGAUAGAGGGGCGAUGCCUUUUCUCCCAAACGGGAGAUGAAGCGGCUUAAGGCCGCCAUGCAUCCAGUCAAUUUUUGUAUUUGUUUGAGGUUUAUUGGAAUAUCCAUCUAUGACAGAGCUCGGAUCUUGGCUGGGUUUGCUUCAAUUCCUCUACUGGAUACAAUGAAGCCCAGGAGCUUUCCGGCUGGUACGCCGAAAACGCAUUUUUCCGGAUUCAGCUUGAUGUCAUAUGCUUAGAGGUUGUCGAAUGUGAGCCUCAAAUCGUCUACUAGAGUUUCGACGUGUUUGGUUUUGACGACUACGUCGUCUACGUAUGCCUCUACUGUUUUGCCGAUCUGGGUAGCCAGACAUGUCUGAAUCAUGCGCUGAUAUGUUGCGCCGGUGUUUUUGAGUCCGAAGGGCAUCGUGUUAAAGCAGAAUGGUCCAUAUGGAGUAAUGAAUGCCGUUGCGGCUUGGUCCGCCUCCGCCAUCUUAAUUUGAUGGUAGGCAAAGUAUGCGUCAAGGAAGCACAAUGAAUCGUGCCCUGCGGUAGCAUCGAUUAUUUGGUCGAUGCGGGGAAGGGGGAAGGGAUCCUUUGGGCAGGCCUUGUUGAGGUCUUUAAAACUGACACAUAGGCAUCAGGAUUUAUCCUUCUUUGGUUCCAUUACCAGGUUUGCUAGCCAGUCCGGAUGUUUGAUGUCUCUGAUGAAUCCGGCUUCCAGUAGUUUGGCUAGCUCUUCUCCCAUUGCUUGUCUUUUGGGUUCGGAAAAUCGCCGAAGAGCCUGUUUGACUGGCUUGAAUCCUUUUAGGAUGUUUAGGCUGUGUUCUGCCAAUCUGCGUGGGAUUCCUGGCAUAUCUGAAGGGUGCCAGGAAAAGAUGUCCCAAUUUUCCCGAAGGAAUUCUCGUAGUGCGGCGUCUACAUCAGGGUUCAACUGUGCCUCGAUGGAGGCCGUCUUUGUUCGGUCCGUUGGAUGGACCUGGAAUUUGACUAUUUCGUCAGCUGGUUUAAAGGAGGUGGACUUGGAUCUCUUAUCGAGUAUCACAUCAUCCCUAUUCACCGUGGAGCGCAGUGCGGUGAGUUCCUCUGCAGCUAGGGCUUCGGAUAGUGCCUCUAGGGCUAAUGCAGCUGUCUUGUUUUCGGCGCGGAGUGCUGUGUCCGGAUCACUAACGAGUGUGAUUAUUCCACUGGGCCUAGGCAUCUUAAGCUUCAUGUACCCGUAAUGGGGUAUGGCUUGAAAAAUUGUGAAUGCCUCCCGUCCUAAUAUAGCGUGAUAUCCACUGCUGAAUGGGGCCACUUGGAACGUGACUUCUUCAGACCUAUAAUUGUCCGGCGUACCGAACACCACAUCAAGUGUGAUUUUUCCUGUGCAACGUGCUUCCCGGCUGGGGAUUAUUCCUCUAAAGGUUGUGCUGCUUCACUCAAUGCGGCUCCAGUCGAUUUCCAUUUUUUGAAGACUAUCCUCGUAGAUGAGGUUUAAUCCGCUGCCGCCAUCCAUGAGUACCUUGGUAAGGCGAAAGUCGUCCACUAUUGGACUGAGGACCAAUGCAGCCGGUGCUCGGGCUGUUUGGAAUUUAGGUUCGUUGCUGGCGUUGAAGGUAAUGGCCGUGUCGCUCCAUGGAUUUGUUGUUGCUAAUUGGUAGAGUUCGGUGAGGCUGCGGAUUGUUCGUUUCCGCAUAUUAUUUGAUGCGAAAGUCUCGAAGACUGUUGACACCGUACUGGUACUAUUGGAGUAGCUCUCCGGGGCUAGAAGCUCUUCGCCAAUUUUGGCCACCUGCCGUAGUAUCCAACAUGCUCGAAGGCUGUGUGUUGGAGUGGCGCCUUCUGUACUGUGAAUUUUACAGGGUCCGCUGAGCCAUCCCUCCAGUACGGUUCCGUGCCCUUUAUGGGGUUUUUGCUUUUUGGUUUUUGUACCUGGUGCCUGAGUGUGAUGCACCCUUUUGUUUCGGACUAGGGUUGUAUUCGGGGCCGGAUUGUCCCAAAACAUAGUUUCGGUUUUCCGGAAACUCUCCAUCGCACAGUACUUUCGUACUAUGGACGCCAGAUCAGCGAAGCAUGUAAUUUCGCGACGACUGACGGCGUUCAAGAUUCCCUCGUCCGUGCAAUUAUUGCAGAAAAUUGAAAUUGCGCUUUCCUCACGGCAGUCCUUUAUCCUGUCCAUAACCAGGAGGAAUCUGGCCCAGUAAUGAUGUACUGUUUCAGCGGGCUCUUGCCGGAUUUGAGAUAGAUCACAUAUGUCUGGGUGGGUGGGUGGAAUUAAGUUCGGAACCCUACCCAUCUCGAGGCUCAAGGGCCGGAAAGUUUCCGAAUUUGGAAGCUUGGCUUGCUGUACGUUGUCCAACGAGUCUGGUCCGAUGCCUGACUUUAGGUUCAGUGCUUGAUCGACGUCCGUUCCUCCGCGGGAAUCCGGCAUGGAGGGUUCGGGAGUCCGGACAUGACUAGUUUUCAAUACAGAAGAAGAUUCGCCGCGUCGUUCCUCUACCACCGCAACGUGGUGGGUAACCUGGGGAGAGUUAAUCUCUUUCAGAUCGGUUUUAAGCCCAAUAUAAUUGUAGUCUGUAGCGACUCCCAGGGCGGCGAUGCGAUCCAAGAGCUCGUUUACGAACGAGAGCUCUAUUGGAUCCAACUGCUCGGCGAAUUCCGAGUUGACGUGAAGAUUGCUUUUGAUGACCCGAGAGGUCGUCGUUGAAGGAGUGGCCGAACAGGCGGUCAUAAGAAAACGACCUAGCCUGCUAGUUUGGCCGGCGGCCAAAGCUCCUUUGGUGAUGGUUCCGUCUUUAAAGGCGGGAAGAGGCAUCCUUCCUAUUGGUGACGGCACAGAGGAACUCUCAAUGAAAGCACCAAUGUCGGUGUCAAAACCGGCGGAUCUCGGGUAGGGGUCCCGAACUGUGCGUCUAGGCGGAUGGUAACAGGAGACAAGGGACACGUUGUUUUUACCCAGGUUCGGGCCCUCUUGAUGGAGGUAAAAGCCUACUCCUGCUUGAUUGAUAUUGAUGAUAUGGGUAGUACAAGAGUGGAUCUACCACGAGAUCAAGGAGGCUAAACCCUAGAAGCUAGCCUAUGGUAUGAUUGUUGUAAUGGUUGUGUGUCCUACGGACUAAAACCCUCCGGUUUAUAUAGACACCGGAGAGGGCUAGGGUUACACAGAGUCGGUUACAAUGGUAGGAGAUCUACAUAUCCGUAUCGCCAAGCUUGCCUUCCACGCCAAGGAAAUUCCCCUCGGGACACGGGACGGAGUCUUCAAUCUUGUAUCCUCAUAGUCUUGGAGUCCGGCCGAUGAUGAUAGUUUGGCUAUCCGGACACCCCCUCACCCAGCAAUUGGCCCAACAGAAAACUGAGGUGACACUGGACCAGAAAGCUGGGCUUCCAAAGAUGAUGGGCUAGAUUCCUGGUUUCCAGUUUGAACUGGAGGGAUUCCCGCUUCCGCAAAUUGUGCAGAGAGAUUACCAGAAACCACGGGCCGCGGAUCCACAGUUACCAAACCAGGUGGGGGCGGCGCGAUCGACCGGUGCAACUCCAGCAAUGGUUGAACAGUACCAAACACGAUCGGUGUCCGAGCCACCGUCCAAUGCAAGUCAAGGGGGGGGGGGCUUGUCUAAUAACAACACGCUCAUGAGCAAAAAGAGUAUAACCCCCAUCCAUAAUAGUAUCAAUGCAAUUUUGAGAAGCAGGAUAUCUAUAACCCUUGCAGGCAGAGUACUGCUCAAAAGUGGCGAAGGUCAAUUUCUUUCGUACUGCGGAAGCUGACUUGAGGGAAGAUCUAAUCGGAGGCCUAUGCAUCGCCAAAAGACCCAGAGAAGAUCGACGUUUAGUAGGACUAAUCAUAAUCCACUCUGCAUGACAUUCCUGACGCCAGAUCUUAAGUUCCCGAACCCAAUUAGGCCCUCCAUUGCCCCAGAGAUUGAAAUAACAUUUGAACAGAUCGCAAGCAAAAGAACGCAGAUCCAGAAUAAUAAAACCAACUUGCUUGCAUGAAACUUGGAAAGAAAAAACCUUGUCUUUGACGUGGAGAACCCGUAGGUCAAUUGCCGAUCCACCAAUUGCAGCCUCCAAAACUGCCGCCACCGAAUCCUCCGACAACCGGAAAGCAUGGUGGCUAAAGGACACAAUUAAUGUGAAAGCCCUUCAUCCCAUUGGGUGGAUCAUUUGAUCAGUGGAUCUGAAAACCUCAUCAGAGAAAGCCCUACCCUUGGAGAAAUCCAAGCCAAGAGUAGAUCCACCAGAUGAACCCAUAAGAGAUGGGUAUUGCCUUGAUCCAGAGGAGACGCCGAAGAAGAUGAUCGGAAGGGAUCCACAUAUUAGUGGAUGAGGGUGAAGAUCGUUGGUGGUGAGGUCAGCGCCGAGGUGGGAGGUGGGAGCGCCAUAAGGAGUUGUCAGCACGACCCAUUCUUCCCAUGAGUAUACCCGCAAAAUGAAGAAUCACUGUGAGAGCACAUACUUUGAGGAUUGCUAUCUCUCGCAUAUGGGAAGCAAUUACAGAAUAGCCUGCCAUGAAUGGGAUUCUUUGCCAAGAUCACCGCCAGUCAAGUCUGCAAAUGUUAUCAUUAGGAGAUGGUGCAUUUUUCUAUCAGUCAAGUCAAGCAACAGUCAAACUUUUGGUACAGAUUAGAUAUGAAAGACAGUGAAGUUGGGCAAGGUAAGUCAGAAAAUGCCUGCAAGAAGUCAGAAUCCAUCAGAAAGCCAAGUAUGAUUCCUAUCACUGCUUUGAACCCACAAGGUAUGCAUAUAUUCAAACAGUCUGAUGUCUGAAUAGAGGAGAUUCCUAGUUCCACGGGAAGAUGUGUUCCCCAACCCCGUGGAAUAUUCUCGACACUCGAUACAAGAAUAACAUCUCCAACAAGGAUCAGUAUCGAGAAGGACACAUAUGACAACAAUGAUAAUCUUUUAGACCUCAGCUAAGCCAGCAGAUGUGAAGGGAAAUUUGAGUCAAUAUGAAUAGGAACAUAUGAGGUAAGUUCUAUCCGAAUGUCAGAUACGAUGAAGCAAACUACCCCAGAUCAAGGUAGUCAGUCAGAUCCAACUCAGUGGGAAUAUUAUAUGAGAAUGAAUAAAACAAACCUGAGUUGUAAAACGGUUUCUUCAAGUCAGAAAAAUUAUUUAUCGUUGAGCAACCAAAUCUCGAGGAUGAGAUUUCUUUAGGGGGGAAGGUUUGUGACACCUUGGAUUUUUGCCCUUUCCUUUUUCCUUUGAUUUUCUUGGAUUUAUUAAUUUGAAUUGCUUUUCUGUGGCUAUGUGGUUCUAAACUUUGGGAAGAUCAUGUCUUCCUAGGUUUUAUAGUGGCUUGUCAUCCCCAAAACCAUCCCUAGCUCAUGUCAUUUUCAUCCUAGCCCAAAUCCCAAUAUUCUUUUAUUGGGAAUAUUCCUUUUUUAUUAAAGGAAUAACCCUUGAUACCCUAGGUUGUGAGGAAACCUAUAAUUCUGUCACUCCCAAAAUUCCCAAAUAAUUCUAAUAAAUUGUUUGGGUCCUAUCUUGCUCAAAUGUGCAAAUUAUUUCAUUGCCAUGUUCAAAAAUCAUCCUCCAAUAAUACUUUUCCUAUUCUGCCCUAACUGGCACUUUGCAAAGCAAGUGCUAUUUACCUUUAUCCAAUUGACCCCCAACUUCUUGGAUAUAUUUUAUUGUCCAUAUAAUUGCCCCAUGCCAAAAUUCAACUCAACUUGCUUAGUAAAUAUUCCUGAGCAAUUUUUCAGAAUUCCUGUCUGAGGGAAGACAUUGUGAAGGAAGUACUAGCUAGGCAUAUCCAAAUGAGUUGAAAUUUUUCAAGGUCCUUCAUAUGAUAAAAUCAUGACUAUCCUCUAAAUUUGAGCUCAUGUAACUCAUUUAUGUGAGCCCAGCUCCAAAUCUUUGUUUCUGGUCAGAUUUUCAGUUUGUGAAGCAACUAUAUUUUGCAUUGAUUCAUUUAAGCUGAAAAUUUUCCAGGGCAUUCUCCUAUCCAUAUAAACUCCCUCCACCAAGUUUUGGCUCAAUCCAUUGCUCCAUUUUCCCUAUGCAAUUUUCCCAAAAUUCUGUCCAGAGAGAUGCUUUGUGAAGCAAGUGCCACUUUGGCUCAUCCAAAUGGCAUGAAACUUUUUGGGCAUCAUCAUAUUACUAAAUCAUUGGGCCAUGACCAUUUUCAUCUUAUUUCAUGCACUUAUGUGAGCACAACUUGAAAACCUCCAUUUCUGGCCAGUAUGGCACUUCCUACAACAACCACCCUCUAAACUCCUCCUAUUAAGCUGGUUUUUGGUGAUCAGGAUCACCUUAUUGUGUGAUCAUCACCAGACAAAUCAGUUCCUUCAUUGCCAAGUUUGUGUCCCCUCUGUGAAGCACAAGCAGGUUGUUUUGGCCCCUCUUGCUUUUCUCUUCUUUGCCCCUGAACCGACUUAUUGCUUCUUUUAGACUCAGGGUAUCAUGGUCAUUCUACUGGACAUGGUCAGUUCGGACAGAACACACCGUGUAUGCUAGCUCACGCGAUGACCACGGGGUGCAAGCCCAAAACCGUGCUCUGGCGCAUUGUCGACCAUGUUCCCGUCUAGACGUCCCACUUUGCUAGGAGCUAGCUCGUGAUCACCUGCAGCUUCUGGUGCCUCUGCACCACAUUAUCUCGCCGGCGUUUGGUCACAAUCGACAUGCCCGUGCCGGAAACCACCUCUAUCCUCCAUUGUUGUCUAGUUGGAGCUCGCCCGUGAGCUCGAGAAGCCUCCCCCGCACCUAUAUAAGAGACCCCCAAGUCCUCCCGUAGCUCCCAAGCCCCUCCCUUGCCUCAUUUCUCACCGGAGUCCUCAGCCCCCUCUUCUUUUCGCCGGAGAUCGCCUUGUCCGCCUUGGUUCCUCCUCGGUUCCAGUGAGCCUAGCCUCCCUUUCCUCCUCCAGAGUUGUCCACCGCGUUCCUUUCCUCCCCACGGUCCUCCCCACCCCACUACUUCGUCGCCGGAGCCACUCCGACCGCGAUCACCGAGUCCGGCCGUCGCCUCCGUAUAUCAGCCAUUUCUUUGUCCAGCCUUCCCGAGCUCCCUCGCACCCUUCCCACCACCUCAUCAUUAUCCCCACCUCCUAGAGGUCCGCCCCACAAUAUCAGCCUCACCGGAGUAGUCCCACAUCUUCGCCAACGGCCGCCUCCUGUCCGCUCCUGUCGCUCUUUGUCUUCGGUCGUUGCCAUUGUUCCUUGCUGCCUCAAUGCCCCUGCUCCCUGGGAGUGGACACGCCGCACCACUGCGAGCCCACCGGUGCCUUCGCCUUGACCGGAGCUGGCCUGGGCCGGCUGCCCCUUGUCGUGGCCCUACUCUGCUCUGUUUUGUUCCGCUCGGGAACGAAUAGGAGCGAGGUGAGGAGGAAGACGACGCCCAGCCAGCUGGCCAGGCAGGCCCCGCCUCCCCUCUUGGCCCCACGCGUAAGUGAGAUAACCCCAGGCCCAACUCUGUUAAGUGGAAGCGUAUUUGUAAAAAUACAUUUUUGUUUUAUAGAAAGCAUAUUCCUUCUUUCUUUUGUCCAAAAUGCGUUUUCCCUUCUGGAAAGCGUAUUUCCUUUAACUACAACUGAGAAUACCUUUUCCUUUUCAGAAAAUGUAUUCAGCCGAGGCGCUUUCUGUUUUCUGCUCCAGGGACCUGUUUGCUGAAGAAAUAUUCAUAGAUUGGUCCAUCUCCUUCCACCCUUCGUAAAUUUUCAACCGUAGCUCCGAUCGAGGUGAAACCAACGCUCACAUCUUCGUCUCGUCAUGUUAUUUCUGUUGCUAGCACUUUCACUAGGUGGUCCCACAGCGAAAAGGACCAUUUUGCUCUUGUCUCCAAUCAGCCCCCUCCGAGAGAGAACCAUCCGGUGUUUCAUUUCCGCAGCUUCACCGCACUUCUUCCUGCAGUCUCCAUCACCACCAAGCAAGCCACAACAUCCACUUGCAUGAUGGCCAUACAGUAUCCACGGUUUCUACUUGAAUAUUAAAUAAAAGUUUGUUGUUAUCUACCUGCUUGUUAGCUACUAUUGUCGUUGCUUCGGUUAUGCUCGUGGAUUCUUGUUCACCUUCAGGCUAUGUUAUGAUGCAUCGUGAUAUCUUAUGCUACUUGCUAGUAUCAUUUUCACAUGUCAUGCUUGUUAGUAUUAGUACAUUCUGGUCGUAGUGAUGUUAUUUUGACGCAUGCUUAGUCUGUUAUGCAGUACCGUUUCUAUGUUUGUUCCGUUGCAUCUAGUUGGUUACAUACUUACUUGGUAGUGUUUUUGCUAUGUUCUUGCAUGGUAUUUAUUCAUGAUGCUAGUGGUCAUGCUAUGCUUAUGGUAGAGUUAUGCUUGUUGUCGGGUGGUAGUUGCGACAUAUGCCAACGGAUGGCUUAUCAUUGUGGGAGCCAGUAAGACAUCGCCGGUGCCUGGAAACGGGAUGAGGCGAAGACAUGCACACCGGUGAAUCUUACCCCAGCUUCCGGGCUCUCCGUGGAGAUAACACCCUUACUGCUGCUCUGCGGGGUCUCCGCAUGGUCACUAGUUCAACAAGUAGCUACAGGAUGCUCCUUGAGCUGUUCGAUGGGAGGAGGAAGAAGGGCAAGGCUAGCUCUUUUCUCUCCCUAUGGUAGUGUCUAAAACUCUAUGAGAUCAACCCUUUGCAUGGGUGUCUCGGGGGGUUUAUAUAGGCCUACCCCCCGGGGGUACAAUGGUAAUCCGGCUGGAUGUGGGCCCAGGCCGUCAGUGUCUGCAACCGCCGCCUUCUCUGCGGACUUCUGGGGCCCGCCGACUGGUGGGUCCCGCCGGCUGUCGGCCCGCUGGUCGACAGGCCGGCCCCACCGCUUGGGGCAUCUUGUCGGGGCUGGUUACUGUGGCCUCGCCUCUGAUGACGAGGGCUUUGUCGAGGUAAGCAUGGCUACAGUGCCGCCGCCCUACGGGCUCCCACUGUAGCCUCACCGCGUCUCAUCUGCUUAAUGGUGCACGCGCCCCGAGGGGGAGCAAGCUAGCUAUUGGAAACCGGCCCAGCCUUGGGCCGGCUGAGAUAGGCCGGUCCACCUUCGGAUGUCUCUCUGGCCGAAGGGGCCCGCCGCUUGCGGGCCGUACCGGCGACCCGUCGUGGUUGGCAUCAUGACUCUCAUGGCAACAGUGCCACGUCGGACGGGGGAUGGCUGCCCCGUACGGCGUACUGUAGCCAUGCAUUCACCGGGAUUUGGGGGAUGGCAGGGUUUGCUGUAGCCAUGCCAUGUCCCGUCACCGUUAUGGGUGAUGGUAUUUGGAGGCGGCGUUCGGCUACUUGCUUCUUGGAGUCGGCCCUUCAUGGGCCGCCUUCGAGGAGUCGGUCCUUCAUGGGCCAGCUUUUGGAGUCGGCCCGAUCGUGGUGUCCUCCAAAGGUUGUUUUAUGGUCGGGCCGCCUUCGGCCAGCUGGCCUAGGUGAUAGCCGGCCGGGAGAAGGCGGCCCCGUGUCUUAGGUGCUUCGAGGUUCGAUCGGCCCGUUGUUUUUUCUGAGGGCCAAAGGGAGCCGGCUAGGCUACCCGUGGUCAUUUACUCCGAUAGUAGUCCCUAAAGCUGGUUGGGCUUCGCGGAUGAAGGGAAAUCGAGAAGCUCGGCUAGCUUCCUAUCCCGAGGAGCCGGCAGCUAGGAGCCGGCCUCUCUUGCGUGUUCCUUCUCGGCGAAGCCUCCUCAAAAUUCGAAGGCGGGAAACAGCUGGCGUGCCAGCCAGGCGGCAGGCUGACCGCCCGCUUUCCGCAUGUUGCGUGGCACCCUUAGGCUGGCAAGGCGUGCCAGCCCACGUGCGUGACGGGACGCUGUUGCAGGCCGGGGCCCGCCACUCCCGUGCCUCAGCCCAUGCGCGGAUCUUCUAUGGCCCGAACCGACCCCACGUCUUCCGGCGNNNNNNNNNNNNNNNNNNNNNNNNNNNNNNNNNNNNNNNNNNNNNNNNNNNNNNNNNNNNNNNNNNNNNNNNNNNNNNNNNNNNNNNNNNNNNNNNNNNNNNNNNNNNNNNNNNNNNNNNNNNNNNNNNNNNNNNNNNNNNNNNNNNNNNNNNNNNNNNNNNNNNNNNNNNNNNNNNNNNNNNNNNNNNNNNNNNNNNNNNNNNNNNNNNNNNNNNNNNNNNNNNNNNNNNNNNNNNNNNNNNNNNNNNNNNNNNNNNNNNNNNNNNNNNNNNNNNNNNNNNNNNNNNNNNNNNNNNNNNNNNNNNNNNNNNNNNNNNNNNNNNNNNNNNNNNNNNNNNNNNNNNNNNNNNNNNNNNNNNNNNNNNNNNNNNNNNNNNNNNNNNNNNNNNNNNNNNNNNNNNNNNNNNNNNNNNNNNNNNNNNNNNNNNNNNNNNNNNNNNNNNNNNNNNNNNUUCACACGCUCUCCCUCGCCCUGCCUCCUUCUUCUUCUGCCUCGCUGCGGUAGUUCCUCGCUGUGCUCCUGCCUCGCCAUCCAUUCUUCCUCCUAGCAGGGCGCUCCCCGUCGUCGCGCUCGCUGCCAUGGCUCCGAUGUAGAGAUCUUGGGACGUCUCCACCAUCCGUGAUGACCACAUCGAGUUUCUCCGCAAGACGCGGUGGCUGCCAAGCGAGGAUCUCGUGCAAGUCCGCCUCGCGCUAGUAAGGGAGGUCUCGCCGGCGCCGGAGGAAGGCGAACGAGUGAUCUUCUACUCGCACAGCAUGCGCGACGUCGACCUCCCCGCUAGUGGCUUCUUCCGCGCGUUCCUGGACUUCUACCAACUCCAGCCGCACCACCUCACUCCCAACAUGGUGGUGCUGCUGUCGGCCUUCGUCUCUUUGUGCGAAGGCUUCCUCGGCGUCCUCCCCACCAUCGAGCUCUGGGGGGAGUUUUUUCAAUCCAAGCUCGGCACGGUCGUCGCCGGCGUGCCGGCUCCGUGCGGCGCCUUCGUCGCCAUGAGGAGGUCCACCGCCAACAACCCCUUCCCUUCAAUUGCGCUGAUCCAGUCGGUGAAGCUCUGGCAACGGUCUUACUUUUAUGUAAAUAACGUUGCCCCAAACGGCGAUUAUGUCAACCUGCCGGCUUACAUAGCCGGCACGCCGGCUGGGAGGCCGGCUUCAUGGUCCUACCGGGCGAGAUCGCUGAUGCCGGCUGGAGCCGAAGCCGUCGCCCGACUUCGGGUGCUCAUCUAGUCUGACCGCCUGACCGGGCCCGACUUGAUCGCCGCCUUCGUCGAGCACCAGGUCCUGCCGCUCCAAGGCCACCCUCAUCUGAUCUGUCAGAUGAGCGGCCGCUUCGACCCAAGCCGGCUCAGCACCAAGGAGAUGCCUCACGACAAGGUGUCUUAUAUGGUGAACUACAUCGCCAACUGCAAGCUCAAGCCAGAUUGGCAGUAUGGCAUGGCGCCAUUCUCUCGCCCCAAUCCACCACCUAUGGUAAGUUUCUCUCUUUUUUUGUUUGUUACCGAAUCCCUUUCCGGGCCGACUCUUGACCAGUCGGUCCGUCCUCAAUCAGAACCCCCUUCUUCAUCCUCCAGCCAGGACCGCGGGGCCGGAGCGCGAGUUCGACCCCGACCGCGCGGCGGACGAUCCUGAUGACGCCGACUUGGGGGCGGCCGCCCUGGACGAGGACGCCACGGGGGGCGGCGGCGAGGCAGGCGGCUCCGGCUUUACCGCCGGCUUCAAAGACUGGUCCGAUGAUGAUGAAGCCGACCCCGCUCCACGCCGCCAGCCGGUGUUCGACCCCCAAGGCGCCGACCCAUCCGGCGGGCCGGCCGCACAAGGCGGCGUAGUGAAGCACCAAGCGGCACCGACUCCCUUCGGCGGCUGUCUGAAGAGGCCCAAGGUGCCCGCGGCGGCAACCAAGCGGGACGAGGUGGCCACGAAGGCGGCCCGCUUCCGCAAGGUUGUAAAGCAGCCGCAGGCUAUCUCUGCGUAAGUUCUAGUCUUUACGCAACUUUCUUUCUUUUCUUCGGUUGAUGUUCUUCUAAGUCUUUUUUCCUGUUUUGUCAAUCAGGGCCCCGCUCACUCUUGAGCGGACUACCGCUGCCUCCAUAGUCAGCGGAGCGGGAGGGUCUGUGGGCUCCCAUCGCAUGGAUCCCCGCGCCGAGCUUCAGGCGGCGACGGAGCGGAACGCGCGGGAAGCGCGGGAGGAACGGGAGGCGGAGGAGAGAAUGGCAGCCACCGCCGAGCCAGCCCUGGAGACGACGCCGAAGUUGGUUGAGGCGCAGGCCGACGCGGCGGCCAGGGCCCGGGCGGAGGCCGAGACCGCAGAGAAGAUGGCGGAGACCCUGCGAGGCUAGCCUCCGCGGCUCGUCAUCCGCCUCCGUUCCGCGCCCCCGGACGUCCCGCAGCCCCGCCGGAGGAGAUCAGCCGCGACCCGCCGGUGACGGAGAGGGAGGAAGGUGACGUAGUCGUCCUGGAGGGAGGAGUGGUGACGCCUCCAUCGGCUGGGACCGGCCAAGGUGGCCAGCCCGAGGUACCGCCUGAGCAGCCGACUGCGCAGGCGGAUCUUGUGGUCCUGUCGCCGGCUCGCCGGCGUACGGUGAGGGCGACUUCAGAGCCGGAUCAGCAGAGGGCGGCCGCCUCCAGCUCGCUGUCGCAUGAGCUGGAGUCGGCCACCACUAGCUCACUAGGGUGGACGCAGGGCGGUGGGACAGCCGCGCUGAACUUGGUCGCGCAAGACGUCCGCAGCCGGCUACAAUCCCAAGCCACCGCGCUGCAACAAUGUACCCAAGAAUUUCUCGCGACGCAGGCGGUCGUUCGGGUAAGUUCUUUUGUUCUUGAUUUCUAUCCGUGGGGGCGCGUCAGAGCACCCACUGGGUGUAGUCCCCAAGUUCCGAGCCGGCUGCUGAGCAGGUGGCUUGGAACUUCCUCGAAGACUUGUUUUGCUGACUUGCUCUUGCUUGCUUCUUCGUCCUAUUUGCAGGAUUACCACAACCUCCACGCCGCUACCUUCAACUCCCAGGUCCGGGAGGCAUACAAGAGGGCCUCCAAUCUGACGGAAAGCCGGCAUGAGUGUUUUUGUCUUUUCAUGUCAUGUGGGGGCACGUCAGCGCACCCACUGGGUAUAGUCCCCGAGAUUCGGGCCGACUACUGAGUAGUCGGGUCGGAUCUUUCUUGCCGACUUCUUUCUUAACUUUCUUGUUUCCAUGCUGGCAGGAGCUAACGCCGACCAAAGGCAGCAGCUGGGUAUCGCCCAAACCACCCUUCACACCAAGGAGGGCGAGCUCAAUGCCUUGGCCCAGGAGCAUGACCGCCUGGCCAAGAGGUUGCCGACCAGGAGGAAAGCCACCAGGCGGCCCUGAAGGCGGCCCAGGACAGCGAGGCCGCCCUCAAAGCCGAAUUCGAGACCGAGGUGGCGGGUAGGGCAAGGCAAGGCAAGCUCUGAGCGAAGGCUACGGCCGUGUUGAAGACCUAGUUGACGGUAGGCCGCCUUCUUCUUCACUCUUUGCUUGUUCUUGCAAGUCGGUUUAGCUCCUGAUUUGCUCUGUUUUUUCUUCUUCUUUGUGAAGAGUACUUUCCUGGCCAUUCUAUCGCUGCCAACCAAGCCAUUGAAGCCCACCGAGAGGCACGCGCGAACGCUCCGCCUACUACUAACGACGACCAGGCCGAGACUCGCCAGCCGGCCACUCCUCCAGCCGACACUGCCGUCUCCACCGUUCUUCCUGAAGCCCCGGGCGCUCCCUUGGCUUGCUUUAUCAUUUACGUCCCUUCUAGCUACUCUUUGGACAAAACUUGUUAUUUUGUGCAAUUCCACCCACUGGGGGUGUAUUCAAACUUCGUUGAAUGUCGGCCUUCCGAAGGCCUUUUUUAUGUAAAUAUUAUUAUGCAUGUGUUUGGUUUCCAUUCCGACUUGCUUUUUAUCUUUUAGCUUUCUUCCUUUGCCGCCUUCCCUUGGUUGCCGCCUUCCCAGCCGGACAGCUGCUCUGCAGUCUGUGGCCGGGUAAGGAAUUCGGCCGUUAUAGGAAGGCAAAGGUUCGAGCCUUCUUAGAUUUUGGUAGAGUAGGAAAAGAAGCCGGCCAGCCGACUGCUUCUACAGUCGGUUGGCGAGGGGGGAAGCCGGCUUGUGUUAUGUAAGUUUGUUAGUCCUUAGCCUUUUUUCAUGUGGGCAUGCUUUCCGCCUUUAGCUCUUGCUAGUCGGGCAGCUGAUUCUUCGAGCUAUGACUCUCGCAAGAGAGGGCUUGUGUGCCAGCACAUUACUUGUCUGACUAUAGGUAGAACUUGGACAUAACUCAAGGCGGCAUGUCCCCGGGCCGACUAGUCAGACCCGGUGCCGGACGGAGAAAGUAAAUGCAGUAGGGUAAUCACGGGAGUGAUACCCGACAUACAUAGAUAAAAUAGGGCAGUCCCCGAGAACUCCUCGGGGGCCCGUUGUCUCAUACUUAAUACAAAGGGUAGCGUGAUACAUACUGCAUUUCAACUGUAAAAUCUUUGAAGAAGAUUGGCGUUCCACGGGCGCUUCGACUCCUUGUCGGAGUCGUCUCUCUUGCGUGCUUUCGGCUUCUGUGCAUCGAUUAGGUAAUAGGAGUCAUUUCCCAGAGCCUAGCUGAUGACGAAGGGGCCUUCCCAAGGGGCAAGAGCUUGUGCUGGCCGGCUGUUCGCUGGAUUAGCCGGAGCACAAGGUCUCCCUCUUGGAAAGUUCUUGGCUUCACUCUCCGACUAUGGUACCGGCGUUGUCCUUGCUGGUAGAUGGCAGACCGACUGAGGGCUAUCAGCCGGCUUUCAUCCAACAAGUCAACACCGUCUUCUCUUGCUUCCUUGGCCUCCGCCUCCGUGUACGUGCUGACUCGAGGUGAGUCGAACUCGAUGUCAGUUGGGAUGACAGCCUCAGCACCAUAUACAAGGAAGAAGGGGGUGAAGCAAAUCAACUUGUUUGGAGUAGUGCGCAGACUCCAGAGUAUGGCCGGUAGCUCAUCGAGCCAGCAGCCGGCCGAAUGCUCUAGUGGCACGACCAGUUGGGGCUUGAUUCCGGAGAGGAUGAGGCUGUUUUCUCGCUCGACUUGACCGUUUGACUGUGGGUGGGCAACAGACGCUAAGUCCAUACGGAUGCCCUGUGUCGCGCAGAAACGUGCCAAUGCUCCCUUGGCGAAAUUUGUGCCGUUGUCGGUGAUGAUGCUGUGUGGUACACCGUACCGGGUUGUAAUGUCGGCAAUGAAUGUCACGGCAGUCGGCCCAUUCAGCUUCUUGAUCGGCUUUGCUUCAAUCCACUUGGUAAAUUUGUCUACGGCGACCAGCAGAUGUGUCAUGCCGCCGCGCUCCAUUUUGAAUGGUCCGACCAUGUCUAGUCCCCAGACGGCAAAGGGCCAAGUGAUGGGAAUGGUCUUGAGUGCAGAGGCUGGCAGGUGUUGCUUGGAGCCAAAAACUUGGCACCCUUUGCAGUGUUUGACUAGUUCCUUGGCAUCCUCCAACGCAGUUGGCCAGAAGAAUUCAUGGCGGAAGGCCUUGGCGACGAGCGCCCUGGAGGCGGCAUGGUGGCCGCACACGCCUUGGUGGAUGUCUUUGAGGAUUGCUAUGCCCUUCUCUUGCUCGACGCAGCGCUGGAAGACUCCGGUAGAGCUGCGCCUAACUAGCUCUUGAUUCAUUAUUGUGUAGGCUUCGGCUCGGCGUUUGACUUGUCUGGCCGAGAUCUCGUCAGUCGGUAGUUCUCCAUUCACCAGAAACCGGAGGAUGGGCUGAGCCCAUGAUGGAGCUAUGAUUUCUUCCACUGCCAAGACGGCUACUGCGACCAGGGUGGGCGGGCUGGGUUGUGAGGAGUUGGAGUCGGCCUCCGCCUGCUGUGCCACUGCAGUCCCCGGGCUAGGAUCGGCUAUGGCAUUCCUCGGGCCGAGUUUGACUAUGGAAGUCCCCGAGCCGGCUGCCGAAGUCCCCGGGCCGCCUUCCUGGUCCCCAAAGUCGGAUCCGACUGCGUCGGGGUCAGGCGGCACAAAGAUGGAACUAGAUUCCGGAGAUGGCUUGACAGAUGGCUUGAAGAGGUGUUGGAGGGCGACGCCGGUUGGUAUAGCUUGUCGGGUGGAGCCUAUUCAUGCCAGGGCAUCUGCUUGCUCAUUGUAGGCCCGUGGCACGUGAAGGAACUCGCACCCCUCGAAAUAUCCGCUGAGCUACUGGACAAGGAAACGGUAGAUCGCCAUGUUUGCGUCCUUGGCAUCCCAGUCACCGGAUGAUUGCUGUACCACUAAGUCCGAGUCGCCAUAACACAGGAUCCGGCGGAUGCCGAGUUCCUUGGCUAGCCGGAGCCCGUGUAUGAGCGCCUCAUACUCGGCCACAUUGUUGGAGGCGGCAAAGUCGAUUUGCAAUGUGUAUCUAAGUUCGUCGCCUUUGGGAGAGGUGAGGACAAUGCCGGCUCCCAAGCCGGUGCGCAUCUUGGAUCCGUCAAAAUGCAUCCACCAAUGAGUGGAGUCCGAAGCCGACGGCAGGUACUGGGUCUCGGCCCAGUCAAUGAAGAAGUCGGCUAGUGCUUGGGACUUGAUAGCGGUGCGGGGAUGAUAGUAAAUUGUGUACGGAGCCAGCGCAAUGGCCCAUUUCGCCACUCGGCCGGAUGCAUCCCGGCUGCCUAUGAUCUCGGCAAGCGGGGCAGUGCAUACGACCGUGAUGGGAUGCUCUUGAAAGUAGGGCUUGAGUUUCUUGGAGGCGAAUUACACACCAUAGCACAUUUUCUGAUAGUGCGGGUAGUUCUAUUUCGAGGUGGAUAAUACUUCGCCCAAAUAAUACACCGGCCUUUGAACUAGCUGAGCUCGGCCUUCUUCUGGGCGCUGAACCACAAUGACUGUGCUGACCAACCGGCUGGUGGCGGCGAUGUAGAGGAGCAUGGGCUCCUUCUCAGUUGGGGCCGCCAAGACAGGCGACGUGGACGACAUCUUCUUCAACUCAUGGAAAGCUUGAUCCGCCUGGUCAUUCCACUCAAAGUGAGCAGACUUCUUCAUAAGUCGGUAGAGUGGGAGAGCCUUCUCUCCGAGCCGGCUCAUGAAGUGGUUCAGAGAUGCCAGGCAUCCGAUGAACUUUUGGACGUCUCGCAGCUUGGUAGGGACCUUCAUUCUCUCUAUGGCCUUGAUCUUCACUGGGUUGCACUCGAUGCCGCGUUCGGAGACCAAAAAGCCCAGAAGUUGGCCGGCUGGUACCCCGAACACACAUUUCUCUGGGUUGAGCUUGAUCUGAAACCGGCACAAGUUCUCAAAGGUUUCCUUGAGGUCUUCCAGCAGGGUGCCGCGUUUCUCUAUCUUCACCACAACAUCGUCUACAUAGACGUGGGCAUUUCUGCCAAGUUGCUUGAGGAGGCAUUUCUGCAUGCAACGCUGAAAAGUGGCACCGGCAUUUCUCAAGCCGAAUGUCAUAGUCAGGUAACAGAAAGCUCCAAAUGGGGUGAUGAAGGCGGUCUUCAAGCGGUCAGCCAGGUUCAACUUAAUCUGGUGGUAGCCGAAAUAGGCAUCCAAGAAACUCAAGAGCUCGCAUCCGGCUGUGGAGUCUAUCACUUGGUCAAUCCUGGGCAGGGCGAACGGAUCUUUGGGGCAGGCCUUGUUGAGGCUGGUGUAGUCUAUGCACAUGCGCCACUGCUUUUUCUUCUUCAGUACGAGAACCGGGUUGGCAAGCCAUUUUGGAAAGAACACUUCCAUAAUGAAGCCGGCCGCCAGAAGCCGGGCUAUCUCUUCUCCGACUACUCUUCUCUUCUCUUCUGACAGGCAGCGCAAGGGCUGCCUGACCGGCUUUGCAUCAGAUAGGACGUGUAGCUUGUGCUCGGCGAAAUCCGUCGGGACACCCGGCAUGUCUUUGGGAGACCAUGCAAAGACGUCCUGAUUCUCGCGGAGGAAAUCGACGAGCUCGCCUUCCUAUUUGCUGUCAAGGCAUGUGCCUUUGACAGCGUGCCUCUCUGGGUGCUCCGGGUCCAGGGGUAUCUUCUUUGUCUCCUUGGCUGGAUGGAAAGAACCUUGAGCUUCACAUUCUUUGGGGUUAGGAGACAAAGCCGGCUGCUUGCCAGCCAGGGCCACAACUCGGUCCAGCAUCUUCUUUUCUUCAGCAAUCAGGGGGAACUCGGCCAGCCGACUGCUGGCUGCUGCACACUCAGAAGACUUCUUGUAGUCUCCGGCUAUGGUGAUAAUGCCCUUGGAACUCGACAUCUUCAUCUUGAGGUAGGCAUAGUGGGGCACAGCCAUAAACUUGGCCAACGCUGGUCGGCCAAGUAGUGCAUGGUAUGGGCUCUCCAAAUCCACUACCUCGAACCAUAUUGCCUCUUGGCGGAAAUGAUCCUUGUAUCCAAAGAGGACAACCAUCUUAAUUUUGCCGAUUGGUGAGCAGGACAGGCUGAGUACAAUGCCAUGGAACACAAUCCGGCUAGGCAUGAGUUGCUUUGGCUUGAUGUUGAGCUUCUCCAUUGUGUCUCGGUACAGUAUGUUGAUACUGCUCCCGCCAUCUAUCAGUACGUGGGAGAAACGAGCAGCGCGCCUCUCUGUCGCCAGGGUAGCAUCCCAAACAAGGGCAUAGGAGCCAGGAGAUAGCAUCACCUCUGGGUGGUCGUCCCGGCUCCAGCUGAUGGGCUUCUCUGACCAGUGCAUAAACUCAGGGUUACUGGAGGCGACCGCGUUGACUUCUUGGUGUUGUCGGCGCCGACUCCGCCAAUCGUCUGGUUGGCUCGUGAAGACGAUGUAGGCGGCGUGUUCGUCAGGGAACUCGUCGUGGACGGCUCCGACUGCUGGCCGAGCGGCCGGCUGCUGGGGUGCAGGAGGCGGCUGGCCCGCAGGCGGAGGCGGCAACAGCCCCUCGCCCUUGGAGAUUCGGGUGAGCCAAUGGCACUUCCGGGUCGUAUGGUUGGACAGCUUCGCGCCUCUGUGGAACUUGUAGGGGGUGUCAAGAGUCUGCUCAUAGGAGAAGGCCGGCUGCCAUGCCGGCCUGCCGCCCUUCUACUUCUUAGGAGCCAGCCGUCCCUCAUGCUGCUCUUCUUCGACCGUAGCCACCUGCUGACUAGUGGAAGGCAGCAUCGGGGCCUUGCGCUUGUUGUCGUUCUGGUACGGGCGCCGAGUGGACUCUCCAGCCGGCGUCUUGGGAGCCGGCGCAAGCACUUUCCCAGAAGCGUCGACUCGGAGCUCGGUCUUCAUGGAGCAGUUGGCCGUGGCGUAUUUCUCCGCGAUGAUCAACAGCUCAUCGAGGGUAGUCUGCUCCUCGCAGAGGAGUCAGUGCUUGAGGAGGGUGCCCUCUCGGCACCCGGCUGUGAAGUACUCGAUUGCCUGAACCUCGUGCACCCCUUCGCAGGAGUUUCGGAGCUCGGCCCAACGCGUGAGGUAGUCACGGGUUAACUCGCUGGGUCCCUGUAUGCACAAGGAGAGCUGUCGGGGCUUGGGAGCCCACUUGUAGGUGCUGGUGAAGUUGCGGAUGAAGGCUUCCAUGAAGUCGAGCCAGCUGUUGAUGCUGUAAGGCUUGAGGCUAUUGAGCCAGGUGCGUGCUGUGCCUUGGAGCAUCAGGGGGACAUACUUUACGGCAACGCGCCGGUUGCCGUUUGCUAUGCGAACAGCGGUGGAGUAGUCGAUCACCCAGUUCUCUAGCUUCACAGAGCCGUUAUACUUGGGCGUGUCUCUUGGGAGCGAGAACCCUUUUGGAAAGGGCUCGUCGCGGAUGCGGGGGCCGAAACAACGGGCCGACAUCAUCUUCUUCUUCCAGGGCCAGGGAUCGCGCGAGGUGGUUGAUCCGAUGGCGAGCAUCAUUCUCGCCGACUCCUUCACGGUGACCAAGUCGGCCGCUGAGAGUCGGAUGCUCGAUAGGCGGCGGGGUGGGAUAUCUUUCUCCGCGAGGAGGAGGAGGCAGAUCGCCUCGUGUCUCCACACCUCGGGGGCGGCCUUCCACGUCGCGCUCGAUGGUGAUUCGCGUCCGGCUGCGGCUAGCAGCCGGCUCCUUCUCUUGUCUCGCACGGGCGCCACCGGCAGCCGGCAUACGCCACGUCACGCUGUGUUCUCGGCGAGGGGAGCUUCCAGAUUGGACGCCGGCUUCGUGCCAUGCUGCGGCUGCGCCGAUCAGUUGCUGGAUGUGACUGGUCAUGUAGGGGAGCUCAUCGGCCCCCAGUCCGUUGAGCUCGCCAACGAUCGACUGGGCAGCGCGUAGAUUCUCGAGGGGCGUGGCGUAGAUCGGGCGGUCUGCACCCAGCAUGCUGGUGAUGGCCGCACCACGUUGCGUGACGGCGCCGACCCGGCUUGGCCCUUCUGGAGGCGGCGUGCCGAAGGCGGCGCGGUCGACCUCGCGCUGGUGGACUUCCGUGAGGCGUCUCAUGGUGUUUAUCUUCUGGCCCUCCGCGGCGAGGGAAAGGCGGCGAGCCUCCAAUGCCUCGGUGUCGGCGUCGGCCGGGAUGGGGACCGACAAGUCCUGCAGCACCGCUUGCAGGGCAUCGUGGGUGUUUUCACCGGAAGCGGCUCCCUGGCUGAUCACCGGUAUGUCGGUGACGGUGCUGCCGCCACUGUCAGCUCGCGGGAGAGGGUCGUCGAAGACGAUCACGUCGGUGGGGAAGGCGUCGAGCGAUGCCGUGUCGGAGUCGACAAACAUCGGGUCGGUGGAGCCGUCCGACUCCAAGUCCGCUGUAGGCUCGCCGGAGACGUGGAGUUGGUCGAGGAGGCUAACGAGGCGGCUCUCGAGGCAGCCAGUGCCCGCAUCGGAUGUGGGCUCGUCGGAGAUGAAAUCCUCGCCAAGGAGAUCAGCGAGGCAGCUCGCCGCGUAGGCAUCGUUGACGCGUUGCAGCGCGUUGGGGCAAGUGCACUCGGGCGUGCCAGGCUGGCUACGCUCGCUGGGGAGGAAAAGGGUUCCCAUCCAGAGCAGGUCUCCGGAUGACGGUACACCUGGACCCACAGUGGGCACCAAAUGUCGGGUGGUAGGUGCGACAUAUGCCAACGGAUGGCUUAUCAUUGUGGGAGCCAGUAAGACAUCGCCGGUGCCUGGAAACGGGAUGAGGCGAAGACAUGCACACCGGCGAAUCUUACCCAGCUUCGGGGCUCUCUGUGGAGAUAACACCCCUACUGCUGCUCUGCGGGGUCUCCGCAUGGUCCCUAGUUCAGCAAGUAGCUACAGGAUGCUCCUUGAGCUGUUCGAUGGGAGGAGGGAGAAGGGAAAGGCUAGCUCUCUUCUCUCCCUAUGGUAGUGUCUAAAACUCUAUGAGAUCAACCCUUUGCAUGGGUGUCCCGGGGGGUUUAUAUAGGCCUACCCCCUGGGGGUACAAUGGUAAUCCGGCUGGGCGUGGGCCCAGGCCGUCAGUGUCUGCGACCGCCACCUUCUCCGCCGACUUCUGGGGCCCACCGACUGGUGGGUCCCGCCGGAUGUUGGCCCGCUAGUCGACAGACCGGCCCCACCGCUUGGGGGAUCUAGUUGGGGGCUGGUUACUAUGGCCUCGCCUCUGAUGACGAGGGCUUUGUCGAGGUAAGCAUGGCUACAGUGCCGCCGCCUUGCAGGAUCCCACUGUAGCCUCACCAUGUCUCAUCUGCUUAAUGGUGCACGCGCCCCGAGGGGGAGCAAUCCAGCUAUUGGAAACCGGCCCGGCCUUGGGCCGGCUGGGCGAGGCCGGGCCGCCUUCGGAUGUCUCUCUGACCGAAGGGGCCCGCCGCCUGCGGGCCGUACCGGCGACCCGUCGUGGAUGGCAUCAUGACUCUCAUGGCAACAGUGCCACGCCGGACGGGGGAUGGCUGCCCCGUACGGCAUACUGUAGCCAUGCAUUCACCGGGAUUUGGGGGUGGCAGGGUUUACUGUAGCCACGCCCUGUCUUGUCACCGUUAUGGGUGAUGGUCUUUGGAGGCGGCGUUCGGCCACUUGCUUCUUGGAGUCAGCCCUUCAUGGGCCGCCUUCGGGGAGUCGGUCCUUCAUGGGCCGGCUUCUUGGAGCCGUCCCAAUCGCGACGUCCUCCAAAGGUUGUUUUAUGGUCGGGCCGCCUUCGGCCAGCCAGCCUAGGUCAUAGCCGGCCGAAAGAAGGCGGCCCCGUGUCUUAGGUGCUUCGAGGGUCGAUCGGCCCGUUGUUUUUUCUGAGGGCCAAAGGGAGCUGGCUAGGCUACCCGUGGUCAUUUACUCCGACACUUGUGUUAUUCAUGCUCAUCAGUAUGCCAUGCUCAUUCGGAUAUAUGAUUCGUUGUGGUUAUGCUCGAUGAUUUGUUAUGAUUGCACAUUCAUGCUCAAAUUGGUAUCAUGCUCAUGCAUUGUAGUUGCAUCAUGUUAUUUUAAUAUGACUCAGCUUAUUGCAUUGAAGUUUAACCGGAUAAUGAUGAACUUGAACAACUGUUGGCUGAGUCAUGGUGCCACCAUAUCGAGCUGACCAAUGCAACCACAUUUGCCUUUUAUGGAAAGGACCUAACUAGGUCUAUUGUCAUGCCUUUAGCCGGUGCAUCCAACGAGGGAAGGUUAUGCGCAGGCACUACCUUGGCCGGGUAGGACGACAUAAGCCUUGUGUGCCCUUUGUUGUUGUAUGGAUCCAUGUCCCUGUUUGGGACCGUUUAUUUGCCACGACGGUGGCUGUUGAUGCCUUUGGUAGGCACGAGGCCACCCAUGACUUAGCCCAAAGGGGAGUUGGUCAGAGUGGCCGGGAGAGUGUCAUGGCAGUAGAUCGGUUUGGACGGAAUGUCGUGGUCCACACGUAUGGGAAUGUGAGGCCAUGGGUUCCGUGGUGUAGGUACAGUGUGCUAACCUCUACAGAGUGUGUGUUAAAUCUAUCAAUAGCCGCACCCGCGGAUAUGGGCCCGGUUCAGAGUCGGUCACACUAUGAGCCAACACUACUAGGAAAAGGGCUAUAGAUGGGAUGGGCACUAAUGGCGCACCUGUCAGGUGGUACGCCACUACUAUAUACUAAUGGCGCACCGUUUGGUGAUGCGCCAUUAGUGUGGAAGACACUAAUGGCGCACCAGACACACGGUGCGCCACUAGUAAUAAUUUUGUUUCCAUUUUUCCAUACAUACUAAGGGUGCAUCUGGGCGAAGUGCGCCAUUACUAGUUCUAACUAGUAAUGGCGCACCAGACAGACAGUGCGCCAGUACUGUAUUUUUUUAUUCUUUUUUUGCAAAACUACUAAUGGCGCACCGUGUCACAGUGCGCCAUUACUAGUUUACACUAGUAAUGGCGCACUGUGACUCGGUGCGCCAUUAGUAUAUAUAUUUAUUUUUUUACUUUUUUGCAAAACUACUAAUGGCGCACCACCUGCAGGUGCGCCAUUUGUAACCAGGCAUACUAAUGGCGCAUUUGCAGGUGGUGCGCCAUUAGUAACCUGGGACCCCAACAAGAUAUUUUGGACAGCCACACCUACCCACUCACUUUCCCCACUUCAUUCCCUCCACCUCCUUCUCCAAGAUUUCGGCUGCCUCCUCCUCCUCACCUCAUUUGCACCAUAGAUUCAUCAAAAUUAAGUGGUGAAAUUACCUUUUUUUAUAGGUAAGUAAGGGGAAAGCUAUCUUCAUGUUGUAGAUCUACUUCUUUUCUCCAUAGCUCGCUCGAACAACGUGCACAUGCACUUUUUGUGUCCUAGCUAGAUCUAUGUAUGUUUGUGAUGUUGCAUAUGUUUGUGGUGUUGCAUAUAUGUUUGUGUUUGCAGGUACCGGUAUUUGAAAUGCGAUAGUUGCCAAUAUUUUGCCGGAAUGUUGAUUCAUUUCCGUUUCGGCGAGAAUUUUGGCACUAUGCAUUCUUUUUGGUCCUAUUUUUAGGGAAGGUCAUGCCAAAUUUUUUCUUGGUUCUAAAAUAUUGUUUUUCUCUACCCCGCAAGCGACCAUGGUCCGCAGGAUGACCGAAGGCAUCAUGAAUAGGUUUUUGAGCUCCGUGAAGGCCGAGAUGCUUCAAAAGAACAAGACGGAGAUAAGAUGUCCGUGUCGAAGAUGCAAGCUGAAGAGCCUUAUUGCGGACCCGGAUUCCGGGCAGGUGCGGGACCACCUGCUCUUGCGUGGUUUCAUGGAUGGCUAUUGGUGGCAACGUGAUGAAGAUGACUAUGAAGUCGUCCAUGGGGGCCGGGCAAGAAAUGAGGAAGGGCAACAAGACAACCACCGCGGCGAGGGCGGGCGAGAAGACGAAGAUUCUCCAGGACAUGAUCACGACGGUGAUGAUGUACACAAUCAUCAUGUAGAAGAUGUCAUACUUGAUGAUGAGGAAGAUCAAGACGAAGGGCAUGAUCAUGAAGAUGAAGAUGCCGGAGUAGACGACGAUGGAGGCUGGGUGCAGGACCCUCAUAUUCAAGAGCUGCUUCUCAAGCAGACGGAUAACGCAAGAGGUGCCGCCCGAGAGAAAGCCAAGCUGGAUCAACUGGAGAUAGACGCGGUUACUCCAUUGCAUGAAGGAUGCAGGCCCGAGGAUACCCUCCUGAAAGUAACGCUCAUGGCUCUGGAGAUGAAGGUAAAACACAAAAUGACCGACGCAUGCUUCGACGAGAACAUGUCAUUCUGGCACGAACGUCUUCCCAUGGGGAACAAGUGCCCGACCAGUUUCGAGGAAACGACAAAAAUCGUUUGUCCGCUGGAUUUACCACAUGUGAAAUACCAUGUGUGCAUGAACAAUUGCAUCAUUUAUCGGGAUGAGCACGCGGAGUCUACCAUAUGUCUGAUGUGCGAUGUCACUCGAUACAAGAAGAGGAAGAAAGCUCCUCGAAAAUCGGUGUGGUACUUUCCGAUCACUCCUCGUCUGCAGCGGUAUUUCGCGGACACUAACAUAGCAAAGCUCCUGCGUUGGCACACGGAUAGGGAGAAGAAGAAGUGGGAAGAUGAUGGAAAUGAUCCGGUGAUAAAUAAAAAAGACAAGAUGUUGAGUCACCCUAAGGAUGCGAGCCAGUGGCAAGCGUUGAACUUCGAAUACCCAGAAUUUGGAAGGAUCCAAGGAACAUCGUGCUGGGCGCGAGCACCGAUGGAGUCAAUCCGUUUGGCAGCCAGAGAAGCACACAUAGCACCUGGCCUGUGUUAGUGUGGAUGUACAACCUUCCCCCCUGGUUUUGCAUGAAGAGGAAGUACAUUCACAUGAGUAUGCUAAUUGAAGGGCCGAAACAACUAGGGAAUGACAUCAAUAUGUAUCUGGGGCUGCUGAAGGAGGAGCUAGACACGCGUGGAAAACGCCAACCAAUACGUGGGACGAUGCGGAGAAAGAAUAUUUCCCUAUGAGAGCCGCACUGCUCACGAUGGUUCACGACUAUCUCGGUUACGGAUAUCUCGCGGGGCAGGUAGUCCAUGGAUUUUCUGGAUGCGUAAGGUGCAUGGAUGACACAAUGUAUCGCCAGCUAGAUAGAGAUCCCGGGUCUUCGAAAACCGUGUUCAUGGGACAUCGAAGGUGGCUUCGCGAUGAUGACCCGUGGAGGAAACACAAGGAUCUGUUCGAUGGUGAAACCGAACCCCGAAAACGCCCGCGUACGAGGAGCGGCGAGGAAAUAGACGAGCUGUUGAAAAAUUGGAAAGAUUACCCACUGCCGGGAAAGAAGCAAAAGGCGCCAGAGCCGGGAAAGAAGUGAAAGGUGCCAGAGCCACUGCUGAAGGUACGGAAAACGAGGUCUGUUUUCUGGGACAUGUCGUACUGGAAGAUCCACCGUGUGACUCACAGCCUUGAUGCCAUGCAUAUCACGAAGAACGUGUGCGAGAGUCUCCUUGGUACCCUGCUCAACAUGCCAGAGAGGACCAAAGAUGGGCCGAAAGCAAGGGCAGACUUGAAAUCAAUGGGCAUCAGGCAGGAGCUUCACGCUAAUGAUGAUGAUGAUGAUGAUGUUGAUGAGGCGUAGCAGGACACAUAAAGUCAUCGCAAAAGCAAAAAGGCCAAGAAGACCGGAAAUGACUACCCUCCCGUGUGCUUCACUCUAAGUCAGGAGGAGAUCGAGCAGUUUUUCACCUGCCUCGUAGGAGUAAAACUUCCUUACGGUUACGCGGGGAAGAUAAGCAGAUACCUAGACCCAGCGAAGCAGAAGUUCAGCGGGAUGAAGUCUCACGACUAUCACGUGCUGAUGACGCAGAUACUUCCAGUUGCAAUCCAUGGGAUCAUGGACGCGCACAUCCGUGAAAUGCUAUUUGGCCUAUGCAACUUUUUCGACGUCAUCUCUCGGAAGUCGAUUGGCGUGAGACAACUCAGAAGGCUACAGGAAGAGAUCAUGGUGAUACUAUGCGAGCUUGAGAUGUACUUCCCGCCCACAUUCUUCGACAUUAUGGUGCAUCUGCUGGUCCAUAUCGUGGAUGAUAUCAUCCAACUCGGGCCGACGUUCUUGCACAGCAUGAUGCCGUUCGAAAGGAUGAAAGGUGUCAUCAAAGGAUACGUUCGCAACAUGUCACGUCCAGAGGGAAGUAUAGUCAGGGGCUUUCUGACUGAAGAGUGCAUCUCCUACUGCACGAAUUAUCUAGGCAUCGAGAACCCCGUUGGUCUGCCCGUCAACAGGCACCUCGGCAGGCUCGCUGGAUGGUGUCACCAUGACGGUCGCCGCGAAAUGCAUGUCGACUUCGAGGGUCGACUCACCGACUUUGAAAGAGCAAACCUAGUCAUGCUACAACACAUAGACGUGGUCGAUCCUUGGGUGGUAGAGCACAAAACCUUUAUUGAGAAUACAUACAAUGACCGAGGCCAACAGAGGACGGACGGAGAUAUAAUCAAAGAGCACAACUCAUGUUUCACGCGUUGGUUCAAGCAGAAGCUUCUGUCAUACCCUUUACAUGAGGAUUCUUCCGCGGAAGAACAACUCAUAUUCGCCUUGUCACAGGGCGCCGAGCACAACCUGAUGACCUAUGAGGCGUACGAUAUCAACGGCUACACAUUCUACACCGAGAACAAGGACAUGAAGAGCUAUGGUUAUCAGAACUCCGGGGUAAUGAUGGAAUCCUACACCGGUAACGACAAUGACAGAUACUACGGAAGGAUCGAGGAGAUCUGGGAGCUGAGCUACACUGGAGAGAAGGUCCCGAUGUUCCGUGUUAGAUGGGCCAAGAGCGUCCUAAAACAAGACCGGUAUUUCACCACCAUGGUUAUACCCGAAGCCAAAUCCAAGACCGCGGGUGCAAACGUCACCGCGAAAAAUGAGCCAUGGGUACUAGCUUCCCAAGUGGACCAAUGCUUCUUCAUUACCGACCCGCCAAAUAUGCAUGUAGUAUAUUUUGGGGAUGACAUGAUGUAGAGGGAUAAACUCAUGCAAUAUGAUAUAAACCCCAUGUUAUUAUAUUCGAUGGCAACAAUACAAUACGUGUCUUGCAACCCUUUCUGUCACCGGGUAAGGAUACCGCAAGAUUGAACCCAAAGCUAAGCACUUCUCCGCUGGCAAGAAAGAUCAAUCUAGUAGGCCAAACCAAACUGAUAAUUCCAAGAGACUUGCAAAGAUAACUCAAUCAUACAUAAAAGAAUUCAGAGAAGAUUCAAAUAUUUCUCAUAUAUAAACUUGAUCACAAACCCACAAUUCAUCGGAUCUUGAAAAACACACCGCAAAAAGAGUUUACAUUGAAUAGAUCUCCACAAGAGAGGGGGAGAACAUUGUAUUGAGAUCCAAAAAGAGAGAAGAAGCCAUCUAGCUAAUGUAGCGACCCAACCUGAAUGGAUCAAGUCUCUGUGCUCCAGUGUCAUCCCUGGAUCAGUAAUGCUGACACCACACAGUACUUCGAAGGAUUUAUAACAGAGUAGCAAUCACACACUUAUUACAUCGUUGUCCCAAAAAGAGGACUUAUUACAAUAAUCAUGGCUUAAGGCCAUCUAAUAACGAUAACAGCGGAAGACUUGGAAGAUAAGUGAGUCCAUCAACUCCAAUGGCAUCACUGAGUAUAGAAGCACGACCUAAAAGCACCAUAUUCAUCGUCUGAAAAUUCUGCAACAUGAAAAGUUGUAGCCCGAAAACGGGUCAGCACAUGGAAUAUGCUGGCAAUGUAACACAUAGAGAGAAAUAAAGAGUAUUGGCUAUACUACAUGCAUAUUUGGCUGGUGGAAAAGCUCAUUUUUUGGGUAAAGCUUUUAUGUAUUAUGGAAUAAGGAGUGGCAUGAGCCUAAGCUUGGGGAUGCUUAUGGCACCCCAAGAUAUUCAAGAAUAGCCAAAAGCCUAAGCAUGGGGAUGCCCCAGGAAGGCAUCCCCUCUUUCAUCUUCGUUCAUUGGUAACUUACUUGGAGCUAUAUUUUUAUUCGCCACAUGAUAUGUGUUUUCCUUGGAGCGUAGUGUAUCAUAUUAGUAUUUGGUUUUAAUUUAUCACAAUCAUCCUUGCUGUACACACCUUUUGGGAGAAGCCUAUUUGAUUAGAAUUUGCUAGAAUACUCUAUGUGCUUCACUUAUAUCUUUUGAGUUUGAUAGUUUUUGCUCUAGUGCUUCACUUAUAUCUUUUAGAGCAUGGUGGUGUCUUCAUUUUGAAGAAGUUGCUAGUCUCUCAUGCUUCACUUAUAUUAUUUUCAGAGUCUUUUAGAACAGCAUGGUAUUUGCUAUGAUCAUAAAGUUGGUCCUAUAAUGAUGAGCAUCCAAGUUGGGUAUAAUAAAAACUAUCAUAGAAAGUGAAUUGGAUGCUAUGAUCAAUUUGAUGCUUGAUAAUUGUUUUGAGAUAUGGAGGUAGUGAUAUUAAAGUCAUGCUAGUUGGGUGAUUAUGAAUUUAAAGAAUGCUUGUGUUGAAGUUUGUGAUUCCCGUAGCAUGCAGAUAUGGUGAACCGCUUUGUGAUGAAGUUGGAGCACAAUUUUAUUUAUUGAUUGUCUUCCUUAUGUGUGGUGGUCGGGGAUGAGCGAUGGUCUUUUCCUACCAAUCUAUCCCCCUAGGAGCAUGCGCAUAGUGCUUUGGUUUUUGAUGACUUCUAAAUUUUUGCAACAAGUAUAUGAGUUUCUUUGAUUAAUGUUGAGUCCAUGGAUUAUACGCACUCUUUCACCCUUCCACCAUUGCUAGCCUCUCUUGUAUCAUGCAAUUUUCGCCGGUACCUUACACCCACCAUUUACCUUCCUCAAAACAGCCACCAUACCUACCUAUUAUGGCAUUUCCAUAGCCAUUCCGAGAUAUGUUGUAACGCCCCGGAUUCGAUGCGCCAGGUGUCCGCCAGUCAUUCGCCACCAUUGCCAUGUCAUUUGCUUGCGUGUUGCAUUUUAUCAUGUCAUCAUGUGCAUCUCAUUUUGCAUACGUGUUCGCCUCAUGCAUCCGAGCAUUUUCUCCGUUGUCCGUUUUGCAAUCCGGCACUCCUAUGUCCUCCGGCGCCCCUUUUGCCUCUUAUCGUGUGUGGUUGUUAAACAUUCUUGGAAUGGACCGAGGUUUGCCAAGCAGACUUGGUAUAGCACCGAUAGACCGCCUGUCAAGUUUCGUGCCAUUUGGAGGUCGUUCGGUACUCCAACGGUUAACCAGGUAUCCGUAAAAGCAUCCUUGUGUUGCAGCCCAACACCCCUCCAAAGUGGCCCAAAACCCAUCCAAACCCCCUCCAUGCUCUCGGUCGUUCGAUCAUGAUCGCGUGGCCGAAAACCGCACCCCAUUUGGAGUCUCGUAGCUCCCUCUACCUAUUUAAACACCUCCUUCCUCGAAAUUUCGGAUCAAAUCAACCCUAACCUAGCCUUCCUCAUCCUCGCGCCGCCGGACACGUCCGCCCCUGCCGGACAUGUCCACCGGACACCUCACCCAAACCAAUCCUGUCGUGCCACGUCACCCCGCCGCUGCCCACAGCCAAUCUGGCUUCGCCACCUCAGCCCGCGCCUCCCUCUCUCUCCUCCGCGCGCCGCCGCCGGCCCACCAGGCCUAGGCGCGGCCCGCCCGGCCCGGUUCGCCGCCCCGCCGCCUCCCGCGGGCUCCCGCGCCUCGCGGAGCCCCGCGCCGCCGCUCGUCGGGCGCCCUCCGUCGGCCGCCGCCGCAGGCGCCACCCCAUGCCCCGCCGUCGCCCCUCGACCUCGACUUCCGGUCCUCCACCGGAGCUCCAUCGCCGCCCCCACCUCGUCCCGGUCCGGAUCCGCACGGACCCGACGAGCUCCGCUUUCCCUCCUCAGCGGAGAAGCUCCCACCUCGCCGGAGUUGACCUCGGUUCGCGCACCGCCCCGAUCUGGAUCUGGAAGACAAGUUUGACCCCGUUUUUUCGUCUAAGUCCCUCAGUUUUGCAUUUUCUGGUGCCUACUUUGCCAUGCCAUAACUCCAUGCAUACUCCUCCAUUUCGUGCGUGUAAUAUGUCAAAAUGUUUGUUGUGAUAUGCUCUUCAUUUCAUUCCAUUGUGCCAUGUUUGUUUGAGGCCAUCUUGAUGCCCUAAUCAUCGUUGCAAGAGUGCUAUAUGAUGUUAACCUGCUGAAACUGUUAUAACUUGUUGUUUUGUCUUUUCCGUUGCAUUUUGUGUGUGCAUCUUAUGAGCUUGAUGUCUACAUGUAUUUUGUACUACAACAUGCCGUAUUUACAUUGGUGCCAUCCAUGUAUUUUUUGUGGGUCCUGUAGUGAGUGCAUCGAGCUUGUUAAGUAGAGUACUUGCUGUUGCUGUUUUGUUAGGCUGAAUCUGUUAUUUCGUGACGCCAUGUAAACCUGCUGCUACAAGUCAUUCUAUGCAUAAUCUGGAGAUGUUCACUAAGGAUGUUUUGUUAUACAUGUAAUUCUCUAUCCAUCCAUGCCCCUAGUUGCAUUUAUAGCCUGUUGUAACAAGUUGUAAUCUUCCUCCAAAUUUGCUAAAUAAUGUUUCUGUCAGCAUGUUAACAUUAAGUCCAGUUUUGCCAUGAGCUUUGCUAGUGAUCCAUGCACCCUAUGAACUUGCUCUUGCCAUUCUUAGCCUCACAAACAUGUAUUCUUUCUGUUGGUUUCCCUUACAUGCCAUGUAUGGCUCCGUGGUGAGUGGUACAAGCUCAUCGACAUGCCUACUUAUUGUUGUUCCUGCCAUGUAUGAAUCUGUCAUAUCUCUUGCUAUGUUUACAUGGGUGCCAUCAUAUUUUCUGUGCCCUUUUGGAUCAUGGUCAGUAAGGGACAUUUGUUAUUUGAAAUUAGUAGAUUCAUGCCAUGCCUUUGUUUGCCAUGAUAACUUCGUGUAGCAUGUUGUUUGAUAGCUCUAAAUAUUGAAACCUGAUGUUAUUUCUGCUAAGCCUGAAACUGUUAUUAUAUGCAAUCUUGCCAUGUCCUUUUGAGCAUGUUAUAGUGUUUUCUGGAGAUAGCUCAGUGUUCAUGCUUUGUCAUGCUUUACCUUUACUUCAUGCGCAUGCCUUUUGUUAUUACGUUGAGAUGAUGUAGCAUAUUGUUUUGAUGCUUGCAAGAUGCCUAGUUGCUGUUAUGGACUGAUUGUUGUCAUAUCUUGUUUGGAGUGUAUGUGUUGAACCGUUGCUCCGUUUUGAGUGUGCUCUAUAUGAAACUUGCUUGAUUUUGCAUAUAACUUCAUAUUAUCAUGUUGCAUCCUUGUUUUGAGGUGUUUGUUUGAUGUUUGCAUGCAUUUUGCAUCAAUGCCAUGUUUAACUUGUUUUGCUCAUAUCUUCUAGGCCGUAGCUCCGAAUUAAAUGAACUUUAUAUGUAACUUGACUAGAAUUUCGUGUAGAUCAUCUUGGUGCAUCUUAACUUGCUGUUUAACUAUUUGAACAUAAGGAUUAUUCAGUUCUGGACCAAUUUUGAAACUUGUAUAUGAGGACUUACCGGAAUUGUUAUAUGUUGUUUCCGGCCUCAUUUAAACUUGCUUUGAUGUGUUGCUCUUGUUCGCAUCAUCUCUUGCCAUGAGUAGCUUCAUGUAGCCUUGUCAUGCAUCAUACUUGGUUGAGCAUCAUGCCUUGUUCAUGUGUGGUGUGUUUACUAUGUUGUGUGCUUCUUCUCUAUAGUUCCUCUUUUGUUGCGAUCGUGAGGAUUCGUUCGUCUACGCUUGGUUCGUCUUCAUCCGUUCGUCUUCUUCAUGGACUCGUUCUUCUUCCUUGCAGGAUUUCAGGCAAGAUGACCGCUACCCUGGAUCUCACUACUAUCAUUGCUAUGCUAGUUGCUUCGUUCUAUCGCUUUGCUCCGCUACCUAUCUUUUGCUCUUCAAGCCUCCCAAUUUGCCAUGUAAUCCCCUAACCUUUUCACCCUUCCUAGCAAACCAUUGUUUGGCUAUGUUACCGCUUUGCUCAGCCUCUCUUAUAGCGUUGUUACUUGCAGGUGAAGUUGAAGAUUGCUCCAUGGUGGACAGGACUAUGUUGGGAUAUCACAAUAUCUCUUAUAUUAUUAAUGCAUCUAUAUACUUGGUAAAGGGUGGAAGGCUCGGCCUUAUGCCUGGUGUUUUGUUCCACUCUUGCCGCCCUAGUUUCCGUCAUACCGGUGUUAUGUUCCCGGAUUUUGCGUUCCUUACGCGGUCGGGUGAUUUAUGGGACCCCCUUGACAGUUCGCUUUGAAUAAAACUCCUCCAGCAAGGCUCAACCUUGGUUUUACCAUUUGCCUCACCUAGCCCUUUUUCCCUUGGGUUUCUGGAGCCCGAGGGUCAUCUUUAUUUUAGCCCCCCAGGCCAGUGCUUCUCUAAGUGUUGGUCCGAACCGAGCAGCCUGCGGGGCACCCUCGGGGAAACUUGAGGUCUGGUUUUACUUGUAGCUUGACUUAUCCGGUGUUGCCCUGAGAAUGAGAUAUGUGCAGCUCCUAUCAGGAUUGUCGGCACAUCGGGCGGCUUUGCUGGUCUUGUUUUACCAUUGUUGAAAUGUCUUUUAAACCAGGAUUCCGAGACUGAUCGGGUCUUCCUGGGAGAAGGAAUAUCCUUCGUUGAUCACGAGAGCUUAUCAUGGUCUAAGUUGGGACACCCCUGCAGGGUAUAAACUUACGAGACCCGUGCCCGCAGUUAUGUGGCAGAUGGGAAUUUAUUAAUGUCCGGUUGUAGAUAACUUGACACCAGAUCCGAAUUAAAACGCAUCAACCGCGUGUGUAGCCGUGAUGGUCUCUUUCGGCGGAGUCCGGGAAGUGAACACGGCUCUGGGUUAUGUUUGACGUAAGUAGGAGCUCAGGAUCACUUCUUGAUCAUUACUAGUUGACGACCGUUCUGUUUGCUCUCUUCUCGCUCUCUUUUGCGUAUGUUAGCCACCAUAUAUGCUUAGUUGCUGCUGCAACCUCACCACGUUACCCCUUCCUUUCCGAUUAAGCUUUGCUAGUCUUGAUACCCAUGGUAAUGGGAUUGCUGAGUCCUCGUGGCUCACAGAUUACUACAACAACAGUUGCAGGUACAGGUUAUGUGAUGAUAAUGACGCGAGAGCGAUGCUUGCUUGUUUUGGAGUUCUUCUGCUUCUUCUUUGAUCAGGGGAUAGGUUCUAGGUCGGCAUCCUGGGCUAGCAGGGUGGAUGUCGUUUGAGUUUCUGUUUGUGUUUCAUCAGUAGUCGGAUGGUGCUCUUAUGUAUGAUGAUGUUGUAUUCGUGUGGCAUUGUAUGCCUCUUGUAUGUAUCCCCAUCUAUUAUGUAAUGCUGAUGUAAUGAGAUCCACCUUGCAAAAGUGUUUCAAUAUGCGGGUCUAUCCUUGGUGGGACCUUCGAGUUCCUUUUGGAUAGGGUCUCAUAUUGGGCGUGACAUAUAUUGCCAUGCAACUUUUCACUGUUCCGUUCAUAUGACACACAUUACUUUUGUCAUAUUGCUUUUUCCAUGAUCAUGUAGUUGACAUUGUAUUUGUGGCAAGGCCACCUUCAUAAUUUUCAUACAUGUCGCUCUUGAUUCAUUGCAUAUCCCAGUACACCGCCGGAAGCAUUCAUAUAGAGUCAUAUCUUGUUCUAGCUUUGAGUUGUAAAUCCAUAAAAGUGUGAUGAUCUUUAUUAUUAGAGCAUUGUCCUAGUGAGGAAAGGAUGAUGAAGACUAUGAUUCCCCCACAAGUCGGGAUGAGACUUCGGACUUUACAAAAAGAAAAAA